RNAcentral lists this long non-coding RNA (116198 nucleotides) under Zea mays. RNAcentral's name for it is "long non-coding RNA (ZMAY_LNC003692)". Lineage: Eukaryota; Viridiplantae; Streptophyta; Magnoliopsida; Poales; Poaceae. The record is from RNAcentral.
UCCAACUCUUGCUCGUAGUCAAGAGCUAUAUACGCAAGCUUCUCCUUGAUGUCCCUUACAAUUUCUCGCUCGGCGGAGGUUGUGAAGGAAUAACCCCUCUCAGUGAGAAUUUUCAUGAGCGAGUCGGUGAGGUCCCGACCAGCAAGAUCCAGACGUAGAAUAGCAUGAGGAAGGGCAUAUCCUUCAUAAAUGGGCACAGUAUGGCUCACACCAUCACCAGAAUCGAGAACAAUACCUGUAGAUUGAGAAUAAAAAAAGAGGAAACUUCAGUCACACCGUGUAAACAACUAAUUUUGACUUCCGUUAUUUAUUCUUGGUAUACUAGCUGAGAUACUUAUUUUUUCCCUGAAUUCAUAAUUUCAUAUCACCAUGCAGACUGAGGUAACCACAUAUGCAGUGUAUUUUGAGUUAUGCAAUCUCAUGAGCAAGAAUAGAAGAUAAAGAUACUUGGUGGGUUGAUAAGAGCCUAAUGGAAACAAAGAGAGAGAUUACUAGAAAACUGGAUCAACACUGAACUAAAAGGAAGGAGCAGGUCAUACCAGUAGUACGGCCACUAGCAUAGAGUGACAGGACUGCUUGAAUUGCAACGUACAUGGCAGGAACAUUGAAAGUCUCGAACAUAAUCUGGGUCAUCUUCUCCCUGUUGGCCUUUGGGUUCAAAGGAGCCUCAGUAAGCAACACAGGGUGCUCCUCCGGGGCAACACGGAGCUCAUUGUAGAAAGUGUGAUGCCAGAUUUUCUCCAUGUCAUCCCAGUUGCUUACAAUACCGUGCUCAAUCGGGUACUUGAGCGUGAGAAUACCUCUCUUGGACUGUGCCUCAUCACCAACAUAUGCAUCCUUCUGCCCCAUCCCUACCAUGACACCGGUGUGACGAGGACGCCCAACGAUGCUAGGGAAUACAGCCCUUGGUGCAUCAUCGCCGGCAAAACCAGCCUAGAAGAUAGAUACACAAAAUUAGUGGCAUAUUUGGGUGGGGGAGACUAUGGCUGUACAAAUUAAGGGGAAAAGCACUGACCUUGACCAUUCCGGUGCCAUUGUCGCAGACAAGAGGCUGGAUGUCCUCACCAUCAGCCAUUUCUACAGAACUGCUGCAGGUGGCGCAUAUGGAUAGAAUCAAAUGAGUCAAUGAUGAAAGUGUUUUAGUUCAAUAUGUGAUUGAAAAGGAGCACUGGAUUUGAGACGCAUGCUAACUGGAAGACAACGGUUUCUGACGUUAUAUUGAAUCUGAAAUUUGCAACAUCGCAUUCAGGGGCGGGGCGGAUCCAGUAAAGGGACUUAUAUGCAUCUGAAAAAAAAUCGCACCCCCCGCCGCGCUGAUGCCACCGCUGUUGCAGAUCCGGACUCAUGGAAUGCGGAUCCGUGCCCCUGCAAGUGGAUCUCCACCCACGCCACGCCACGGAUCCGGCCAUAGCGCACCAGAUCGAGCCCAGCCCUAGCUGGCGCAGGCAGGAGGAGGCAAGCACGCUUGGGGAGGGAACUCGCGAGGAGAGUACAAAGGCCUCGCUGCCGCCACCCUCGCACCGGCGCGGGCCUCCGGCCGCGUGCUCAGGCGGCAGCGAGCGAACUCUUGCAGCGGCGGCGCGGGUUCCGCCCGUGUCGCCCCGCAGAGGAGCGACGGUUCGCAGCUUCGCACAGCAUGAAGGGAAGGGAAGAGAAGAGGUGGGAGUACCUGGUGGGUGCUCGCUGCCGGCGAAGAGGCCAACGAAAGCCUCAGCACCCUGGCUUAGGGCGGCGGCGGCGGCAACUGUGGUCUGAGAGCGAGGAGAGCAAGAGAGCAGGAAUGCAGCGGACGGAAGGGGAAAGGGGGAAUGCAGGAGGAGCAGUUGUUUGUGGCCUGCAACCGCGAGAAGACUGCCAGACCCAGAUGCGAUUGAGAAGGGAUCUGUUCUGUGCUGGCUUGCAAUUCGACGGGUUUGGCUUCUUCACAAAAUAAUGGACAGUGAGGGGCUUUUCUAUAAACACUUUCCUCCAGCCGUUGGAUCCGUCAACCCGAUCUGCAUUACAGAGACAGGUGUGUCGUCGUCUCCUCACUCUCGCCUCUCCCCUCUUCACCCGUGGGCCGACGCGCCGCCGCAGCAAGCAGCCGAGAGGGGAGGGGAUGCUAGCCGCACGGAGGGGCGCGGCGGCCGCGUGGGCGGCACAGGCCUUCCACUCCUCCUCCGCAGCGCUCUCCAAAUCCACUGUAAAUCCACUGUACCCCCUCCAAAUUAAACUUCCCCGCUCUCUCCAACCAUGCAUAUCUGUGGCUCUUCCUUCCAGCGUACUAGAUGCGAUGUGAUGCGAGAUUAGCCUAGGAAACAUUAGCCAACGGCAGGCGCCAGCGCCACCAAAAAAACAAAUAAUUCCGUGUCAGCACACCUUCAGUGGAAUUUCAGUACCAGUAGACAAUGGAUUUAGCUUGCAUUUCCUUUCCUUCCAAACAAAAAUGUGCGUGUGCAAGUGUAAUGUUGCACGCUCUCACUAGUCGGAGAGCUGUUAGUUGUUCAGAUAUAUUUUGUAAUGACUUAUUACAAGACCCAGCCCAGUGCAUAUAUCACUCAUCGCUCCUUAACCACUCGCCAUGUAUGCACUGUGGCAUCAGAGCGUUUCUGGAAUCAUUUCGAACCUAACAGUGGUUUUGGGCAGCCUCGAUUCCGCUUCACCGUCCGUGAAAAGCGAGGGGAUGCGAAGAGCGCCCUUAAGAACCUUCUGCUCAAUGGCGGCACAUGUCAGGUAUUUGUCUUGGCGAUCUUUUUUCUUUCUCCCCUUCCUACUCGUGAAUUCUCUCUGCCUGCAGACAUGUGAGCUUGUUUGUCUCUAAGCAAUUCCACUAAUGCACUUAACUUCUGGAGCGACCCCGUUUCGAUGCGGUCGUCCUGGUAUAAGUAACUGGACAUGUACCACAUGCCGGUUGGUGCUCGUGGGCACAAACAGAUUUGCCUCCUUCACCGCUACAGCUCAGUUCAUACCUGUGACUGCAUUGUUCUUUUUCAUUUGUUCGGGGAAAUACAUUCCCCGCUGUGAAAGUGGAUUGCUUCAAGUACGCGUCGUUGCUCUCUACAGGAAAGCAGUAACAAACAAAUGAGGAAGCAGAAAGGUGGUACCGGGUCGAAGGCUCAGCGCUCUGCUCCAGGAAAAAAUCCCUGUGGAAAAAAUAAGCGUAAGCUCUUUCAAACCGUUUACCUUGAGUGACUUUUGAAUUUUAAAUGCUUGUGUUGUUCUGUGUACAGCUCAAUUAUAUGUUUUCAAUCAUCUAGAAUACUGGACAGGAUACUAAAAAUACACAAACAUGAGGGCUCUGCCAACCUUUUACACGUGCAUUUGUUCCGCACUAACAUUUCCCUGCGAGCAUUGGCUUUUAAUGAUUUUUGCUCCAUUAUUUAUUUGCUGGACGAUCAUUUUCCUAGCACCUUUGCUAUGUACCUUUUAUUAUUUUAUGGAUAAGUUACAUUUCACGAUCUGCUUGUUACCUUCAAAUUAUUAUUAUUUGGAUGGAUUAUACCUAAAAAAUUAGCCUUGAAUAGGAGCACGAGCACGUAGAAAACACAGUUAUUCACGUGCAUGAACUUUGUCUUAUGCCUUCUGUUGGGUUUUAACUCUAGUCUACUCUAACUUGGGACGAAAAGGCUUUGUUGUUGUUGUAUAUUUGGAUGACAAGAACUGCACAUUGAUGUUUAACUUAGGCGGGCAUUACUGGAAAAGCUUCGAUGAUGACGAUGAAUGCGCGCACACACCAUAUGGUACCUAUGGUGGUAAGAAAUCUUUCACCUGGUACUGGCCUGGGGAGGACGACGGCCUUGGUAGUAAUCCUAGUGGUUUUCAAUGGAGGGAGGAAUCUCAGUCUGCCAAAUCAAAGGAGAAGUUCUGGAACGAAAGUGACGUCGAUGAGGACGAGGGGUCGAGCCGUGAUGAUCUGCGAAGCUAUAGGAUUUCUCUCGGAUUGCCAGUUUUAGGUCCCUUAAAGCUGGAUCAUAUUAAGGCUGCGUGAGUCAUCUGAACGUUUCCUACAACACCACAUUGCACUUGCAGGGCUUCAAUGUCACAAGGUUGCUAAUUCAACAUGGUGAUUCUGCAGUUUUCGUGCAUCUGCUCUCAAGUGGCACCCAGACAAACAUCAAGGGCCUUCACAGGUUGGUGUCAUAGUAUGUGUGUUAUCCUUGCAUUUUAUCAUCUGUUUCAAAUGAUUCUCGUGACUGGUGCUGAAGCUCAGUAUCUAUUCCUUCAGUGCAUGGAUAAAUCCGGAUCGAAUACAGACAGAUACUAGUGAUUUUACAUUUUUUUCCUACAUCUCAUAUUAUAUUCUAUAUUUUUAUCUCGGGUCUUAGAACCAGAUACAGAUUAUCUGGAUAAUGGUAUCUAUCUCAUAUAAGUACAUAUCAGAAAUCUGAUUUUGAAUAUCCGGAUUCGGGUACGGUUGGAUGCUAAAUUUUCGGGCUUAGAUACAGACUAUUCAUAUAGAAUUUUGACCCUUUCGGAACGGAUAGAUAGCGGAAUAUAUCCUUUCCAUCUUCAUCCCUACUUCAAGGAACUGUUUUGCGUGCAUUGCCAAAUUGACAUGCACGGCACACUUAAAGUGAUUGAGUUGAUUUGUUGAAACUGUGGAUUGAACAUGAAAAUACCAGCUCUGUUCUUUUUUGUUGAUUUACUUAACCAAAUCACCAAAGAUGUUAAUUCUGGACGCAUCUGUAUUUUCCAGGCUGAAGCAGAAGAAAAAUUCAGACGGUGCGUGGAAGCGUAUAACGCAUUGACUCGUGCUUUCAGAUCAAGUGGCUAACUACCGCGAGGAAUUUUGUUCUUUAUGAUUUGAGGUUUUCUUAGGACUCCUAGUGAUGUGUGCGUGGCUGCUGGUCUUCAGGACACAGAGACUGCUAGAAGUGAAGUUCAGAGUUAUGGCUUCAUGUUGAUAACGAAAUAUAUAAGCAUAAUCUUUACAAAAAAAACAUAGAUUAGGCCAGUCCUGCCAAAUCGUAUGAGAACGCAAAUUACAGGGCUCAUUUGUAUGAUGAUUUGGUUCCACACAACGCUGUAAGUAGAAAGCAAAUACUGUUUGUUCCAUGCUGAGAUUUUGUCAAGCAAAUACUCCCAGGAUGAAAGUGAAUAACCGAAUUGUUAGUAUAAAUUUAGUAUUUUAAAAUAUAUAUGUAUGAAACUUUAUGUUAUCAAGCACAUUGUUACAAAUAAAAAUAUUUUUCUUGUAUAAAUUAUUUUAUGUAUUAUUUACUCCAUACAAUAAACAAGUGAAAAUAUACAAUAAACAAGUGAAAAUAUCCGAGUUUUAUAUCUAUCAUUUGAAAGAUAUAUGAUAAAUUUAGGGUUUAUUUUUAUGAUUCUAUAUAAGCUCCAUGGUAAAAACAAGAAUAUAAAUUUACAUUAAAGAUUAUAUAUACUAUUUAUUUGUAAUCAAAGAAAAAAAGGCAAAUCGAAUAACUGUUUUUGACCAUUUUUAUCCCUAAAUACUCCAGAAAAACUUAAAACUGUCAGCAAAUACUUUGUCUAACAUAAAAUGCAGCAAGCCUUGCUACUCUCGUAACAAUUGUUUUGUGAUGACUGAAAUUGUCUUAACAGUUGAUGUUAGAGUGUAUAUGGGCCUGGCCCAUUAGGGGUUCCUAUUUCACCCGGUACUGUAGCAGCUAGGGUUCAUUGUACACCAUUCCUAUCACAUGGUACCAGAGCCAGGCUAGGGCUUUCUCCAGUCGCCGCUGCCAUCGCUCUCCAUGGCCGGUCGGCCGCAGCCCUUUCCCUCCUCCCCCGUCGACGGGAAACCCUUCCCCCCUCUCCCCCUCUCCUACCGAGCGGCGCUAGCCGCGCCCGCCACACGCGUGCGUACGUCGUCACCGUGCCCCCCCCAACCGACCCCACAUGCCCUCAGCCGGCACUGACGACCAGCAGCAGUAGUUCCCCUUGUCCCGUGGCUGCUCUGAUCCCGGCCGUCUCGAUCCCAGCGCCACGGCGCUUACCCCACCUCUCCCCUCUCCGCCCGCACCUCCGACCGAUCUGGCCUUCCUCCCCCCACACUCGUCCACCCACGCCUCCACCCAUGCCAUUCCACCAUCUGUCCGCCGGAGCCGCGCCGGCCCCCCACGGAUCUGCUUCGGCCAUCGCAGUCCUCUCCCUAGGGUUCCCCUCCAGUGCGCUCUCCAUGCCGAAUGCCGCCCUGCUUCGCUCUCAGUUGAUGGCGCCUGGUUUUCCCCAUGUCUUGCCCGACAUGACGGUUGGGGCCCCCGUGCGUGCCCACCCACCACCGCUAACUGUCUGCACCCAACCCUCCGCCAUCACCUCAUCCAUGUGCGCUCCUUCAGAUGACGCUGCCACCAUCCUCGCCGCCACCCAGGCGGUCGUUACUGCGGCUCGCCAGCGGGCCCAGGACGCCGCUCGUGCCCUUGAGCAGGAGCAGGCGGUUGUUGACGCCAUCAAGCGCCAAUAUGUCGAGACCUACCAUCGUCUCGCCGGCAAGGGCAUGUCGGACGGCUCCCACGUCCGCUUGGCUCUACGCCACACCUUCGAGCCCGCGUCCGCCCCUGCCUCCACUCUUCGCGCCUCUCUUCACGCUCAGGCAGCGGCCCUCACCAGCAUCAGGACCACUGUCACCGACAUUCUCGUGCUAGACUCCACUCAGUACCCUCGGUGGCGCGACCAGGUCCUGCAGACCCUCCGCCGCUACGCCCUCGCUGACCACGUCCUCUCCCCGGUCACUGACCCCACGGAGGAUUGGCUCCUGAUGGAUGAGGUGGUCCUUUCCUAGAUCCAUGGCACCCUCACGGCCAAACUUCAAGACAUCAUUCGUGUGUCGAACGAUACGGCUCACCGGAUCUAGGGUGCCCUUGAGGCUCAGUUCCUCGGCAACCGCCAGACUCGAAUUCUGUACCUUGAGACUGCCUUCCGCCAGCUUGCUCAUGGCGAUCUCUCUGUGGAUGAGUACUAUCGUCAGAUCAAGACGAUGGCGAACACUCUCCGCACCCUCGGGGCCCCCAUCACCGAUGAGAGCCUCGUGCUCAACCUCCUCCGUGGAUUGAGCCCUCGCUUCGAUCGUGUGACCCCCAUCCUUACCAGCAUGAAGUCGUUUCCCACUUUUGCGGAGGUCAAGAACAAUCUCCUUCUCGAGGAGCUUCACCUCUCCGCCACUACACUGUCGCUCCUGCCAUGGCGCUCUACAGCGCGCCUCGGGCUGCCCCCUCUGACUCUGGGGGUGUCACACCUGGGUUUCACGGGUCCAAAACCCAAGCGCGAAAUAAUCACCAGGUGUGCUGGGACCAAGUCUCACACAUAUGAUGAGUAGUGGUACAGAAAUGAAUGUCACAUCUUUACUAUAUAAUAGGAGUUCUGUACAAAAUAAAUAAAUAAAUAAUUACAUCAUAAGGAGACAACGAUCCAGCAACCUAAAGUUAACUGGGAGACGACGGCCUAGACCUCUCACGAACUCAUCACAGCAUCCUCCAUGCGUCUCAUUCUGUGGUACCUGUUCUUGACCUGUGGGGAGGUGUGAGGCAGCAAGAGUGAGCUCACAUACGUUCAUCGCUCAACAAGUAGUGGAGAAUAAUGUGCAUGAACUCGCCAAAGGUGGGAGCUCAUGUAAGGUGUAAGGCUUACCAAAGAGGAUGGCUAAAGCUGAGCAUUGCUUUUAAAGUUGAUCAAAAUUUUAUUAGCAGUUACUAAAUGUAAGUGAAUAUCAAACCAUAGUAGUAGUAAAUCAAGUUAAUAAUAAAUCUCAAUGCGAUGCAAAUGACAAAUUGAAUUUAAUUCCAUAAAUUAAUCAUGUGAGUGUACGAGCUGCUCAUGACCGUGAGCACGGCUAGUAUACCAGUUUUACACUCUACAGAGGUUACGCAUCUUUACCCACAAGUCAUGUUACCCAUCUGCCAAGGGAUCGUGACUUCCCAUACACCUAUACCGAGGAGGCGAGGCAGGGUAAUACUACGAGGCCUUUACAAAGUCCCACUAGCUUCAGAAAACCCGCUAUAGUUUCUAGGAAGCUCCAAUACAGGUACCUCUCGCCUGACCAUCAUCGCAGCAAAAUCAACCCAAGGGCCUCCCUACACUGACCACUCCCCUACUGCCCUUGCCCCUUUCGGGUAAGGUAGUCCUCCACUAGCUUUCCUAAUUAGUCAGCCAAGGGCAUCCCAUACCACCCUUGUGGUAGCACUGUUUUCCCGGCUGGUUCUCCAUGUUCCAAUUAACAUAAUGAUCUUAUCAUGAACAGUAAAUAACAAACUGAUAAUAGAAGUAGGAUCCUGAAUAAUAUGUAUCUCCAUAUCCAAAACCAUAUAAAGCAAUAACAGGUACUACCCAAAAAUUCAAUGGUGUAAACAAGGUAUAAAGAUAGUCAAACUAGGGUAACCUAUUGGGUUCCAUCAAAAUUAACAUAUGCAGAUCAUUAUAAUUAAUAAGAACAUGAUUGGAUAAAAAGAAGUGAUCAAGGGCACAACUUGCCUGGGACUCGAGAUUCCAGGUACCAGCUUGCUCUUCAGUCGACUCGUAACCUCGCUGCUAGUUGUAGCAAUACAAACAAACAUGGUAUAGGCACAAUAAACAUCACACCAAAUAUAAGAACAAACUGCAUAAGAAUAUUCUAUGUGUCAUAACGAGAUCAUGGGUUCGAGAACUACUAAAAUCGGAGUUACUGUCGAGGAGUUAUGAUUUGUGGAAGAUCUACGUGAUUUAAAUAUUAAACUAUAUUAUAAAUUGAUUAGGGUACACCAUAUGAGAGAAUAUUCUAUAAAAAAAUUAACUCAACUUUAAUUUUAAUUAUACUUAACUAGAGAUCAUGUUUUAACCAACUUAUAAUUAUGGUCAGGUUGGUUUUGAUUUAGAAGAACUAAUCUAGUAGACAUAAGAUAAAUAAAUAUCAAAGUAUGCGACAUGGUAUAAUUAAUGUUGUUACUGCGUAGUAAAUAUUUAUACGGAGCUAACGCAACUGAUACGGGUCAAAUCGGAAUUAAAACGAAGAAGUUAUGAAUUUCCGAAGUUCGUAUGUGCUUGCUACAAAAUUGAGUAAUCAAUUCUAGUAUGGGUUUCAUAUCAAAACAGUGUUACCAAGUAAUAGACAAUAUUAAUACAAAAUUAUAGGAACUGGAAUGGACUAAAAAGGAUUUACCAUGAAUUUUCUAUGAAUUAAAUGGUUUUCUGCAGAUAUUUUUAUACUCAAAAUCGAUUUCUAUAUCUCUUUUUCCUGUUUUCUUUAAUUCCUGGACUGCGCACAUGAUUCCAGUGUAGUUCAGGGUUCUAUUCAUAAAUUCCAGGGCCUCUGCGUAAUGGUUUUAUAAAGGACCCGGACUGCGGGUUAGUUUUGGAAAAAGCGAGGGGCUCUUAUGUGAAUUUGGCUCGGCGAAGUCCACCGCCAGGAUUAGAUCAUACCCCUGACAACCAAAACGCUUCCCAACUGUCGAAUCCGAUCCCAAUGGUGCAGUUUAGAUCUGGCUCUAACCCAAGUGAUACGCGCACAGAGCCAUUGAUCCAACGAUCUGUGGCUAGGAUUCUAUAUAGACGAAGGGGGUAUGCUUGAUUAAAUCAUGGCCACCCAUCUGUGAGUCGACGGUUCUGAUCUAUCAGGCUGAAGCAGUACCUGCGAUCUAAUCGUAGCCGUUCACACGGAAUCAGACGGUAGCGAGAUCGUCGUCCCCGCGGCCCUCCAUAGCCACGCCGGCGCGACCCAAUACCCGGCAGCGCCAUUGCAGGGGCAACCCACCCGCGCAUUCUAGUGCCCGACUACCGAUCCGAAACGGUCCCAACCCAAGGGGCGACCCAGGCGAACGCAUAGGCAACUUCCAUACCUCGAUUUAUGGCGACGACCGCGUGGUCCAUGGCGCAAGGCAGAUCUACGAACGCGCCCAUACUCCGACGAGGAAUCGCCAUGGAUUCGUGGCCUCCCACGCUGAUUUGUUGGUAGCUAAAGCUUUCCCUCGCCCUGUAGAAUCCCGCGCCCACACCAUGAAAGCCUAACCGUGACUCUGGUAAGAAUAGCCGCGGCGGCUCCCAUCCUCUCUCUACUCCGCCUCUGAUGGUGGGGAAAAAGGGGGUCACAGCAUGGUUUUAUGGUUGGGGAUGGGGACACACAUGGCCGACCCGACUCCGAGAUCAGUGCGAAAAUGGGGGAUGUCUGUUGCGGUCAGCCAGAGCCGAUCUCGGCGGAAAACAGAGCUCCGGUUGCGAAGCAAUUCUGUUGAGACGGCGACGACGAAGCACCUGGCGAAGCGGUCCCACCAGGCAGAGGGAUGACCCGCGAGUAAGAACAUGUGCACGCAAACUAGGUGGCCGACCAAUGGGCCCCACAUGGCGGUGGUGUGGCGCGAGUGUAUGGCAAUAGGGGCCCACACGCCAGAGACAACGGGCGCGGCUCAACGCGCACGCAGAGCAGGCCUGGCAAGAGGGAAAUGGGCUGUGGGGUAUAUAUUCGGCCCAAGAGGCUGAUAGGUUUGAUCUUUUCUUUUUAUUUUCGAGUUCUUCCUCCAAAUUCAAUUCCUAUUUCAAAUCUCCCAAGUGUCAGAAUUAAUACUAAUAUAAAUAUGACCUCUACUAUUUUCAAUAUUAUUAUUUUUUAUUUUCCUUAUUAUUUAUUUAUGGGAGGAAUAAAUGGUUUCAUUAAAAUUCCCUCUCUCAUUUUCUUAAUUCCUUUUCUAUUUUUAAAUUCUAUUUUUUCACUUAAACUUGUCUCAUACAUGUAGCGCCCCGAAUUUCGAGUUGAAUUUUUUCUUUUCUCUAUCGCUCGCUAAAUUCGGGCAUUACCCCUCUUUCCCAUUUCUUUUCGCUAAAACCUCACCCGUCUUCAAAACUUUAAGUCAUGUGAUAAUGGUAAACCCUAGAGUUAAUUUCUUUGAUUUGCUGCACCAUGCCGAACCAUGCAUUUUUUGAUUGUUGAAAAUGUGAAAGCAUUCAUAUACAAAAUUAGAUAUCAAAAAAGGGAAAAUAUUUUCUUUUCUCUCCUCUCCCUCUCCUCCCCUUUUUGGCCCAGCCGCCCCCCUGGGCGCGCGGCCCAGAUGGCCGGCCGGCCCAACCGGCCACGCCCCCUCUCCCCUUCCCCCCUCGCGUCGUGGGCCGGCGGUGUGGCGGCUUAGCUCGCCUCUCCCCGCCCCCCGCUUUGGCCCCAGGAGCGGCCCAGCCGCCCCCUCCCCCCAAAUCUCUCUCCCCUCUCCUGCGGGCCCCGCCUUUCAUCCCUCUCCCCUCCCCCCAAAUCUCUCUCUCCCCUGCCUAACCCGCCCCGAUACCCUGCUCGCCCGAAACCGCCGCCGCCGCCAAUCCCCGCCCGCGGUGAGCCCCUCCCUCCCCCUCUCCUCUUCUCUCUCCCCUCCCUCCUCCUUCCCCCGCCCGUCGGCGCCCUUCCCGCGUCCCGGCCGCGCCCGGCCCCGCCCGACUCAAGCUCGCCGGCUAUGGCGCCGGCCCCCAUCCGCCCCGCCCCGGUGCGAGCGACCCCGCCCCUCCCCUCGGUGUGGCCGGCCAUGGCGGGCCGGCGCCUUCCCGCGGCGCGGCGAGCCCCGCCCCGCCCGCGCGCGCUCGCCCGCCCCCGGCCGCGCCCGCCCUCGGCUCGCCCGUCCCGAGCUCGUUCCGCCCCGGCCGCGCUCGCCGACCCCGCCCGCCCCGGCCAUGGUGGCCCCUGCCCGUCACGCCCGCGCCGUCCCCUGUCCCGGCGUGGUGGCCGGCCGUGGCCUCGCCGGCCAUGGCGCCCGUGCGGCGUGCCCCGCCCGCCUGGCCGGCGUGCCCUCGCCCCGCCAUGCGCGCGCGCCCGGCCUCGGCCCCGUCCCGGCCAUGGCGUGUGGCCAUGGCGCGCCCACCCGUGCUCGCCUGCCCGCCCCGACGUGUCCUGCUCGCGUCGUGACGGCCCCGGCGCGGCCUCAAGCUCGGCCCAGCGUGCCUAUGGCGCGCGGCCUUGAGCUCGGCCAGCGCGCGGCCCCGACGUGUGCACGGCUAGUUCGCGGCGCAUGUGUACGGCCUUGCGCGCGCGCUGCUCGCGUGGUGCGCGCGGUGCCUUGGCACGGCUUGCCGUGCCCUCGUCUACCCCUAGACGUGCCCGUCUACCCCCCUAUAUUUUAUGCGCGCUAAUCACGUUGUUCAUGUUAAUGAAAUAGGAAACUCAAUUUGGAAAUUGGUUACGUUAGUUAAUUCAUAUAGUUAAUCGUCUAGCUCAUUUAAUGUUGAUCAACUGAAAGUGGUCAUGUUUCUAUUAGUGCAUGUAGCUAAUCCUUAUUUUUGGAGCUAAGUAGAACUAGAGCACGUAACGUCUAGUUAUUCGUCUACCCAUAAUGCGCCUCGAGCAUAAGCUUUAACCCCUGCGAGACCUUCCCCCGAUUCUUUCUAACCAUGGUAAAUGUAAUAUCGUAUGUUAUAUUCUAUGCAUGUUUAAUCUACUUGUUCUCUUGUAUGGUGUACUGUUUGUUUCCUAAUUUGAAUGGAUGGAUGUAUGUAUGUUUGCACUCGCAUAGAGAACGAUCCGGUUGAAGAGCCCGAAGAACUCGCAGGAGAAGCCCCUGAGCAGCAGUCGGUUGGUGGAGGCAAGUGUCCCUUGACCUAUCUCUGUCCUAUUUAUUCUUUAAUUCACCUCCCGCAUUACACAUUUAUGCCUAAGGAUUGACUAGCUUUGUUAUCCAUGUCCUUGUUUACCUAUUUGGGUUGGAUUAUUAUUGCUUAGUCUUAUGCUAUUGCUCCACUCUAAUCAAUGAACAUGAUGAGAAUGAGCAAUGAUAUGCUGUUUUCCCCCUUCUUAUUAUGAUGUUAUACUUGUGGCCUUUAAGGGGGCUCGAGCGGUUUCUCGAGUGCCUCUCCGUAAGGACUUGUUCGUUGGAUGACCGCCCGGGAAAACAGUGCAACCAUGAGGGUGGAAUGGGGUGCCCUUAGCUGAAUAAUUAGAGGAUGCGGGGUGUAGUUCGCUUCGUCGUCGUGCCGUCAAUGGGGCUCGGUGUAUGCGGCUCGCUCUGCCAAGGUUGAUUUGUCCCUUGGGGAGGAGUGCGGUACAUUUAGGAAACCUAAUGGGCGACUACAGCCCCAGGGAAUCUUUGUAAAAGCUACGUAUAGUGAAACCCUGCUGGGUCACCUUGGUAGUGAUCAAUGGAGAGUCAUGAUCUCCGGGCAUAAAGGGAAUCACGGCUUGUGGGUAAAGUGCACAACCUCUGCAGAGUGUUUGAAACUGAUAUAUCAGCCGUGCUCGCGGUUAUGAGCGGCCAAGGGAGCUCCAGUGAUUAGUGGUACUUGAUCAGAGAUGGUCGGAUUACAGGUGGUAACGAGGUUGAUGGUUCUUGGUUUUGACUCUGGUAAUCGUAAGUGGUACUCUUUCCGUUUGGAAAGGAGUACGUUUGGGUUAAUAACGUGGGUUAACUCUAAAACUUGGCUUUCUCUACUAGUAAUAAUAAUCUGACCAACUAAAAGCAACUGCUCGACUUACCCCCACAUAAAGCUAGUCCACUACAACCAGACAGGACACUUGCUGAGUAUGUUGAUGUGUACUCACCCUUGCUCUACACACCAAACCCCCCAUCCCCAGGUUGUCAGUAUUGCAACCCCUGCUCAGGAGAAGGCGAAGCCGUGGAAGGAGACUUCAAGGAGUUCCAAGACUACGACGAGUUCUAGGCGUGGGUUAGCGGCAACCUCCAGUCGGCUGCCUGUGAAGGCCGCGUUUAUCUACGUUUCUUUUCCGCACUUUGAUGAUUUGUAAAGACUAUGUGGAUGUCUCAGACAUAUGAUGUAAUCGACUACUAUUUCCCUUUUUAAUACUAUUUGAGCACUGUGUGAUGAUGUCCAUGUUAUGUAACUGCUGUGUACGUGAAUUGCUGAUCCUGGCACGUACAUGGUUCGCAUUCGGUUUGCCUUCUAAAACCGAGUGUGACAUAAGUGGUAUCAAAGCCGUGCUGACUGUAGGACCGCUAACCUAGAGUAGAAUGGUCGUUCUAAGGAUUAUAGACCUCUAUCCCUGCCUUGACUUUGGUAUCCCUUCAAAAGUUGGUCAUAUCGACCAAAACCUAUGUUCUACUGUAUAUUAUACCUUGCUGAAAAUUGUGUUUUAUUCUAAUCCUUCAAUUAUUUAUGGUUCAUUACUUGCUGGUCAUACUAGUUCUGUUCUCACUCUUUUGCUUGCGGUGUCUUUUGUAGAUGGCUCGUCUUAGACACACCGCAUGAAAGUCUGUCAUCCCCUUCUUACCCUCUCGUCUCGCGGAGCGUCUGCUUCGCCAUCCCGUGGCCGGUCAGUCCAGUCACUUGGAGAGGCUGCACCACCGCCUGCAUGAGGAGCAAGAGCGUCGACGACAGGAGCAGGGGCAGCAGGGCUCUUCUUUCUCGCUCCAGCAGGAGAUAGAGUCUGUGAGGAGUUGCUCCCCCGUGCUUCCUCUGGAGGUGCCCCCUGCACCACCACUGGGCGCCCCAGCCUCUGGAGUAGCUGCUGAAGGAGGCCUAGAUGACGGAGGUGGCAACGACAGCUCGAGCCACGACAUCGACUUUUCUGCUGACCAGGAGCCAGAAGGAUGGGUUGCUCGACCCAUCACUCGCGACGCUGCUCGCGGGUGUCACUUCCACGAUGCGCUCGACACCCUGCUACAUCGGGCACUUAACCGGCGUACUUGGUCUAUCGAGUAUCGCUGUGUGGUCUACCAGCAUAGUCGCAGGGUCUACCCGGACCACUGGGAGGCGACCUGCUUGGUGCGCCGUCCGGAGAACAGUCUCCAGGGUGCGAAGGCCUGCUCAGAGCACUAUUCUAUCUCUGAGCGGGACUCAGCUGAGGCGGCCAUGCAAGAUGUUGCACGGCGUGCGCUUUCGCACUACUGCUUGGUCCUCGAUGGGGUAGCUGACGGUCUCAACCUGAAGUAUUACCCCCGCCGUCCAUCUGGCAGCACAGGAGGUGUGAUUGUUUCACCUGUCGGUGAGGACAAUACUAGGUUGAGCAGCACAGUCAACCUAGCCGUCGUGCUAAACACGGAGCUAGACCAUGCGCUAGACGAGCUGAGUAGGGCUCAUGCUGAGAUCGCCCUGCUGCGGGCUGAGCGCGCGGAGCGUGGUCACCUGGAUGAUGGUUCCCCCGCUCCUGUCGGGACUCAGCGCCCGUACCGCUCACCUCGUCGUGGACACCAGCCUUAUGGCAAUCCCGACUGCAAGAACAAGAUAGACUUGGAACCAUAGAUCAUCAGUGUGGAGUCUUGUAAUAAAUGCUUAAUAUAGAAGUUUUAGUCUUAGUCUUAGUCUCAGUCUUAGCGUUAGUCUCGCUCUUAGUUAGUCUUAGUUAGACAGGGUAGUUUGCUAUAUCCUGUGCAUUUAUGUUUGUCAUGAUGAACUAUGUUUGGUUUGGAUCUUUGUAAUGACUGUCACCAGAGUGUGGGUAUCCCCUGCAUUUUGGUUUACCUGUUAUGUUAAUGGAGUUAGUCAUCUAGUUGGGAAGCCUUUUACUCCACUUUCCUCUUUAUCUGAGAAGCUGUGUUGGUCUGUGUUGGAGAUCAGUGAAGAUGCUCAUCUGUUCAGUGUUAUGGAGAAUUCUAUACUCUUUUCUUAUGCUGCAAGAUUUGCAAGAUCAGUUCUGAUGUGUGAUUGCAUUCUGCAGAUGUCAGAGAACAGGCGCAGAGGAGGAAGGCGUGCUCAGCAGGAGCAAGCCGCUCAGCAGGAUGAGGUGCCUCAGGAACAGCAACUACCGCCCCCGCCCCCGAUGUCCAUCGAGCAGAUGUUCCUGAUGCAGACUCAGGCAGUUCAAGCCAUCGGUCAGACUCUAGUCGCCAUUCAGCAGCAGCAACAGCAACAGGCCCCACCUCAGCCUCAGAUGCCUUAGAUGCCCAGGGACAAGCGUGCUGAAUUCAUGAGAGGUCAUCCACCAACGUUUGCUCAUUCUUCUAACCCCAUGGAUGCUGAAGACUGGCUACGCACUGUGGAGCGGGAGUUGCAUACCGCUCAGUGUGACAACAGGGAGAAUGUCAUGUAUGGUCCCCGUCUGUUGAGAGGAGCAGCUCAGUCAUGGUGGGAGUCUUAUCUCGCCACCCACGCCAACCCCGACACCAUCACCUGGGAAGAGUUCAGAGGUAGCUUUCGUCAGUACCAUGUUCCUGCAGGUCUGAUGACAGUGAAGAAGGAGGAGUUUCUAGCCCUCAAGCAAGGGUCAUCGUCUGUCAGUGAGUACCGGGAUAGGUUUCUGCAGUUGUCUCGCUAUGCUCAUGAAGAUGUCAACACCGACGCCAAGAGAUAGUAUCGUUUCCUGAGAGGCUUGGUUGACCCUCUUCAGUACCAACUGAUGAAUCACACCUUCCCGACAUUCCAGCACUUGAUUGACAGGGCAAUCAUGACAGAGAGGAAGCGUAAGGAGAUGGAGGAUCGUAAGCGCAAGAUCAGUGGACCCCAGCCUGGAAGCAGCAAUUGUCCUCGUUUCUCAGGCAAUCAACCUCAGCAGUUCAGGCAGAACCAGUGUCCACCUCAGCAUCAGCAGUUCCAAAGGCAGUAUCCUCAGCACCAGUAUCAGAAUCGUCAGAACAAUUAGUCAGGAGGAGGUCAGUUCCAGAGGCAGAAUCAGCAGGCACCUCAUCUUCCUGCCCCAGCAACCCAGCAGAACAGUCAGGCAGCACCAGCUCAGGUUGGAAACAGAGCAUGUUUCCACUGUGGAGAGCAAGGCCACUGGGUGAUGCAAUGUCCGAAGAAGGCAGCCCAGCAGCAGUCAGGUCCCAAUGCCCCAGCAAAGCAGAAUGUGUCUCAGCCUGGAGCAGGCAACCGCUCUUAGCCGCGCUAUAAUCAUGGGAGACUGAAUCACUUGGAGGCUGAAGCAGUUCAGGAGACCCCCGACAUGAUAGUAGGUAUGUUCCCAGUCAACUCCGAUAUUGCAGAAGUGUUAUUUGAUACUGGAGCAACGCAUUCCUUCAUUACUGCAUCAUGGGUAGAAGCACAUAAUCUUCCAAUAACUACCAUGUCAACCCCCAUUCAAAUUGACUCAGCCGGUGGUAGAAUUCGAGCCGAUAGUAUUUGUUUGAAUGUAUGUGUGGAAAUAAGGGGGAUAGCGUUUCCCGCUAACCUCAUAGUAAUGGGUACCCAGGGAAUAGAUGUCAUCCUAGGGAUGAAUUGGCUAGAUAAGUAUCAGACAGUUAUCAGUUGUGAUAAGAGAACAAUCAAGUUGGUGUCCCCACUAGGAGAGGAAGUGGUGACCGAGUUAGUCCCGCCUGAGCUGAAGAAAGGAAGUUGUUAUCAGAUGGCUGUCGUUAGCAGUGAAGCAGACCCAAUUGAGAGUAUCAAGGUUGUGUCCGAGUUCCCGGAUGUGUUUCCAAAGGACUUACCGGGUAUGCCACCAGAGCGGAAAGUUGAGUUUGCCAUAGAGCUUCUUCCUGGAACCGCCCCUAUCUUUAAGAGAGCAUACAGAAUAUCUGGACCAGAGUUGGUUGAACUUAAGAAGCAGAUUGAUGAGCUGUCAGAGAAAGGUUACAUUCGGCCAAGCACCUCGCCUUGGGCCACCCCUGUCCUAUUUGUGGAGAAGAAAGAUGGCACCAAAAGGAUGUGUAUCGAUUAUCGAGCUCUAAAUGAAGUCACAAUCAAGAACAAGUACCCUUUGCCCAUAAUAGAAGAUCUGUUCGACCAGUUGAGAGGAGCCAAUGUGUUCUCCAAGAUAGAUCUGAGGUCAGGUUAUCAUCAGCUCAGGAUCCGACCUUCAGACAUUCCGAAGACGGCAUUCAUUACCAAGUAUGGGUUGUAUGAGUUCAUAGUGAUGUCUUUCGGUCUAACCAAUGCACCGGCCUUCUUCAUGAACCUGAUGAACAGUGUAUUCAUGGACUAUCUCGAUAAGUUUGUGGUGGUAUUCAUCGAUGACAUUCUGAUUUAUUCUCAAAGCGAAGAAGAGCAUGCAAGUCAUUUGAGGAUGGUAUUGCAGAGAUUGCGAGAGCACCAGUUGUAUGCAAAGUUGAGCAAGUGUGAGUUCUGGAUCAGUGAAGUCUUGUUCUUGGGUCACAUAAUCAACAAAGAAGGAUUGGCUGUGGAUCCGAAGAAAGUGGCAGACAUUCUGAACUGGAAGGCGCCAACAGAUGCUCGAGGAAUCAAGAGUUUCAUUGGAAUGGCCGGAUAUUAUCGGCGAUUCAUUGAAGGGUUUUCGAAGAUUGCGAAACCAAUGACAACAUUGCUAGGCAAUAGGGUCGAGUUCAAGUGGACCCAGAAAUGUCAAGAGGCCUUUGAAGCGCUGAAAGAGAAGUUGACUACAUCGCCUGUCUUAGUCUUGCCUGAUGUGCACAAGCCCUUCUCGGUGUUUUGUGAUGCUUGUUACACUGGUUUGGGAUGUGUGUUGAUGCAAGAGGGAAGAGUUGUGGAUUACUCGUCCCGACAGUUGAGAGUUCAUGAGAAGAAUUACCCAAUCCAUGACCUAGAGUUGGCAGCAGUGGUUCACGCAUUGAAGACAUGGAGGCACUAUCUGUAUGGAUAGAAAUGCGAUGUUUACACAGACCACAAGAGUCUGAAGUACAUAUUCACUCAGUCAGAGCUGAAUAUGAGGCAACGAAGAUGGUUAGAGCUGAUCAAAGACUACGAAUUGAAGAUUCAUUACCAACCAGGCAAAGCGAACGUAGUGGUAGAUGCUUUGAGCAGGAAGAGUCAAGUCAAUCUGAUGGUCGCUCGUCCGAUGCCUUAUGAGUUGGCCAAAGAGUUUGACAGGUUGAGUCUUGGGUUUCUGAACAACACGCGAGGAGUCACAAUUGAGUUGGAACCUACCCUGGAGCGGGAAAUCAAAGAAGCGCAGAAGAACGAUGAGAAGAUCAGUGAGAUCCGGCGACUGAUUCUAGAUGGCAGAGGCAAAGAUUUUUUGGAAGACGCAGGAGGUGUGAUAUGGUUCAAAGACCGCUUGUGUGUUCCCAAUGUCCAGUCUAUUCGAUUCACCCUGGUAGUGAGAAGAUGUAUCAGGAUCUGAAGAAGAAAUUCUGGUGGUACGGAAUGAAGAGGGAAAUCGCAGAUCAUGUGGCUAUGUGUGAUAGUUGUCGGCGGAUCAAGGCGGAGCACCAGAGACCAGCUGGAUUGUUGCAACCGUUGCAAAUUCCCCAGUGGAAAUGGGAUGAAAUCGGCAUGGAUUUCAUAGUCGGAUUGCCUCGUACUCGAGCCGGCUACGAUUCCAUUUGGGUAGUGGUGGAUCGCUUAACCAAGUCAGCCCACUUCAUACCUGUCAAGACCAACUACAGCAGUGCAGUAUUGGCAGAGUUGUACAUGUCUCGGAUCGUCUGUCUUCAUGGUGUGCCAAAGAAGAUAGUGUCAGACCGAGGAACGCAGUUCACCUCUCAUUUCUGGCAGCAGUUGCAUGAAGCCUUGGGCACACAUCUGAAUUUCAGUUCAGCUUAUCAUCCGCAGACAGAUGGUCAGACCGAAAGGACCAAUCAAAUCCUCGAAGACAUGUUGAGAGCUUGUGCGUUGCAAGAUCAGUCCGGAUGGGACAAGAGAUUGCCUUACGCAGAGUUCUCCUAUAACAACAGUUACCAGGCCAGUUUGAAGAUGUCACCUUUUCAGGUGCUUUAUGGAAGGAGUUGUAGAACUCCAUUGCAAUGGGAUCAGCCUGGGGAAAGCAAGUGUUCGGGCCAGACAUUCUGCUUGAAGCCGAAGAGAACAUCAAGAUGGUCCGAGAGAAUCUGAAGAUAGCGCAAUCAAGGCAGCGAAACUAUGUAGAUACAAGAAGAAGAGAGCUGAGUUUCGAAGUCGGAGAUUUUGUCUAUCUAAAAGUGUCACCGAUCAGAGGAGUCAGAAGGUUCGGAGUUAAGGGCAAGCUAGCACCCCGCUACAUCGGUCCGUACCAGAUUCUCGCAAGGCGUGGAGAAGUGGCCUAUCAGCUCAGCCUACCAGAAAAUUUAUCUGCUGUGCAUGAUGUCUUUCAUGUGUCUCAAUUGAAGAAGUGCUUGCGUGUGCCAGAAGAGCAGUUGCCAGUUGAAGGUCUUGAAGUCCAGGAGGACUUGACCUACGUUGAGAAGCCAACGCAAAUCCUUGAGACCGCAGACAGAGUCACCCGAAGGAAGACCAUCAGAAUGUGCAAGGUCAGAUGGAAUCAUCACUCUGAGGAAGAGGCAACCUGGGAGCGUGAAGAUGAUCUGAUGGCCAAAUACCCUGAGCUCUUUGCUAGCCAACCCUGAAUCUCGAGGGCGAGAUUCUUUUAAGGGGGAUAGGUUUGUAACGCCUCGAAUUUCGAGUUGAAUUUUUUCUUUUCUCUAUCGCUCGCUAAAUUCGGGCGUUACCCCUCUUUCCCAUUUCUUUUCGCUAAAACCUCACCCGUCUUCAAAACUUUAAGUCAUGUGAUAAUGGUAAACCCUAGAGUUAAUUUCCUUAAUUUGCUGCACCAUGCCGAACCAUGCAUUUUUUGAUUGUUGAAAAUGUGAAAGCAUUCAUAUAGAAAAUUAGAUAUCAAAAAAAGGGAAAAUCUUUUCUUUUCUCUCCCCUCCCUCUCCUCCCCUUUUUGGCCCAGCCCCCCUGGGCGCGCGGCCCAGAUGGCCGGCCAGCCCAACCGGCCACGCCCCCUCUCCCCUUCCCCCCCCCUCGCGGCGUGGGCCGGCGGUGUGGCGGCCCAGCUCGCCUCCCCCCGCCCCCCUCCCCGCUUUGGGCCCAGGAACGGCCCAGCCGCCCCCUCCCCUCCCUCCAAAUCUCUCUCCCCUCCCCUGCGGGCCCCGCCUGUCAUCCCCCUCCCCUCCCCCCAAAUCUCUCUCUCCCCUGCCCAGCCCGCCCCGAUCCCCUGCUCGCCCGAAACCGCUGCCGCCGCCGAUCCCCGCCCGCGGUGAGCCCCUCCCCCCUCUCCUCUUCUCUCUCCCCUCCCUCCUCCUUCCCCUACCCGCCGGCGCCCUUCCCGCGUCCCGGCCGCGCCCGCCCCCGCCCGCCUCGAGCUCGCCGGCUAUGGCGCCGGUCCCGUCCGCCCCGCCCCGGCGCGAGCGACCCCGCCCCUCCCCUCGGUGUGGCCGGCCAUGGCGGCCCGGCGCCCUCCCGCGGCGCGGCGAGCCCCACCCCGCCCGCGCGCGCCCGCCCCAGCCCGCCCCCGCUCUCGCCGGCCCCCGGCCGCGCCCGCCCUCGGCUCGCCCGCCCCGAGCUCGUCCCGCCCCGGCCGCGCUCGCCGACCCCGCCCGCCCCGGCCAUGGUGGCCCCUGCCCGUCGCGCCCGCGCCGUCCCUGCCCCAGCGUGGUGGCUGGCCAUGGCCUCGCUGGCCAUGGCACCCGCGCGGUGUGCCCCGCCCGCCCGGCCUCGGCCCCGUCCCGGCCAUGGCGCGUGGCCAUGGCGCGCCCGCCCGUGCUCGUUCGCCCGUGCUCGCCCGCCCGCCCCGGCGUGUCCUGCUCGCGUCAUGACGGCCCCGGCACGGCCUCGAGCUCGACCCAGCGUGCCUAUGGCGCGCGGCCUUGAUCUCGGCCAGCGUGUGGCCCCGACGUGCACGGCUAGUUCGCGGCGCGUGUGUGCGGCCUUGCGCGCGCGCUGCUCGCGUGGUGCGCGCGGUGCCUUGGCACGGCUCGCCGUGCCCUCGUCUACCCCUAGACGUGCCCGUCUACCCCCCCGUAUAUUUUAUGCGCGCUAAUCACGUUGUUAAUGUUAAUGAAAUAGGAAACUCAAUUUGGAAAUUGGUUACGUUAGUGUCGGGGACCAUAUAUAGGGGUACCCCCAAGACUCCAAAUCUCAGCUGGUAACCCCCAUCAGCACGAAGCUGCAAAGGCCUGAUGGGCGCGAUUAAGGUCAAGGCUCAGUCCACUCAAGGGACAUGAUCUCGCCUCGUUCGAGCCCAGCCUCGGGCAAAGGCAGCCGACCCCGGAGGAUUCACGUCUCGCUCGAGGGCCCCCUCAAGCAACGGACACACCUUCGGCUCGCCCGAGGCCCAGUCUUCGCAGAGAAGCAACCUUGGCCAGAUCGCCACACCAACCGACCGUAUCGCAGGAGCAUUUAAUGCAAGGAUCGCCUGACACCUUAUCCUGGCGAGCGCUCUUCAGUCGACAGAGCCGAAGUGACCGCGGUCACUUCGCCGCUCCACUGACCGACCUGACAAGGAAACAGCGCCGCCUGCGUCGCUCCGACUGCUGUGCCACUCGACAGAGUGAGACUGACAGCAGCUAAGUCCAGCCUCGGGCGACAUACGAAGCUCCGCCUCGCCCAACCCUAGGGUUUGGCCCCAGCCUCGGCUCCGGAAGACGACGAACUUAGCCUCGACCGACCCCAGGGCUCGGACACAGCCUCGGUCUCGGAAGACGGUCUCCGCCUCGCCCGACCCUAGGGCUCGGACUCAACCUCGACCUCGGAAGACGGACUCCGCCUCGCCCGACCCCAGGGGUCGGACUCAGCCUCGACUCCGGAAGACGGACUCGACCUCGACCUCGGAGGAGCCUCCACCUCGCCCGACCUAGGGCUCAGACCGACCAUGUCACAGGGGGGCCAUCAUUACCCUACCCCUAGCUAGCUCAGGCUACAGGGAACAAGACCGGCGUCCCAUCUGGCUCGCCCCGGUAAACAAAUAAUGAUGGCGCCCCGCGUGCCCCAUGAUGACGGCGACGCUCAGCCCCUUACGGAAGCAAGGAGACGUCAGCAAGGAUUUGGCAGCCCCGACAGAUGUCCUUCCGCAGGGCUCCAGCUCUCCUCCGACGGCCACGACAUCACAUGAACAGGGUGUCAAAACCUCUCCGACUGCCAUGACGACAUGUACUUAGAGCUCUAGCUCCUCUCUGCUAGACACGUUAGCACACUACUACACCCCCCAUUGUACACCUGGACCUUCUCCUUACGCCUAUAAAAGGAAGGUCCAGGGCUCUCGUACGAGAAGGUUGGCCGCGCGGGAGAACGGGCCGACGCGUAAGGCUCUCCCACGCGAACGCUUGUAACCCCCUACUGCAAGCGUGAUAGUCGCCUAGAGGGGGGGGGGGGGUGAAUAGGGCGAAACUGAAAUUUACAAAAAUAAUCACAACUACAAGCCGGGGUUAGCGUUUAGUAAUAAUAAACGAGUCCGCAAGAGAGGGAGCAAAACAAAUCGCAAGCAAAUAAAGAGAGUGACACGUGGAUUUGUUUUACCGAGGUUCGGUUCUUGCAAACCUACUCCCCGUUGAGGAGACCACAAAGGCCGGGUCUCUUUCAACCCUUCCCUCUCUCAAACGGUCCCUCGGACCGAGUGAGCUUUCCUUCUUCUCAAUCAACCGGGAACAAAACUUCCCCGCAAGGGCCACCACACAAUCGGUGCCUCUUGCCUCGGUUACAAUUGAGUGUUGAUCACAAGAGCAAAAAGAGAAAGAAAGAAUGCGAUCCAAGCGCAAGAGCUCAAAAGAACACGGCAAAUCUCUCUCGCUAGUCACUAAAGGCUUGAGUGGAAUUGGAGAGGAUUUGAUCUCUUUGUAUGUGUCUAGAAUUGAAUGCCUAGCUCUUGUAAGUGGUUAGAAGUUGGAAAACUUGGAUGACAAUGAAUGUGGGGUGGUUGGGGUAUUUAUAGCCCCAACCACCAAACUUGACCGUUGGCUGAAGCCUUCUGUUCGAUGGCGCACCGGACAGUCCGGUGCACACCGGACAGUCCGGUGCCCCUGCCACGUCAUCACUGCCGUUGGAUUCUAGCCGUUGGAGCUUCUGACUUGUGGGCCCGCCUGGGUGUCCGGUGCACACCGGACAUGCACUGUUUGAUGUCCGGUGCACCGGUAUGGGCGAUUCUGACUUCUGCGCGCGCUGUGCGCGCAUUAAAUGCAGCGCAGGGAGCCGUUGGCGCCGCAAGGAGCCGUUGCUCCGCUGGCACACCGGACAGUCCGGUGCACACCGGACAGUCCGGUGAAUUAUAGCGGAGCGGCUGCCGCGCGAACCCGAGGCUGGCGAGUUCAGGAGGCCGAGCUUCCUUGGAGCACCGGACAUGUCCGGUGCACACCGGACAGUCCGGUGAAUUAUAGCGCGCCGGCUUCCGAGAAUUCCCGAGAGUGAAGAGUUGGAGUCUGAGUCCCCUGGUGCACCGGACAGGUACUGUUCACUGUCCGGUGGCACACCGGACAGUCCGGUGCGCCAGACCAGGGGUGCCCUCGGUUGCCCCUUUGCUCCUUUAUUGAAUCCAAAACUUGGUCUUUUUAUUGGCUGAGUGUUAACCUUUUACACCUGUAUAAUCUAUACACUUGGGCAAACUAGUUAGUCCAAAGACUUGUGUUGGGCAAUUCAACCACCAAAAUUAUAUAGGAACUAGGUGUAAGCCUAAUUCCCUUUCAAUCUCCCCCUUUUUGGUGAUUGAUGCCAACACAAACCAAAGCAAAUAUAGAAGUGCAUAAUUGAACUAGUUUGCAUAAUGUAAGUGUAAAGGUUGCUUGGAAUUGAGCCAAUAAAACUACUUACAAGAUAUGCAUGGAAUAUUUCUUUCUUAUUUAACAUUUUGGACCACGUUUGCACCACAUGUUUUGUUUUUGCAAAUUCUUUUUGUAAAUCUACUUCAUAGAUCUCUACUUCAUAGAUCUUUUGCAAAUAGUCAAAGGUAAAUAAAUAAGAGUUUGCGAAAGCAUUUUCAAGAUUUGAAAUUUCCUCCCCCUGUUUCAAAUGCUUUUCCUUUGACUAAACAAAACUCCCCCUAAAAGAGAUCCACCUCUUAGUGUUCAAGAGGGUUUUGAUAUACCAUUUUUGAAAUACUACUUUCUCCCCCUUUUGAACACAAUAGGAUACCAAAUGAUAAAGACUUUUGGAAAGCACUAAGUUUUUGAAUUUGGUGGUGGUGGUGCGGUCCUUUUGCUUUGGGCUCAUUUCUCCCCCUUUUUGGCAUGAAUCGCCAAAAACGGAAUCAUUAGAGCCCUCGAAGUGCAAUCUUCCCCUUUGGUCAUAAAUAAGUCAGUUAAGAUUAUACCAAAGACGAAGUUCUUUUGCGUUUGAGCUUUUACUCUCUCCCCCAAGGAUGAAGUCCUUUUCCUUGAUGCUCAUUUCUCCCCCAAAGACGAGAGAGUUGCUCGGAGUGAUGGCGAAGCAUGAGUUACGGAGUGGAAGCCUUUGUCUUCGCCGAAGACUCCAAUUUCCUUUCAAUAUACCUAUGACUUGGUUUGAAAUCGACUUGAAAACACAUUAGUCAUAGCAUAUAAAGGAGAUAUGAUCAAAGGUAUUCAAAAGAGCUAUGUGUGCAAGCUUAGCAAAAGAAAUUUCUAGAAUCAAGAAUAUUGAGCUCAUGCCUAAGUCUGGUAAAAGAUUGUUCAUCAAGUGGCUUGGUAAAGAUAUCGGCUAAUUGAUCUUUAGUAUUAAUGUAAGAAAUCUCGAUAUCCCCCUUUUGUUGGUGAUCCCUAAGAAAAUGAUACCGAAUGGCUAUGUGCUUAGUGCGGCUAUGCUCGACGGGAUUGUCGGCCAUUUUAAUUGCACUCUCAUUAUCACAUAGCAAAGGGACUUUGGUUAAUUUGUAGCCGUAGUCCCGCAGGGUUUGCCUCAUCCAAAGCAAUUGCGCGCAACAAUGUCCUGCAGCAAUGUACUCGGCUUCGGCGGUGGAAAGAGCGACCGAAUUUUGCUUCUUUGAAGCCCAAGACACCAAGGAUCUUCCCAAGAACUGGCAAGUCCCUGAUGUGCUCUUCCUAUUAAUUUUGCACCCCGCCCAAUCGGCAUCCGAAUAACCAAUUAAAUCAAAUGUGGAUCCCCUAGGGUACCAAAGCCCAAACUUAGGAGUAGAAGCCAAAUAUCUCAAGAUUCGUUUUACGGCCGUAAGGUGUGAUUCCUUAGGGUCGGAUUGGAAUCUUGCACACAUGCAAACGGAAAGCAUAAUGUCCGGUCGAGAUGCACAUAAAUAAAGCAAUGAACCAAUCAUCGACCGGUAUACCUUUUGAUCCACGGACUUACCUCCCGUGUCGAGGUCGAGAUGCCCAUUAGUUCCCAUGGGUGUCUUGAUGGGUUUGGCAUCCUUCAUCCCAAACUUAGCAAGAAUGUCUUGAGUGUACUUCGUUUGGCUAAUGAAGGUGCCCUCUUGGAGUUGCUUGACUUGGAAUCCUAGAAAAUACUUCAACUCCCCCAUCAUCGACAUCUCGAAUUUCUGUGUCAUGAUCCUACUAAACUCUUCACAUGUAGACUCGUUAGUAGACCCAAAUAUAAUAUCAUCAACAUAAAUUUGGCAUACAAACAAGUCAUUUUCAAGAGUUUUAGUAAAGAGUGUAGGAUCGGCCUUGCCGACUUUGAAGCCAUUUGCAAUAAGGAAAUCUCUAAGGCAUUCAUACCAUGCUCUUGGGGCUUGCUUGAGCCCAUAAAGCGCCUUAGAGAGCCUAUAAACAUGGUUAGGAUACUCACUGUCUUCAAAGCCGGGAGGUUGCUCAACAUAGACCUCUUCCUUGAUUGGUCCAUUGAGGAAGGCACUCUUCACGUCCAUUUGAUAAAGCUUGAAGCCAUGGUAAGUAGCAUAGGCUAAUAAUAUGCGAAUUGACUCAAGCCUAGCUACGGGUGCAUAGGUUUCACCGAAAUCCAAACCUUCGACUUGUGAAUACCCUUUGGCUACGAGUCGAGCUUUGUUCCUUGUCACCACACCAUGCUCAUCUUGCUUGUUGCGGAAGACCCAUUUGGUUCCUACAACAUUUUGGUUAGGACGUGGAACUAAAUGCCAGACCUCAUUCCUCGUGAAAUUGUUGAGCUCCUCUUGCAUUGCCACCACCCAAUCCGAAUCUUGGAGAGCUUCCUCUACCCUGUGUGGCUCAAUAGAGGAAACAAAAGAGUAAUGUUCACAAAAAUGAGCAACCCGAGAUCGAGUAGUUACCCCCUUAUGAAUGUCGCCGAGGAUGGUGUCGACGGGGUGAUCUCGUUGGAUUGCUUGGUGGACUCUUGGGUGUGGCGGUCUUGGUUCUUCCUCAUCCUCCUUUUCUUGAUCAUUUGUAUCUCCCCCUUGAUCAUUGCUAUUAUCUUGAGGUGGCUCGUCUUCUUGAUUUUGCUCUUCAUCAUUUUGAGCCUCAUCCUCAUUUUGAGUUGGUGGAGAUGCUUGCAUGGAGGAGGAUGGUUGAUCUUGUGUACUUGGAGGCUCUUCGGAUUCCUUAGGACACACAUCCCCGAUGGACAUGUUCCUUAGCGCGAUGCAUGGAGCCUGUUCUUCACCUAUCUCAUCAAGAUCAACUUGCUCUACUUGAGAGCCGUUAGUUUCAUCAAACACAACGUCACAAGAGACUUCAACUAGUCCAGUGGACUUGUUAAAGACCCUAUAUGCCCUUGUGUUUGAGUCAUAACCAAGUAAAAAGCCUUCUACAGUUUUAGGAGCAAAUUUAGAUUUUCUACCUCUUUUAAUAAGAAUGAAGCAUUUGCUACCAAAAACUCUAAAAUAUGAAAUGUUGGGCUUUUUACCGGUUAGGAGUUCAUAUGAUGUCUUCUUGAGGAUUCGGUGAAGAUAUAACCGGUUGAUGGCGUAGCAGGCGGUGUUGACUGCUUCGGCCCAAAACCGGUCCGGUGUCUUGUACUCAUCAAGCAUGGUUCUUGCCAUGUCCAAUAGAGUUCGAUUCUUCCUCUCCACUACACCAUUUUGUUGUGGCGUGUAGGGAGAAGAGAACUCAUGCUUGAUGCCCUCCUCCUCAAGGAAGCUUUCAAUUUGAGAGUUCUUGAACUCCGUCCCAUUGUCGCUUCUUAUCUUCUUGAUCCUUAAGCCGAACUCAUUUUGAGCCCGUCUCAAGAAUCCUUUUAAAGUCUCUUGGGUUUGAGAUUUUUCCUGUAAAAAGAAUACCCAAGUGAAGCGAGAAUAAUCAUCCACAAUUACAAGGCAAUACUUACUACCGCCGAUGCUUGUGUAAGCGAUCGGGCCGAAUAAGUCCAUGUGUAGUAGCUCCAGCGGCCUGUCGGUAGUCAUGACAUUUUUGUGUGGAUGAUGGAUGCCAACUUGCUUCCCAGCUUGGCAUGCGCUACAAAUCCUGUCUUUCUCAAAAUGAAUAUUGGUUAGUCCCAAAAUGUGUUCUCCCUUUUGAAGCUUGUGAAGAUUCUUCAUUCCAACAUGGGCUAGUCGGCGGUGCCAAAGCCAACCCAAGUUAGUCUUAGCAACUAAGCAAGUGUCGAGCUCAGCUCUAUCAAAAUCUACUAAGUAUAGCUGACCCUCUAACACACCCUUAAAUGCUAUUGAAUCAUCACUUCUUCUAAAGAUAGUGACACCUAUAUCAGUAAAAAGACAGUUGUAGCCCAUUUGACAUAAUUGGGAAACAGAAAGCAAAUUGUAAUCUAAAGAAUCUACAAGAAAAACAUUGGAAAUAGUAUGGUCAGGUGAUAUAGCAAUUUUACCCAAACCUUUGACCAAACCUUGAUUUCCAUCCCCGAAUGUGAUAGCUCGUUGGGGAUCUUGGUUUUUCUCAUAUGAGGAGAACAUCUUUUUCUCCCCUGUCAUAUGGUUUGUGCACCCGCUGUCGAGUAUCCAACUUGUGCCCCCGGAUGCAUAAACCUACAAAACAAAUUUAGUUCUUGACUUUAGGUACCCAAACUGUUUUGGGUCCUUUGGCAUUAGAUACAAGAACUUUGGGUACCCAAACACAAGUCUUGGAACCCUUGUGCUUGCCCCCAACAAAUUUGGCAACUACCUUGCCGGAUUUGCUAGUAAGCACAUAAGAUGCAUCAAAAGUUUUAAAUGAAAUGGCAUGAUCAUUUGAUGCAUUAGGAGUUUUCUUUCUAGGCAACUUGGCACGGGUUGGUUGCCUAGAGCUAGAUGUCUCACCCUUAUACAUAAAAGCAUGGUUAGGGCCAGAGUGAGACUUCCUAGAGUGAAUUCUCCUAAUUUUGCUCUCGGGAUAACCGGCAGGGUACAAAAUGUAACCCUCGUUAUCCUGAGGCAUGGGAGCCUUGCCCUUAACAAAGUUAGACAAAUUUUUAGGUGGGGUAUUAAGUUUGACAUUGUCUCCCCUUUGGAAGCCAAUGCCAUCCUUGAUGCCAGGGCGUCUCCCAUUAUAAAGCAUGCUACGAGCAAAUUUAAAUUUCUCAUUUUCUAAGUUGUGCUCGGCAAUUUUAGCAUCUAGUUUAGCUAUAUGAUCAUUUUGUUUUUUAAUUAAGGCUAGGUGAUCAUGGAUAGCCUCAAUAUUAAUAUCUCUACAUCUAGUGCAAAUAGAAACAUGCUCAACAUUAGAUGUAGAGGGUUUGCAAGAUUUAAGUUCUACAACCUUAGCAUGCAACAUUUCAUUCUUAGUUCUAAGGUCGGAAAUAGUAGCAUUGCAAACAUCAAAAUUUUUAGCCUUAGCAAUUAAAUUUUCAUUCUCUAAUCUAAGGCUAGCAAGAGAUGCAUUCAAUUCAUCAAUCUUAGCAAGCAAGUCAACGUUAUCAUUUUUAAGAUUGGGAAUUGAAACAUUACAAACAUGUGAAUCAACCUUAGCAUUUAAAAUAGCAUUUUCAUUUCUAAGGUUGUCAAUCAUCUCACGGCAAGUGCUUAGCUCACUAGACAAUUUUUCACAUUUUUCAACUUGUAGAGCGUAAGCAUUUUUAACCUUAACAUGUUUCUUAUUCUCCUUGAUUAGGAAGUCCUCUUGGGAGUCCAAGAGAUCAUCCUUUUCAUGGAUGGCACUAAUUAGUUCAUUUAAUUUUUCCUUUUGUUCCAUGUUAAGGUUAGCAAAAAGAAUGCGCAAGUUAUCCUCCUCAUUUUUAUCAUCAUCCUCAUCACUAGAUGUUUCAUAUUUAGUGGAGGACCUUGAUUUUACCUUCUUUUUGCCGUCCUUGGCCAUGAGACACUUGUGGCCGACGUUGGGGAAGAGAAGGCCUUUGGUGACGGCGAUGUUGGCGGCGUCCUCGUCGUCGGAGGAGUCGCUUGAGCUUUCGUCGGAGUCCCACUCCCGACAAACAUGGGCAUCGCCGCCCUUCUUCUUGUAAUACUUCUUCUUCUCCUUUCUUCUUCCCUUCUUGUCGUCGCCCCUGUCACUGUCACUAGACAUAGGACAUUUUGCAAUAAAGUGACCGGGCUUACCACACUUGUAGCAAACCUUCUUGGAACGAGGUUUGUAGUCCUUCCCCUUCCGUUGCUUGAGGAUUUGCCUAAAGCUUUUGAUGAUUAGGGCCAUCUCCUCAUUGUCGAGCUUGGAGGCGUCAAUUGGUUGUCUACUUGGUGUAGACUCCUCCUUCUUCUCCUCCGUUGCCUUAAAGGCCACCGGUUGCGCCUCGGAUGUGGAGGGCUCGUCAAGCUCGUUGAUCUUCUUGGAGCCCUUAAUCAUGCAUUCAAAACUAACAAAAUUCCCGAUGACUUCCUCGGGGGUCAUUAGUGGAUAUCUUGGAUUGCCACGAAUUAAUUGAACUUGUGUGGGGUUAAGGAAAAUAAGAGCUCUUAGAAUAACCUUAACCACUUCGUGGUCAUCCCACUUUGUACUCCCGAGGUUGCGCACUUGGUUCACCAAGGUCUUGAGCCGGUUGUACAUGUCUUGUGGCUCCUCCCCUUGGCGAAGACGGAAGCGACCGAGCUCCCCCUCGAUCGUUUCCCGCUUGGUGAUCUUGGUGAGUUCAUCACCUUCGUGCGCCGUCUUGAGAAGAUCCCAAAUCUCUUUGGCGUUCUUCAACCCUUGUACUUUGUUGUAUUCCUCCUUGCUUAGGGAGGCAAGGAGGAUGGUUGCGGCUUGGGAGUUGAAGUGCUCGAUUUGGGCCACUUCGUCUGUGUCAUAGUCCUCAUCCCCUAUUGAUGGUACCUGUACACCAUACUCAACAACAUCCCAUAUUCUUUUGUGGAGAGAGGUUAGAUGAAAUCGCAUUAAAUUACUCCACAUAGCAUAAUCUUCACCAUUAAAAGUUGGUGGUUUACCUAAUGGGACGGAAAGUAGAGGUGUAUGUUUAGGAACACGAGGAUAGCGUAGGGGAAUCUUACUAUACUUCUUACGCUCUUGGCGUUUAGAAGUGACGGACGCCGCGUCGGAGCCGGAGGUAGAUGUCGAUGAAGUGUCGGUCUCGUAGUAGACCACCUUCCUCAUCCUCUUGUGCUUGUCCCCACUCCGAUGCGGCUUGUGAGAAGAAGAUUUUUCCUUCUUCUCCUUGUGGUGAGAAGAGGAAGAUCUUUUCUCCUUCCGCUUGGAGGAGUUCUUCUUCUUCUCCCUUUUCUUGGUGCGGGACUCUUCCGAUGAGGUGCUCCCUUGGCUUGUAGUGGGCUUGUCGCCGGUCUCCAUCUCCUUCUUGGCGUGAUCUCCCGACAUCACUUCGAGCGGUUAGGCUCUAAUGAAGCACCGGGCUCUGAUACCAAUUGAUAGUCGCCUAGAGGGGGGGGGGGGUGAAUAGGGCGAAACUGAAAUUUACAAAAAUAAUCACAACUACAAGCCGGGGUUAGCGUUUAGUAAUAAUAAACGAGUCCGCAAGAGAGGGAGCAAAACAAAUCGCAAGCAAAUAAAGAGAGUGACACGUGGAUUUGUUUUACCGAGGUUCGGUUCUUGCAAACCUACUCCCCGUUGAGGAGACCACAAAGGCCGGGUCUCUUUCAACCCUUCCCUCUCUCAAACGGUCCCUCGGACCGAGUGAGCUUUCCUUCUUCUCAAUCAACCGGGAACAAAACUUCCCCGCAAGGGCCACCACACAAUCGGUGCCUCUUGCCUCGGUUACAAUUGAGUGUUGAUCACAAGAGCAAAAAGAGAAAGAAAGAAUGCGAUCCAAGCGCAAGAGCUCAAAAGAACACGGCAAAUCUCUCUCGCUAGUCACUAAAGGCUUGAGUGGAAUUGGAGAGGAUUUGAUCUCUUUGUAUGUGUCUAGAAUUGAAUGCCUAGCUCUUGUAAGUGGUUAGAAGUUGGAAAACUUGGAUGACAAUGAAUGUGGGGUGGUUGGGGUAUUUAUAGCCCCAACCACCAAACUUGACCGUUGGCUGAAGCCUUCUGUUCGAUGGCGCACCGGACAGUCCGGUGCACACCGGACAGUCCGGUGCCCCUGCCACGUCAUCACUGCCGUUGGAUUCUAGCCGUUGGAGCUUCUGACUUGUGGGCCCGCCUGGGUGUCCGGUGCACACCGGACAUGCACUGUUUGAUGUCCGGUGCACCGGUAUGGGCGAUUCUGACUUCUGCGCGCGCUGUGCGCGCAUUAAAUGCAGCGCAGGGAGCCGUUGGCGCCGCAAGGAGCCGUUGCUCCGCUGGCACACCGGACAGUCCGGUGCACACCGGACAGUCCGGUGAAUUAUAGCGGAGCGGCUGCCGCGCGAACCCGAGGCUGGCGAGUUCAGGAGGCCGAGCUUCCUUGGAGCACCGGACAUGUCCGGUGCACACCGGACAGUCCGGUGAAUUAUAGCGCGCCGGCUUCCGAGAAUUCCCGAGAGUGAAGAGUUGGAGUCUGAGUCCCCUGGUGCACCGGACAGGUACUGUUCACUGUCCGGUGGCACACCGGACAGUCCGGUGCGCCAGACCAGGGGUGCCCUCGGUUGCCCCUUUGCUCCUUUAUUGAAUCCAAAACUUGGUCUUUUUAUUGGCUGAGUGUUAACCUUUUACACCUGUAUAAUCUAUACACUUGGGCAAACUAGUUAGUCCAAAGACUUGUGUUGGGCAAUUCAACCACCAAAAUUAUAUAGGAACUAGGUGUAAGCCUAAUUCCCUUUCAAAGCGCACCCGACCUGGGCGCAGGGCAACACGAAGGCCGCGGGUCUCCCCUUUGCCUGUUUCUUCCCCCCUUCGUGCUCCGUCUCACGCCGACCCAUCUGGGCUGGGACACGCGGCGACAAUUUACUCGUCGGUCCAGGGACCCCUCGGGGUCGAAACGCCGACAAUUGGCGCGCCAGGUAGGGGCCUGCUGCGUGUUGACGAACAGCUUCCCGUCAAGCUCCAGAUGGGUAGUCUCCAGCAACCUUUCCAACCUGGGACGAUGCUCCAUUUCAGGAGUCUUAAGUUCAUGUCCCUCGACGGCAGCUACGACAUGAUACUCCUUCCUCCGCCGCGCGUCGGAAUCAACGACGUCUUCCCAACGUGGCGGAAGAACAACAUCCAGGUUUGUCCCAUCAUCUCCCCCACCAACAGAGAAGGAGGCAGGGCAACCGUGGCCAAGCAGGAGGCGGCACCUCGUCGGCUGUCGAGCAAGUCGACGACGCCGGUGCCCCAGCGGGGGACACGUCGGGCUUCGACCUUGCGUCUGAGACAAAGAUGAGCGUCGUUUCCCCGCAACACGCCAACCCCAAGCAGACGAACGACGCCAGCACGCUCGCGAAGGACUUGCUGGGCGUCACCCUCGUACCUGAGACGACGGUGCAGUCCGCCCCUGACACGACUUCGUCACCACCCGUCGACCAAGAGGUACCGACCGAUUCCCAUCUCGUGCCUUUUGGAUUCAGCUUCGACCCACCAAGCGACCCACCGAAGCCUUCAUAGAGGAAUGUACCAACUCUCCAGGGUAACAUCUACGGUCCCCCUGGGACAGACUGACGGCCGUCUCGACCUACGGACCCUCGGGUUCCGAGGAAGAUGAUGAGCCCGACUUUUGUUGGGACUUCUCCGGGCUCGGUAACCCCAGUGCCAUGCGGGACUUCAUGACCGCAUGCGACUACUGCCUCUCUGAUUGUUCCGAUGGUAGCCGCAGCUUCGGCGACGAGGACUACGGCCCAAGUCGUGAAUGUUUCCACGUCGAUCUAGGGGGUCCCGGCGAAGGCAACCAUCUUGGUAUGCCGGAAAACGGCGAUCCCCCUAGGCCUGCGCCUCGCGUUGACAUCCUUCGAGAGCUAGCUGUGGUCCCAGUCCCUGCGGGGGGGUCAGGACGCACAGCUCAAGCAAAUCCGCGAGAUGCAGGCCAGGCUCAACGAGGGAGCGGGAACACUUGAGCAGUUCCGGCGGAACAUCGGGCAGGAAUGGGCAGACCAAGCUCUGGCCGGAGAAGCGCGUCAUCUACCCCAGGGCAUCCAGCGCUGCAUUGCCGAUGACGUCAGGGCAAGGCCGCCACCGGCUUCCAGUGGGGUCAGCCAGAACCUGGCUGUGGUAGCAAUACUACUCCGCGCGAUGCCGGAACCAUCGACCACCGAAGGGCGGCGCAUCCAGGGAGAGCUCAAGAUUCUCCUGGAGGAUGCCGCGGUCCGACGGGCUGAAAGCUCUGCCUCCCGAAGGCAGGGGCACCCCUCGGAGCAUCGCGCUGCGACUUCCCGAUUCGUGCGGGAAGCCUCGGUCCACACCGGGCGCACGCGCAACACGGCGCCUGCGGCCCCGGGUCGCCUCGGCAACGAGCACCACCACCGCAACCGUCGAGCCCACCUCGACGAGAGGUUGCGCCGAGGCUACCACCCCAGGCGUGGGGGACGCUAUGACAGCGGGGAGGAUCGGAGCCCCUCGCCCGAACUACCCGGUCCGCAGGCUUUCAGCCGGGCCAUACGACGGGCACCGUUCCCGACCCGGUUCCGAACCCCGACUACCAUCACAAAGUACUCGGGGGAGACGAGGCCGAAACUGUGGCUCACGGACUACCGACUGGCCUGCCAGCUGGGUGGAAUGGAUGAUGACAACCUCAUCAUCCGCAACCUCCCCCUGUUCCUCUCCGACACCGCUCGAGCCUGGCUGGAGCAUCUGCCUCCGGGGCAGAUCUCCAACUGGGACGACCUGGUCCAAGCCUUCGCUGGCAACUUCAAGGGCACGUACGUGCGCCUUGGGAACUCUUAGGAUCUCCGAGGCUGCCGCCAGCAACCGGGAGAGUCUCUCCGGGACUACAUCCGACGAUUCUCGAAGCUGCGCACCGAGCUGCCCAACGUCACCGACUCGGACGUCAUCGGCGCGUUCCUUGUAACACCUCAGGUGUUACCAUGGCUAGGGCACAUCUAUGCACUAAGGACUAUGAUCACAUGUGGCAAAAACUUAAGGAGCAAAGUGUAAGAGCCUUGGAGGCUAGGUUUUAACCAAGAGAUGUGAAUGACCAAAAGCAUUACCCUAGUUGUGUGCAAUUCUCACUUUGGACAAGGGGGAAGUAAACCCUAGACCUCUCUUGAACCCUAUCUCUUAAGCACCUUGGUUAAAGGGGAGAAUUUAAGCAAAGGUGCAAGUCAUGACCAAACCUUUGGCACAAAGUUAAGUAACUUAUUAACCUACAAUUAUAGAGAGGAAACAUUGCUAAAAGGCCCCUUAAGAAACCCCAAAUCCAUUCCCUAAGUAGAGAAAGAGCUAGAGCUCUCUAAUUCUCUCUAAGUCAAAAUCUAUACCUAAUCUAAAGAUCCACCGUGUUCACCUUGAAGAUGGCACCAAAACCACCUAAGUUCUAUACCAAAAAUGUGGCAUACCACCUAGGGCACCCCCUGGAAAAAGUUGACACAGAGCCCUUGACGUUUGACAUGCCUUGGCAUUGUUUUUGUCGCGAGGUGGGCAGGGAGACAUACCUGAUUUGGCGUCCAAAGAUCUCCCUACCUAGGGCAUAUCUGCCAUGGCGACUCACGGAUGAGAGACAUCCCUAGGUGCCAGGAAAAGACUCGCGCCGGAUUUUUGCCAAGAUUCGCACGCUUGCGACUUGGGCGAGCUGUGGAACACGGGCAGAAGAAAACCUCCACGUGUUCGACGCGCUCUGCGCACGCCAGAGCACGCCCGCGCCCGACCCCGCGCGCGCGCCGAGCUGCGCCAGUGUCCCCCGUGUGUGCCCGCGCCUAUAAAGCCUACUCAGGCGUCGACCAUACCCCUCCGCACGCGCUCAACCUCGCCGGAGCUCAAACUCACCGGCGUUUGCCCGUGCAUGGAGUGUCCGCGGCCACCCGAACCCCUGCCACCGUAGACCGGCCAACCAAGCCCUUCCCAACCCCGUUCGACCCUCGGAGAGGACUCAGCACACCUCGGUGAAGCUCCCCGAGCGAGGAAUCAAAGUCUGCUUCGCCGGAGAGGCCAGUCCACGGUCGCCGGACUCCCUCCGACCGCCGGCGAGCGUAGACCGGGUAAGCCACUGCGCCAUUUUUUUGAUUCAAUGCACAGAUAGCCUCUACAUCACCCCGUGAAGCUCACCGGGCCAUUGGAUUGAACUAGAUCGCCGUGAAUUGGCCGGCACACCCGCCGCCGAUGAGGACACCCGCCUGCGCACGUGGACCGAGCGAUUCCGACCACCCCCGCCGUCAAGCCGUACACCGUUGUGACCGCUAGAGCCUCCCCGAGCCAACCCCGCCCCUCGCCGGACCUCUCUCGCCGCCGAUAAGCCGCGCCGCCCUUUUCUUUCCCGCGGGUACUGUUUACAUUAGGGAAAGGACCUCGGGGAAGAAGAAGGAAAGGUCAGGGAGAUUUUUGAACUGUCAGUGACUCAGGGGAAUAGUGGCGCAGGGGUAGAUUUGAGUGGGUUGAUUUGGAUUAAACCCAGGGUCCUCGGUGUAAACUGUUUUUCCAGGAAACCUUUAUUAAAUCUGAUUUAAAAUUUGAACAGAACUUGAAUAAUUCAUAACUUCUGUUUUAUUCAUCCAAAUUUAGUCAAACCAAUUUUGUCAGAUCUUAAAUAAUAUAAACUACUUAGGAAAAAUAUAAAACCCCUAUGUACUAUAGAAAACUUUAGGGUUCUGAUUUAAUUAUUGUUUUGGCCAAAAGCUAAGUAAUAGGAAUAAAAAUAGUUGCACUGUUUGACUAAGGUUAGGAAAAUUUGGAGAAGUUUAUGUCCACCUACUGACCUGUUUAAAAAUGCUAAACCUCUCUGUCCACCCCAUUAAGUUAGUUUUUGCCAUUUAUUUCACAAUAUGCUUAAGGUUAAGAAAAAUAGAAAAGGUGAUUUAAAUAAGGAACUAGGGGACACCCCUAUUUUUGUUAGAGUACUUAUUCAAUGGAGUUUACUAGAAAAAUCUAUUAUACCCUGGUUUAGUAUAAAAUAAGUUGGAUACCUUUUAUUUUAAGAAAACAAGGAAAACUUAGAAAAACCCUACAAAAAUAACCCCAAGGUGAAAACACCCCAACCCUUGGGAUAGUUAAUGUUUUGUUAUUAAGAACUUAGGAAAAAUAUGAAAUCUGUUGUUUGACAUUUUUCAAAUGACAAUGUAGUAGAAAGUGCCUUUUUGGCAUUAAACUUUAGAAAAUCAUAACUAAAUAACCAUUCCUUAGCCUUCUGUGAUUUUUGGCACAGAAGCUUAUUAUUACUGUUAGAUGCCAACAAAAAUAACCCUUAGGACAGAACCCACCCCUAAUCAAGAGUUGUAGUGCAAAGUGGCCCAUUUACACAACUUUUGUUAUUUUUGUCUAGAGCAUAGCCUUUUAAAUUUGAACCUCAAAAUCCUAGAACAGGCUAUAUUGACCAAGGACAACCCACUUAAUUUUUACAGAAUUUUUGGAAAAAAAAAGUUAAACCACUGUUAUAAUUCAAACCUACACUAGAAACUAUAAAUAGAAAAUAAAGAAAGGAAAAAUGAAUAAUAGAAAUUAGUGUCAUCCUAAAACCCUUUGUAAGUUGUCCACAAAAUUAUAUUAAGGAAAUACCAACCCACUAUGCCUAUCCCUAACCAAGAGUGAUAAGCAUAAACCACUAAAAGCCCCGUAUGACCAAGAAACCCUAAGUUAAUCAUUAACUUAGUUUUUCUUCCUUUAGCAUAAUGUUAUUAAAUCCUGCAUAAUCAUGACAUACAUGUUCAUUACAUUUCGAUAGACUGUAACCUCGCUGACGGAGAGUACGUCCUCGUGCCGGAGCAAGGAGCUGCUCAGGAGGUAGCCCCGGAUCCAGCACCAGAGCCUGCGCCAGAAGAUCUGCCUGCCACAGCCUUGGAAGGCAAGCCCCGGUUUAUACAUAACCUAUUAUUUAUGCUAUUUUACUACACUUAUUGAUUGUAGGAUUGAAUGUGCACUUAAGUGUAGGAGUUGUGUGAAACCCUAGUUGCAUGAUCUCAGGAAUCCUGUUGAGAUGAAUAGUAGUAUGCUAGGUCGAGUAGCUGCUUUAUUAAUUAGGAUCUCGGUAGAAGUCGAGUGAUUUUUCUAGCACUCGCACGAGGUCAGGAAAUUGGUUGUAUCCACUUUCUUCUCAUAAUGAUGCUGGUUGUGGACAACAAUCCAUGGGGAUUGGUUGUCCACGGGAUAAAAAUUUGAAUAAGGAUUAAGGUGUGGUACCGUGAGUCAAGCGUUUGAACGUACUAAACAUAUACCGAGAAAUAUGGUAAAUUGGUAAGCCUAGUACCUGAUUGAACCUGGCAGCAGAUUGCCCUCCUCACGCGACCUGAGACGAGGUCUCCCAUUCCAGUUAUGGUGGGUACAAGUGCGGUCACUGCACGACGGCAGUCGGGGUCAGUGAGGCAUUGUACACCAAGGCGGUGAGCCCCUCUCUGCUGACGGGGAAUCGAUGGGGACGGUUGAUGUGUGUGGGGACGGAGUGCCCCGGCAUGUCGUGUGUUUAGGUUUACCUUGCAAGGAUAAAAACUCGAUUCGAAUUGUCUGCUUCUCGCAGCUAAUUAGACUGCUUGAUCCAUGCUGCUACAUUGAGUAACAAGUGGAAUUGUGAUGAGAUGAUACAAGAUGUUGAUUGCUAAAAAUGUUUGCUACUAUGUAUGAGUAGAUAGUACAUCUUUAGCCUUAAGAGAGUCACACUUAAUUUGACAAAGUUAAAAACUUGAUUUAGAAACUCAGCUAGUGCUUUUGGCAACCAAACCCCACAGCCAAACAGCUGCAUGUCUAGAGGUAGAGGAGUAGAUUCCUCACACCGGGUAAGUCUAGCUGAGUAUUAGUAUACUCAGCCUUGCUUGUGGCAUAAUUUUACAGGUUCUCUGGAGGACAUGGUUGCUGGAGUGACUUGGUCGUCCAUCUUGCCACCGGGUUGGACUAUCGAGUGGGACCCUACCUCGGCUGAGGAGGAGCAUGAGAAGUGAUGGGACAGGCUUCCCCAACUCUCUGUUUAUUUACCGUUAGUUUUAUUCCGCUGCAUUUCGAACAAUGAUGACUACUUUUGCAAAACUCCGAUGGUGAUGUAAUAAUUUAAUACUCCUUAAUGUAUGGUUUUACGUUUUAUUGUAUUUGCUCUGUGACUCACCAUCGAGUGAGAUUGUGGUACUUGAUCCUGUCAGUGGCCUUAUCGGACUAGAUCCGAGGGAUUGACGGGUUAUUCUCAUUUAAGUGUGGUCUAGCCUCUAAGGUGGGACUUGGGCACUUAAGUCAGAAUAAUUCGGGCAGUUCCGCCACAGCUGGUAUCGGAGCUUGUACCACAACAGAGGAAUCAAUAAAAUAUAAAUACCAUCUUUUUCCGAAGUAAAACUUGAUAGAAACAAUGUUGGAUAGAUCGUAGGACGAGCAGGAUAGACCUAGGACGUGAAGCCUUAGGCUGAUAGAAGGGUAGCUAGGUGGCUAAGUGAUUAGGCCCUACAGGCCACUUUAAGGGAUGGGAGUUCUUCCCUAUUCCCUUUACAUUGCUGUGAGGUCGUUCAGGACGAGCAUGCAUGCAUUCUUAAAUUAAACAAAUGGAAAAUUUAGUAAGGACUUAAAUUAUGACCAACUAUGUUUCCCAGUACCAUUUUGUUUUAAUUAGAGAGAAGCUGAGUCUUAUUUUUCUUGUUCUUUUUAUAAUUCUGUUCUUUUACUUACGCUUAACCGUACACAGAUUACUUCCCACGGAUCCUCAGACGACGGGAAUGCACUGUCCCACACUGACGGGCUUGCACGAAAGGGCUUUCCCCGCAUUUUGUGGGAGGUACUUCAGGGGGCCGGAUACACGACACCUCCUCAGUACGCGGUGCAGCAGUUCGAGAAGCAUCGAGUGCCCCGCUGUAGGGUGAGGAUGACCCUGGAGCCUCAUCCCCUACAGCCAGGCUAGCGUUCACUGGACUCUGAGUCAUUUGGAUACCGUGCUGAGGACACGAUCGAGGCGAUUGCUCUGCACAGGUUGACCACGUUCUGUGGAUUCCACCCCUUGGAGCUGUCUACCCACCCCAUUGGCUUGUUCCCCGCAGAAAGGGAAGACGACCCAAUGUGGAAGGAUCGGGUGGAGCAUGCCAAGGAUAUCUGGGCUAUCUACCCAGGUCAGACUGCUCACUUGACAGUACGGUGCAUGAAUGCCCUGUACCGGUUGCAAGUGAUGCGUAGUGAGGCAAUGUCUCAUCUGAUGGCACUAUUGGAGGGAACAAAUAUCACCUUGGACAACAGAGAAGAGCUUGUGGUUGAUUUGUCCACUGAGAUGGUGGAAAAGGACUUGCAGGUGGAGCAGCUAUCCAAUGAGAUCCAAGAGCUGGAGGAAUUAGUGGGUACCAGGGAGAACACCAUCGAGGUUCUUGAGGAUCAGCUCAUUAAUACCCAGCAACAGCUUGCCGAGGCCAAUGAGCACCUGGAUAUGCAUCACCAGGAGAUCCAGGAUAUGGAGGCCAACGAGGACGUCGACAUCGAGGGAGGAGAGGAGCCUGCCUCCAGCUUGGACACUGCUGGCUCAGGGAGACCACCUUCCCCCGAGUCGAGUGUUGCCUCGUUCGCUCACUAGGUAUCAGGGAUAGAGUUAGAAGUCGGUGAUGGUAGGACUCCUCACAGCUAGCUUAGCUUUUGCACCCUUGGAGUACUAGGCUAGGUGGAGUUGAGUCUUUUUGGGACCAUUGAUGUAAUCGUGAUGAACUCUUUUAGAAGCAUGGUUGAUGGAUGCUAUUAGUUUUUAAGUUGGGAAGGAAAGUUAUGCCUUUUGAAAUCCUUUUUGUUUAUGUCGGAAUCUAUCAAUUCACCUUUGACUCCUUCACCGCGAUUAAACCUUAAACUUGAAGAUAUGGUAUUAAGUAUAUAUGUGAUUUUUCAGAUGGCCGGGAGACAGCGUCGUGGCCAGAAUGAGCGCGUUCCUCCACCGCCGCCACCGCCUCCCACUCUGCAGGAGCUAAUGGCUCAGCAGAAUGAGAUCUUGAGGCAGCUAGCUCAGCGUCAGCCACCACCUCAGCACUAUGGUGGUGGAGAUCAUUAGCGUCACCCCGCGACAGCUACCUACCAGGAGUUCCUCAGUACCCAGCCUCCAUUGUUCACCAGGGCAGAGGACCCACUUGAUGCAGAUGUGUGGUUGAGAGUAGUGGAAUCCAAAUUCCCGCUACUCCAUGGAGCUUGUUUAGAGGUCACUAAAGUCAGGUUCGCCACCCAGCAGCUUCGCGGACCCGCAAGGACUUGGUGGGACCAUUUUCUUGCUAUGCAGCCAGAGGACCGAGAGGUGGAAUGGAGAGAGUUCAAGGCAGCUUUCAGGGGACACCACAUACCAGCCGGGAUUAUGGACCAAAAGCUCAACGAGUUUCUGGCACUCACUCAGGGCAACAGAACAGUAUUACAGUAUGCUCAGGCUUUUAAUGACCUGUGCCAGUAUGCUGGAUAUCAUGUAGAUACGGACGAGAAGAAGAGAGACAUGUUCAGGAGGGGGCUCAGCACUAAGCUCCGUGACCGUCGCAACACCGUCAGGGCCAAUAGCUAUAAUGAGUUGGUCAACAUGGCCAUCUCCUAGGAGGACUGUAUCACAGCUUGUCAGGCAGAAAAGAAGAGGAAGACCCCUGUGGCAGGACCCUCAGCUCAGCCACAGCGCUUUAGGAUUAUGUCUGACACUCAGAACAGGGGACCUCAGCAGCAGCAAGGGCGAUGGGUGAUCCGACCACAGCAGCAGCAGCAGCAGGCACCCAACCGCACCCAGUUUCCAGCUCAGAGGAACAAUCAACAGCAGCAGCAGUAUCGCCAGGCAAAUGACAACAGGUGUUUCACAUGCGGCAACACCGGACAUUAUGCCAAGAAUUGCCCCAGGAACUAGCAGAGGCAAGGGUAGACUGUUAAUCAGAAUCAAGGCAAGAGACAGAAGGUGCAAGUGAGGCAAGGCAGGCUGAACUUCACCACCAUGGCUGAUAUUCCAGAGGGGGCACCCGUCAUGACUGGUAUCUUUACAGUUUUGAAUUAUCCUGCUAUUAUUCUUUUUGAUUCUGGUGCAUCGCAUAGUUUUAUCAGUGCCAAGUGCCAGCUGCCCUUUCACCACACCGAUGGGGGAAUUACAAUUUCAACACCAGGAGGCAGGGUUGCCACUUAUCAAAUCAACAGGCAAGUGCCUAUAAGAUUUGGUAGUCUUGUGAUUAUAACCACCCUUCUUAUCUUAGGAUUGGAUAGCAUGGAUAUUAUAUUGAGAGCUGACUGGUUGACCAGGCAUCAGGCAGUAUUGGAUAUUGCAGCCAGGGCCAUUGAAAUUCAUUCCCCUGCUUAUGGCGAGACUAUUUUAUAUUUGCCCGACCAGGGAUGCACCCGUUCUUGUGCCUUCGUUAUGAUAGAAUCCCCAGUGGAAAAGAUCCCAGUGGUCUGUGACUACCCGGAUGUUUUUCCAGAUGAAUUGCCAGGGAUGCCGCCUGACCGAGACAUCGAGUUCGCCAUCGAAUUGCAACCCGGGACUGCUCCUAUCUCCAAGAGACCCUAUAGGAUGCCUCCCGCGGAAUUGGCAGAAUUGAAAAAGCAAUUGCAGGAGUUGUUGGACAAGGGGUUUAUUCGCCCAAGUACUUCACCAUGGGGAUGUCCUGCCUUAUUCAUGAAGAAAAAGGAUGAGAGUUUGAGAAUGUGUGUUGACUACCGCCCUCUCAAUGCGGUGACUAUCAAGAACAAAUACCCACUGCCCCGCAUUGAUGUUCUAUUCGAUCAGUUGGUAGGAGCCAAAGUGUUCUCUAAGAUAGAUCUUCGCUCAGGUUACCAUCAGAUCAAGAUCCGUGCCAGCGAUAUUCCCAAGACGGCCUUCUCAACCGGAUAUGGGCUUUAUGAGUUUUUGGUGAUGUCUUUUGGGUUGACAAAUGCCCCGGCUUAUUUUAUGUACUUGAUGAACUCAGUAUUCAUGCCAGAGUUGGACAAGUUCGUGGUCGUUUUCAUUGAUGAUAUUCUGGUCUAUUCCAAGAAUGAAGACGAACAUACUGAGCAUCUGCACAUCGUGCUUCAGCGACUGCGCGAUCAUCGUCUUUAUGCUAAGUUGUCUAAAUGUGAAUUCUGGCUGAAGGAAAUUAAAUUCUUGGGUACAAUCAUUGGUCGAGGGAAGCUCAAUGCCUUCGAAGCAAUACUCCAUCCAGCAUAUCUUUGCAUGAAGAUACCUUCAGAAUAAGGACCCAUUGCGGUACAUGGGAGUCAAGAAGCUACCAGGAGAGCCGAAGGGAGUUGGACGGAUUCGAAGGCCAUCCAUAAUAUAGAUGAAGCUGAAGCUCACUAGCAAUAUAAGCACAAAAGAGAAAAGGCUGCUUCGGCAGAUCAACCAAAGCCCAUGCUUCUGUGUGAAGACAUAGCUGGGCAAAAAGUGCUAUUGAGAUCUCAAUUAUCUGAUGAACAAGAGAAGACCUUGCUGAGAUUUUUAUUCAACAACAAAGAUGUUUUUGCUUGGUCAACCAAUGAUCUCUAUGGUGUUAAUAGAGAUAUUAUUGAACACUCACUCAAUGUAGACCCGUCAUUUAGACCAAGAAAGCAAAGGCUUCGGAAAAUGUCCGAUGAUAAGGCCGAAGGUGCACGGAACAAAGUAAAAAGACUUUUAAGUGCCGGUGUUAUUAGAGAAGCGACCUUGUCGUCGCCGCUGAGUACAAGAACCCUCGGAAACCUGCCGAAGGUGCCAAUCUCGAUAAGAUGCUCAAGGAGCCGUGCCCUUAUCAUCAGGGGCCCGUCAAGCACACCCUUGAGGAGUGCGUCAUGCUUCGGCGCCACUUUCACAAGGCCGGGCCACCGGCGGAAGGUGGCAGGGCCCACAACAACGACAAGAAGGAGGAUCACAAGGCAGAGGAGUUCCCCGAGGUCCACGACUGCUUCAUGAUCUACGAUGGGCAAGUGGUGAACGCCUCGGCUCGGCACCGCAAGCAAGAGCGUCGGGAGGUCUGCUCGGUAAAGGUGGCGGCGCCAGUCUACCUAGACUGGUCUGACAAGCCCAUCACCUUCGACCAGGGCGACCACCCCGACCGCGUGCCGAGCCCGGGGAAAUACCCGCUCAUUGUCGACCCCAUCAUCGGCAACAUCAGGCUCACCAAGGUCCUCAUGGACGGAGGCAGCAGCCUCAACAUCAUCUACGCCGAGACCCUCGGGCUCCUGCAGAUCGAUCUAUCCUCGAUCCGAACAGGCGCGACGCCUUUUCACGGGAUCAUCCCCGGGAAACGCGUCCAACCCCUCAGACAACUCGAUCUGCCCGUCUGCUUCGGGACUCCCUCCAACUUCCGAAGGGAAACCCUCACGUUCGAGGUGGUCGGGUUCCGAGGAACCUACCACGCAGUACUAGGGAGGCCAUGCUACGCCAAGUUCAUGGCCGUCCCCAACUACACCUACCUCAAGCUCAAAAUGUCGGGCCCCAACGGGGUCAUCACCGUCGGCCCCACGUACCGACACGCGUACGAAUGCGACAUGGAGUGCGUGGAGUACGCCGAGGCCCUCGCCGAAUCUGAGGCCCUCGUCACCGACCUGGAGAGCCUCUCCAAGGAGGCGCCAGACGUGAAGCGCCACGCCGGCAACUUCGAGCCAGCAGAGACGGUUAAGUCCGUCCCCUCGACCCCAGCAACGACGCCUCCAAGCAGAUACGGAUUGGCUCCGAGCUCGACCCCAAAUAGGAAGCAGUGCUCGUCGACUUUCUCCGCGCGAACGCCGAACUCUUCGCGUGGAGUCCCUCGGACAUGCCUGGCAUACCGAGGGAUGUCGCCGAGCACUCGCUGGAUAUCCGAGCUGGAGCCCGACCCGUGAAGCAGCCUCUGCGCCGAUUCAACGAAGAAAAGCGCAGAGCCAUAGGCGAGGAGAUCCACAAGCUGAUGGUCGCAGGGUUCAUCAAAGAGGUAUUCCAUCCCGAAUGGCUUGCCAACCCUGUGCUUGUGAGAAAGAAAGGAGGGAAAUGGCGGAUGUGUGUAGACUACACUGGUCUAAAUAAAGCAUGUCCGAAGGUUCCCUACCCUCUGCCUCGCAUCGAUCAAAUCGUGGAUUCCACUACUAGGUGCGAAACCCUGUCUUUCCUCGAUGCCUACUCAGGGUAUCACCAAAUCAAGAUGAAAGAGUCCGACCAACUCACGACUUCUUUCAUCACACCUUUUGGCAUGUACUGCUACGUUACUAUGCCAUUUGGUUUGAGGAAUGCGGGUGCGACAUACCAAAGGUGCAUGAACCACGUGUUCGGAGAGCACAUUGGUCGAACGGUCGAGGCUUACGUCGAUGACAUCGUAGUCAAGACGAGGAAAGCCUCCGACCUCCUCUCCGACCUUGAAACGACAUUUCGGUGUCUCAAGGCGAAAGGCGUAAAACUCAAUCCCGAGAAGUGCGUCUUCGGAGUCCCCCGAGGCAUGCUCUUGGGAUUCAUCGUCUCCGAGCGGGGCAUCGAGGCCAACCCGGAGAAAAUCACGGCCAUCACCAACAUGGGGCCCAUCAAGGACUUGAAAGGCAUACAGAGGGUCAUGGGAUGUCUUGCGGCUCUGAGCCGCUUCAUCUCGCGCCUCGGCGAAAGAGGCCUACCUCUGUACCGCCUCUUAAGAAAGACCGAGUGCUUCACUUGGACCCCCGAGGCCGAGGAAGCCCUUGGGAACCUGAAAGCGCUCCUUACCAGCGCACCCAUCCUGGUGCCUCCCGCUGCCGGAGAAGCCCUUUUGAUCUACGUCGCCGCUACCACUCAGGUGGUCAGCGCCGCGAUCGUGGUUGAAAGACGAGAAGAAGGGCAUGCAUUGCCCGUCCAGAGGCCGGUCUACUUCAUUAGUGAGGUACUGUCCGAGACCAAGAUCCGCUACCCACAAAUUCAGAAGCUGCUGUAUGCAGUGAUUCUGACACGGCGGAAGUUGCGACACUACUUCGAGUCUCAUCCGGUGACUGUGGUGUCAUCCUUCCCCUUGGGGGAGAUCAUCUAGUGCCGAGAGGCCUCGGGUAGGAUUGCAAAGUGGGCAUUGGAAAUCAUGGGCGAGACAAUCUCGUUCGCCCCUCGGAAGGCCAUCAAGUCCCAAGUCUUGGUGGACUUUGUGGCUAAAUGGGUCGACACUCAGCUUCUGGCAGCUCCGAUCCAACCGGAACUCUGGACCAUGUUUUUCGACGGGUCGCUGAUGAAAACAGGGGCAGGCGCGGGCCUGCUCUUCAUCUCACCCCUCGGGAAGCACCUCCGCUACGUGUUGCGCCUCCAUUUCCUGGCGUCCAACAACGUGGCUGAAUACGAGGCUCUGGUCAACGGGUUGCGCAUCGCCAUCGAGCUAGGGGUCCGACGCCUCGACGCUCGCGGUGACUCACAGCUUGUCAUCGACCAAGUCAUGAAGAACUCCCACUACCAUGACCCGAAGAUGGAAGCCUACUGCGAUGAGGUUCGGCGCCUGGAGGACAAGUUCUACGGGCUCGAGCUCAACCACAUCGCCUGGCGGUACAAUGAGACUGCGGACGAGCUGGCUAAGAUAGCCUUGGGGCGGACAACGGUUCCCCCGGACGUCUUCUCCCGAGACCUACAUCAACCCACAGUCAAGACCGACGACACGCCCGAGCCUGAGAAGGUCUCGGCCCUGCCCGAGGCGCCCUCGGCUCAGCCCAAGGCACUCUCGGCCCCCGAGGGUGAGGCACUGCGCAUCGAGGAAGAGCGGAAUGGGGUCCCGCCUAAUCGAAACUGGCAGACCCCGUACCUGCAAUAUCUCCACCGAGGAGAGCUACCCCUCGACAAAGCCGAAGCUCGGCGACUGGCGCGGCGCGCCAAGUCAUUCGUCUUGCUGGGUGACGGGAAGGAGCUCUACCACCACAGCCCCUCUAGCAUCCUCCAGCGAUGCAUAUCCAUCGCCGAAGGCCAGGAUCUCUUACAAGAAAUACACUCGGGGGCUUGCGGUCAUCACGCAGCGCCUCGUGCCCUUGUUGGAAAUGCUUUCCGACAAGGUUUCUACUGGCCGACCGCGGUGGCCGACGCCACUAGAAUUGUCCGCACCUGCCAAGGGUGUCAAUUCUACGCGAAGCAGACCCACCUGCCCGCUCAGGCUCUGCAGACAAUACCCAUCACCUGGCCGUUUGUUGUGUGGGGUCUGGACCUCGUCGGUCCCUUGCAGAAGGCGCCCGGGGGCUACAUGCACCUGCUGGUCGCCAUCGACAAAUUCUCCAAGUGGAUCGAAGUCCGACCCCUAAACAGCAUCAGGUCCGAACAAGCGGUGGCAUUCUUCACCAACAUCAUCCGUUGCUUCGGGGUCCCGAACUCCAUCAUCACCGACAACGGCACCCAGUUCACCGGCAGAAAGUUCCUGGACUUCUGCGAGGAUCACCACAUCCGGGUGGACUGGGCCACCGUGGCUCACUCCAUGACGAAUGGGCAGGUAGAACGUGCCAAUGGCAUGAUUCUGCAAGGACUCAAGCCGAGGAUCUACAAUGACCUCCACAAGUUCGGCAAGCGAUGGAUGAAGGAACUCCCCUCGGUGGUCUGGAGUCUGAGGACAACGCCGAGCCGAGCCACGGGCUUCACACCGUUCUUUCUAGUCUAUGGGGCUGAGGCCAUCUUGCCCACAGACUUAUAAUACGGUUCCCCGAGGACGAGGGCGUACGACGACCAAAGCAAUCGAACCAACCGAGAAGACUCAUUGGACCAGCUAGAAGAGGCUCGGGACGUGGCCUUACUACACUCGGCGCGGUAUCAGCAGUCCCUGCGACGCUACCACGCCCGAGGGGUUCGGUCCCGAGACCUCCAGGUGGGCGACUUGGUGCUUCGACUACGACAAGACGCCUGAGGGCGGCACAAGCUUACGCCUCCCUAGGAAGGUCUGUUCGUCAUCUCCAAGGUUUUGAAGCCCGGGACGUACAAGCUGGCCAACAGUCAAGGUGAGGUCUACAGCAACGCUUGGAACAUCCGACAGCUACGUCGCUUCUACCCUUAAGAUAUUUUCAAGCCGUUCAUAUACCUCGUUUACAUAUGAAGUCUAACCAUCAAGGAAGGGUUAGCCUUGCCUCGACAAAGCCCGACCCUCCCUCGGGGGCUAGAAGGGGGGAACCCCCUCUGCGUCAAAAUUUCCCUCAGAAGAAGCCUUUCUGCCAGAAUAUCUUUCGUGCUUUUUGACUACUUCGGUAGUAAGAUCGUGAAAACGACGGAGUACACGUAAGCAGGCAAGGCCGACCGAGCCGAGGGACUCCUACGCCUCCGGGAUACGGAUACCUCACUCAUCACCUUCUGCGAGAAGUAACUUGCGUUCAGAUGAGCGAUCCUGCUGACCGAACAAGCCUUAACGCUCAAAAGACUUUCCGCCGAAACGGCUUUUCAGGUUUUCUCGACCACGUCGAUAGUAGAAUCCCGCGGACGAGCAAGAGUACACGUAAGCGGCAAGGCUGACCGAGCCGAGGGAUUCCUACGCCUCCGGGAUACGGAUACCUCACUCAUCACCUUCCAUGAGAAGUAACUCUAGCUCGGAUAAACGAUUCUGCUACCGACGAGCAAGCCCUGAUACUCGAAACAAGAGGAAAAGAAACGCAGCUUUACAACACGACGACAGUAUGCUUGGGCCUCGGCAGCCGCAAAAACAUAUGCAUACUACAGGCGAACCGAUCCUGCAGGCUCAGACGUCGAUGGAGGGGGAGCAGCAGCACCCUCGGCGUCAACUCCACCUUCGGCGAAGUCCGACCGAGCCUCGGACGGCAACACGGGCGAAGGAUCUCCGCUCCGAAGGAUGACGUCAGCACAAAGCCGGGGCCAUCGCCGCCAGGGUCUCCUCCAGGAACCCGGCCCGAGCAGACGGCUCGGCCAGCCACCCCGAAGCCUCAGCCAGCUGUCCCCCGAGGACACCAGCCCGGCUCGUGGCCUCGGCAACUCGAUUCCGGCGUUGGUCCCGCCAGUGGAUGACCCGGCCAGGCCCCGGCCGACGAAGCUUCCUUUUUUGAGCCAACUCCGCCUCUGUCCACGCUGACACCGCUGCCCUCGGCCCCGGCUCACCAUAGAGCGGCCGAGGGUUUCUUAGACUAAGCAAGUGAGGCCUCGGGCGGCAAGGCCGACUGAGCCAAGGGAUUCCUACGCCUCCGGGAUACGGAUACCUCACUCUUCACCUUCCACACAGAGCGACUCACAUUUGGUCAAGCGGUUCGGCUAGCCGGCAGGCAAGUUCCAGUGGUCAAAAAUGAGGAAAAACAUGGUAUUACACCCAAAAAUACCUACAUGUUCAGGCCCUGAUAGCCACAAUGAACAAACAUCGGCACUCAAGGUGCCAUUACAAACGGAACUCUGGUUCCACCCCCGCAGGUACGAACAACCCCCCACAUUGGAAGGCCUGUGGGGCGACGAGACCCCAGGUGACUCACCGCUGCCCGCUCCGGCAGCAGCGACAACGACCUCCGCUCAGGCGGCCAAACAGCAGCAGUGAUGGCUUCAGGGCGGACGCUGCUGCAACAAGCCUCUCGCCCACGCCCCCACUCGAGGGGCGAGGACAAGCUAUCAAAGCCAAAGAGCCGGAGGCCCGGAGCGCGGAUGGUGGUGGUGAUCCCGUCGGUGACGAGGACUUCUUCAGCCGCCACCACCUCAGCGCCGACGAUGGAAGCCAUCUGCCCACCGGCAGAUCCCCACUCGGAUCCUCUCGGACGGGCGAGCACCGACCUUCGCGCAGAGGCGCCGUACCGGAGCAAAGGCAGGACAGCCCAAGAACACGAAUGCCGCCCUAGCAGCGCGCGACGUCUUGGGCGGUCCUCCGGUGCGCGCAGCGCGACAACCGCUCUCGCGGCGGGAGGGGGCACCGGGAGCCGAGCCAGAGCCAGCCGAGCCAGCGAGCCCAACGCGCUGAAGCUGACGACGCUCGCCGACGACCAGCCCCGUGUUGUCGAAGUCCGACCCUCCCGCUAGGCCGGUGAGCGCCCUCUCCCCUGAAUGCUGAGGGAGAAGGUGACCCACGAACCCGCGCGGGAGGUAGAGCUCCGGCUCAGCCCGCCCUCCGCCCCAGCCAGGAUGAUGAACAUCCUUGAAGCUGCGGGAGGGGCAGAGACCGCAGCCCGGCUCGCUUCUCCCCACCAUCGAACUGGUGGUCACCGUCUUGGGUGACCACCGGCGAGGGUAUGCAGCCGGGCUGCCUGAUCAAAAUCCUUGAAGCCGAGCGAUGGCUGAAAGGUACCAACUUCCGCGAAGUUGCGUUCCUCCAACGACGACAAGACGAAAGUAACGCGAGCGCUCCCCAUCCGGGGGCUCAGAAGGUGGAAGGGCGCGAUGCAUGAGGAGAGUGCGAAGACAUGAUUGCCAUCCAAGGGGGUCACCCUCCUUUUAAAGGCGACUCUUCCCACUUGCGUCCUCAGCCGGCGCGGACUGAGUCUUCUUCAACACGCUCCAAGGUCCUCCCCCUACGACACGGGGGCUGGGUCCCACGCGUCAUGCAAGCCGGCCCAGGGCAGAAGGAUCCAAAACCGCCACGCGCGGUGCACGCAACUGCCCAGCGGUUACAAGCAUUCCUCCACUAUCGCCCGGACCAGCGGGUGAAAGGGCGGACCGCCAUGCAGGCGGCAUGCAACCGCACCAAGGGGGCGCACCCUUUUGACUUCGACGCACCCAGCAUGGAGGCCUAGGCCCACACGUCAUGUAACCGGCGCGCCGGUUACUACGUGUAAGAAACUGCACCACCACUCGCGCCAGUACCGCGCCUCCUCGACUGCGCAACCGGUGCCGCGACUCGAGGCGACCCUGCGCAUGACCCGACAAUGCCAACCGAGCACAUCGGUCACGGGUCAGUCAGCCACGGGAGAAGGCGCGACGGUCGAUACGGUUAGAAAUGAGUCGGCAGUAAUGGCGGUGGCAGGCGGGUGGAAGCAGCAGUCAAGUCAUCAGCAAGCUCAUGUCCCCUCAUGGGGCAGCAGGAGAACCCUCUCCCACAGCGUGAAGACGACACGCCCGUGUUUCGUUCCUCGAAUGGCUCGUGCACGCGCAACGGCUGCCCCGCGAACCACUCGUCCCGUCGCAUUAACUCCGCGGCAGGGCAAGCGGCACCUUUGGCAGGCAAAGCAGGCGAUGCUUCACCUCCGCCAUGAUGACCGCGUCAAAAAAGGUGUGCCACGUCAUUCGAUUUCGUAUCCUUUUCCACUUCCUCUUCCUCUCUCUUGCUACAGGGACCAAGAAAGGGGAUACUCCAAAAAGGAUCCUUCUCCGCGAAGGAAGCGGGCCCCGAGCCGCCUACUGAUCAGAGGUUCGAAGGCUGGCCCCUCAGAAGGGUUCAACAGCCGCCUCAGAGCACUCGGGCUCCGCGCCCACUACUGGUCAGAGGUUCGAAGGCUGGCCCCUCGGAAGGGUUCAACGGCCGCCUUAGGCCACUCGGGCUCCGCGCCCACUACUGAUCAGGGGUUCGUAGGCUGGCCCCCGAAGGGUUCGACAGCCGCCUCAGAGCACACAGAGCGAGGGAUGACCCUAGGUACGUUCGAUACAUAACCAAGGCUCGGGCUACGCUCCCGAGGUACCCUGGGACAUUUCCGAGACCGACGGGAACGAUUUUGUAAUGGAAUCCCACCAGAGGGAGGCAUCGAGCCCUCGGACCCCGUCAAAAGGGGACCGGGUCCGGCGAAUCACCCGCAGGUACUUUUGGAGCGUGCCUCCGGGCCACUAGCCAACCCCUAACGAAUGGGUCACGGGCGUCCACUCGGAUUACCCGUUAGUAACUCACUGGAGACACCAUGUUCGGCACCCUCCGAGGGCAACAUGGCGCUUUCCCCCCCUCCUCCUUGCGGAAAGGCGACGCAGGGGCGUAUGAAAAAAGCCGAGUCUGUCCUUGACCGUCCUCUCACUCUGUGCGGAGGCUCAGGGGCUGCUCUCGCAAACCCAGCUCCGGCCAAACCGUUGACAGCAUCAACAUACCAGCCCGAGAACUUGGGACUCGACUAUGCACCCGGGCUACGGCCAGUUCGCAUGAGGGAACAACCAGACCGGCUGAAGCAUCACAAAACGCGCUAAGACCUUGAAGGAGUCAAACCACUCCUCCGAGGCCUCGGGGGCUACACCCGGCGGGUGCGCUCGCGCGCACCCACCGAAACGAAAUGCAACCGAGAAAGGCCGGUCCCCUUGCAAAAAAGUGCGACAAAAGCCUCCAAGCGAGUAUCAACACUCCCUUCGAGGCUCGGGGGCUACUGUCGGGGACCAUAAUUAGGGGUACCCCCAAGACUCCUAAUCUCAGCUGGUAACCCCCAUCAGCACGAAGCUGCCUGAUGGGCGCGAUUAAGGUCAAGGCUCAGUCCACUCAAGGGACACGAUCUCGCCUCGCCCGAGCCCAGCCUCGGGCAAAGGCAGCCGACCCCGGAGGAUUCACGUCUCGCCCGAGGGCCCCCUCAAGCAACGGACAAACCUUCGGCUCGCCCGAGGCCCAGUCUUCGCAGAGAAGCAACCUUGACCAGAUCGCCACACCAACCGACCGUAUCGCAGGAGCAUUUAAUGCAAGGAUCGCCUGACACCUUAUCCUGACGAGCGCUCUUCAGUCGACAGAGCCGAAGUGACCGCGGUCACUUCGCCGCUCCACUGACCGACCUGACAAGGAAACAGCGCCGCCUGCGUCGCUCCGACUACUGUGCCACUCGACAGAGUGAGACUGACAGCAGCUAAGUCUAGCCUCGGGCGACAUACGAAGCUCCGCCUCGCCCGACCCCAGGGUUCGGCCCCAACCUCGGCUCCGGAAGACGACGAACUUCGCCUCGACCGACCCCAGGGCUCAGACACAGCCUCGGCCUCGGAAGACGGUCUCCGCCUCGCCCGACCCGAGGGCUCGGACUCAACCUCGACCUCGGAAGACGGACUCCGCCUCGCCCGACCCCAGGGGUCAGACUCAGCCUCGACUCCGGAAGACGGACUCGACCUCGACCUCGGAGGAGCCUCCACCUCGCCCGACCUAGGGCUCGGACCGACCACGUCACAGGGGGCCAUCAUUACCCUACCCCUAGCUAGCUCAGGCUACGGGGAACAAGACCGGCAUCCCAUCUGGCUCGCCCCGGUAAACAAAUAAUGAUGGCGCCCCGCGUGCCCCAUGACGAUGGCGGCGCUCAGCCCCUUACGGAAGCAAGGAGACGUCAGCAAGGAUUCGACAACCCCGAUAGCUGUCCUUCCGUAGGGCUCCAGCUCUCCUCCGACGGCCACGACAUCACAUGAACAGGGUGCCAAAACCUCUCUGACUCCCACGACGGCAUGUACUUAGGGCUCUAGCUCCUCUCUGCUAGACACGUUAGCACACUGCUACACCCCCCAUUGUACACCUGGACCUUCUCCUUACGCCUAUAAAAGGAAGGUCCAAGGCUUUCGUACGAGAAGGUUGGCCGCGCGGGAGAACGGGCCGACGCGUAAGGCUCUCCCACGCGAACGCUUGUAACCCCGUACUACAAGCGCACCCGACCUGGGCACAGGGCAACACGAAGGCUGCGGGUCUCCCCUUUGCCUAUUUCUUCCCCCCUUCGUGCUCCGUCUCGCGCCGACCCAUCUGAGCUGGGACACGCGGUGACAAUUUACUCGUCGGUCCAGGGACCCCCCGGGGUCGAAACGCCGACAGUUAGUUAAUUCAUAUAGUUAAUUGUCUAGCUCAUUUAAUGUUGAUCAACUGAAAGUGGUCAUGUUUCUAUUUGUGCAUGUAGCUAAUCCUUAUUUUUGGAGCUAAGUAGAACUAGAGCACGUAACGUCUAGUUAUUCGUCUACCCGUAAUGCGCCUCGAGCAUAAGCUUUAACCCCUGUGAGACCUUCCCCCGUUUCUUUCUAACCAUGGUAAAUGUAAUAUCGUAUGUCAUAUUCUAUGCAUGUUUAAUCUACUUGUUCUCUUGUAUGGUGUACUGUUUGUUUCCUAAUUUGAAUGGAUGGAUGUAUGUAUGUUUGCACUCGCAUAGAGAACGAUCCGGUUGAAGAGCCCGAAGAACUCGCAGGAGAAGCCCCUGAGCAGCAGUCGGUUGAUGGAGGCAAGCGUCCCUUGACCUAUCUUUGUCCUAUUCAUUCUUUAAUUCACCUCCUGCAUUACACAUUUAUGCCUAAGGAUUGACUAGCUUUGUUAUCCAUGUCCUUGUUUACCUAUUUGGGUUGGAUUAUUAUUGCUUAGUCUUAUGCUAUUGCUCCACUCUAAUCAAUGAACAUGACGAGAAUGAGCAAUGAUACGCUAUUUUCCCCCUUCUUAUUAUGAUGUUAUACUUGUGGCCUUUAAGGGGACUCAAGCGGUUUCUCGAGUGCCUCUCCGUAAGGACUUGUUCGUUGGAUGAUCGCCCGGGAAAACAGUGCAACCAUGAGGGUGGAAUGGGGUGCCCUUAGCUGAAUAAUUAGAGGAUCCGGGGUGUAGUUCGCUUCGCCGUCGUGUCGUCAAUGGGGCUCGGUGUAUGCGGCACGCUCUGCCAAGGUUGAUUUGUCCCUUGGGGAGGAGUGCGGUACAUUUAGGAAACCUAACGGGCGACUAUAGCCCCGGGGAAUCUUUGUAAAGGCUACAUAGUGAAACCCUGCUGGGUCACCUUGGUAGUGAUCAAUGGAGAGUCAUGAUCUCCGGGCAGAAAGGGAAUCACGACUUGUGGGUAAAGUGCACAACCUCUGUAGAGUGUUUGAAACUGAUAUAUCAGCCAUGCUCGCGGUUAUGAGCGGCCAAGGGAGCUCCAGUGAUUAGUGGUACUUGAUCAGAGAUGGUCGGAUUACAGGUGGUAACGAGGUUGAUGGUUCUUGGUUUUGACUCUGGUAAUGGUAAGUGGUACUCUUUCCGUUUGGAAAGGAGUACGUUUGGGUUAAUAACGUGGGUUAACUCUAAAACUUGGCUUUCUCUACUAGUAAUAAUAAUCUGACCAACUAAAAGCAACUGCUCGACUUACCCCCACAUAAAGCUAGUCCACUACAACUAGACAGGACACUUGUUGAGUAUGUUGAUGUGUACUCACCCUUGCUCUACACACCAAACCCCCCAUCCCCAGGUUGUCAGCAUUGCAACCCCUGCUCAGGAGAAGGCGAAGCCGUGGAAGGAGACUUCCAGGAGUUCCAAGACUACGACGAGUUCUAGGCGUGGGUUAGCGGCAACCUCCAGUCGGCUGCCUGUGAAGGCCGCGUUUAUCUACGUUUCUUUUCCGCACUUUGAUGAUUUGUAAAGACUAUGUGAAUGUCUCAGACAUAUGAUGUAAUCGACUACUAUUUCCCUUUUUAAUACUAUUUGAGCACUGUGUGAUGAUGUCCAUGUUAUGUAACUGCUGUGUACGUGAAUUGCUGAUCCUGGCACGUACAUGGUUCGCAUUCGGUUUGCCUUCUAAAACUGGGUGUGACAAUACAUUUGAAUACAGAUGAAACAUACAAGAAAACUUUAGCAUGAGAUGCCUAUUUCUAUAUUUAUUUAUUUGUUAUUUCACUUUUUUAUUUCUCUUAAGUGAGUAUUCACAAAGAAAAGGGAAAACACAUAAUUCCCAAAACGCUUUUAUGUAAAUCCAUGUAUUUAUUUAUUUUAUUAUUUUUUACCUUAUAUAAAUUUUAGGGCUUUACAGGGGGCUCCCCUUCAUCGCCCUUCAACCCCAGCGCCCUCUGGAGCUCUUGGUCAGCCUACUGGCUCUAGGGGGUUGCGGUAGCAUGUCUGGCGGCCGGGGCAGUGGCCCUCCCUCUACAACCCGUGGACUGGUACCAUCCACAUGUAGCCUAGGCCACCUGCGGUGCCUUGGCCCCUCGCCACCCCACCUCUCAACAGGUUUUCUUUGCCGCUCCGCUGCCGGCUACGCCCUCGGCUCCUCCCCAGCCCCAGUAGGGGCUUCUUCCUCUCCUGGGGCCUCCGGCCCAGCCCGUGUGAGGGCCCUGGACCAAUGGGUGGGACGCGUAGUCUCUCACUAGCUCCUUCUCCACGAUGAUGCUGGCCCCACCCACCUCGGUCUCUGACUAGGUGGCUGACUCCGGUGCCUCCUACCACACCACCCCGGACGCAAAUAUUCUGUCUUCCACCUCUCCCCCCACCCCUCCCUUCCUUCUUCCAUCGUUGUUGGCAGCGGAUCUGCUCUUCCCGUCACCUCCGUCGGUGACGCGGUUCUUCCCAGUCCUUUUCACUUAACCAACGUCCUUGCCGCACCCCCACAUCAUUCAAAAUCUUUUUUCCGCUCGACAGUUCACUACUAACAACUCUUGUUCUAUGGAGUUUGACCCUUUUGGUCUGUCUGUGAAGGAUCUUGCCACCAGGACUCUUCUCGCUCGGUGUGACAGCCCCGGGCCUCUCUACACGCUUCGUCUGCCUGCUUCCCCUACAUCGGCCUCUGUCCCGCCUGUCCUUGUAGUGGUCGCCUCCUCUGUGACUUGGCACCAUUGUCUCGGCCACCUCGGGCGAGAUGUGAUGUCCAAGCUCUCUAGUAGUACCUCUUUUCUGGUUGUAGGGGAUCUUUUGAGCACCUCUGUCAUGUUUGUCAGUUAGGUCACCAUGUUAGGCUCCCAUUCCCCACCUCUUAUUCUAGGGCAGCAGGCACUUUUGAUCUGAUACAGUGUGAUGUAUGGACAUCCCUUGUAAUCAGCAUUUCUAGCAAUAAGUAUUAUUUACUCAUUCUUGAUGACUUCUCGCACUAUUUGUGUACUUUUCCUUUACGUCAGAAGUCAAACACUUAUCACACCCUGUCUCACAUCUUCGCUUGGGUCUCCACUCAGUUUGGUAGCACCAUCCGGAGUGUCCAGUGUGACAACGGUCGCGAGUUCUAUAACAAUGCGUCCCGUGAUUUUUUUUCCUCUCUCACGGCGUCCACCUUCGCAUGUCAUGCCCCUACACGUCUCCUCAGAAUGGUAGGGCUGAGCGUAUGAUUCGCACAACGAACGAUGUCAUGCGCUCCCUGCUCUUUCAGGCUUCCCUUCCUCCUCACUACUGGGCUGAGGCCCUCACCAUUGCCACCUACCUUCUCAUCUGUUUGCCAACCAAGGCGGUUGCCCACCCCACUCCUUACUUCGCUCUUUUUGGCAUCCACCCCUCCUAUGAUCAUCUUCGUGUCUUCGGGUGUGCUUGCUACCCUAUUCUCGCUUCCACUGCCCCUCAUAAAUUAGCGCCCCGAGCCACUCAUUGUGUCUUCCUCAGCUACUCCCCCGACCAUAAGGGGUACCGGUGUCUUGAUCUCUCCUCCCACAGAGUCCUCAUCUCCCAUCACAUCGUCUUCGACGAGUCGGAUUUCCCCUUUUCCUCCUCUUCUUCCACUGCCUCUCUCACCGAGCUCGACGUGUCUCUCGAUCUUGUCCCUGUGUCCCCUACUGUCGUACCACCCUUCCCUGUAGGUCCGUCCAACGCGCCAACCCGCGCGGUCCUGCCUGCGACGCCCCCUCCGCACAGCCUCGUGUGGCCUCGACGUCCCCAGCGUCGCCUUGUGCGACCCCACCGGUGCCCCAUCCCUCGCACCACCUCAUGAGGCCUUGGCGUCCCCCUCGUCGCCUCGCGCGACCCCCCCCCCCCCCCCCGGCGCCAUCCUCCUCCGCACAGCCACGUGCGGCCUCAGCGUCCCCUCUGUCGCCUCGUGCGGCCCGGCGUCCCCAGUCAGGUCCCGUCCGGCUCUGGCGUCUCCCGCAUUGCCACGUGCGGCCCCAUCGUCUUGCUACACCAACCCCAUCCAGACGUACCAGCGCCACGGUCGUGGCGGUCCACCGGUUCGCCCUCGCGCUGAGCCCCGGCCUAUCACCCCAUCAUCGUCCAUCGGGAUCCUCGCCACAUCCACCCGAUGGUCACACGGCGCGUGGCAGGUGUCCUUCAAGCCCUGAUCGCCUAAUCCUCUUCGCGACCUCUUCUCUGACCCUACCGCCAGUGCCCACGACUGUCCGUGGUGUGCUUGCCGACCCGCAGUGGCGGCGUGCCAUGGAAGAGGAGUAUGAGGCCCUUCAGACGAACCACACCUGGGACCUAGUGCCUCGUCCCCAUGGAGCCAACGUGGUCACCGGGAAAUGGAUCUUCAAACUGAAGUUGCACGCCGAUGGGUCCCUAGAGCGGUACAAGGCCCGUAAUGUGCUCCGGGGCUGCACUCAGCGUCCUGGGGUUGACUAUGAAAGGGAAAUAGGGUUAAACCUUUUCCACAAUUAAUUUUGGUGGUUGAAUGCCCAACACAAAUAAUUGGACUAACUAGUUUGCUCUAGAAUAUAUGUUCUACAUGUGCAUAAAGGUUCAACACAAACCAAUAAAAUAUCAAAGUUAGGGUUCAAAAUCAAAGAAGCAAAGAAACCGAGUGUGCUCUGGUCUGGCGCACCGGAAUGUCCGGUGUGCCACCGGACAGUGUCCGGUGCACCAGGACCGUACAGAGUCCAACAAGCCACUCUCAGGUUUCAGCAGGCGCACUCCGCUAAAAAUCACUGGACUAUCCGGUGUGCCAGCGGAGCAACGGCUACUUCGUGCAACGGACGACUGCAAAAGUACCUGACGCGAGGAACAGUGUGCGGCACAGUCAGAGCGCAGUGUCAGAGGCGCACCGGACAGUGAACAGUACAUGUCUGAUGUGGCACCGGACUGUCUGGUGCCACAUGAGGACAAAGCCUCCAACGGUCGACCAGCUCCUAACCCUAACGAUUGGGUGACGUGGCGGCGCAUCGGACAGUGUCCAGUGGCGCACCAGACUAUCCAGUGCGCCCAUUGCCAGCAGCCUUCCCCAACAACUACAAGAUGGUUGGUGGCUAUAAAUACCACCCAACCGACCACUUCAAGGUGUGGGAGCCCAAGCAACAUUCCAAGUCAUAUAGUUGACAUAUCCAAGCCCUCCCAACCACUUCCAUUCAAUGAUCUAUCUCAUACACAAGAUUUAGGCCACCACAAGCAACACAAGUGCCACAAAAGAGAGAUCAAGCAAAAGAGAGCUACUCGUGUGAAUUUAGCCCUAGUGCCUUGUGAGAAUCAUUGAGAGAAAGCGUGUGCUACAUCUUGUGAUCAUUUGAGCGUGGAGUUUUGACUCCCAUUCAUUUUCCUCCAAAGUUUUGGAGGCUUGUAAAGCUAGCAACAGACACCUAAGAGUGUGGUGGUCCUUGCGGGGUCUUAGUGAUCCUUGAGAUAAAGAAGAAGAGCUCGCCGGUCUUGGUGAUCGGUGGAGAGAGGGAAAGGGUUGAAAAAGACCCGUCCUUAGUGGACUCCUCAACGGGGAUUAGGUUUUCGAGAACCAAACCUCGGUAAAACAAAUCACCCAUGUCUCUUGUGUUUAUUGCUUGUGAUUUGUUUGUUUUCUCUCUCUAAGUUAUCUUGCACUAUUCUUUGCUAAUAUUAUUUUGUGUUGCUUCAAGUUAAAUUCUCAUUUAGAGAAGCAAUGCCUUGCAAGAAAGAACUUGCAUUAUUCCUCCUUUUAUCUAAGCCCUCUUGCUCUAUACUCCAUAAACUUAUUAGUUGUAUUGAUUUGCUAAUUCUGCAUUCUUUGAAAGCAACACCCUUUACAAGCAAGGGACUUAGUUUUACACUACGAUAAUUGUGCAUCUUGUUCCCAUCACUAAUCAAGGGAUCUAGUUUGUGUUUAGAGUUAUAAUUUUUAGGUUUCGCCUAUUCACCCCCCCCUCUAGGCGACUUUCAAUUGGUAUCGGAGCUAGGCACUUCAUAUUGAGUCUAACCACUCAAAGUGAUGGCUCGAAGAAGAUCCCAAAAGAACAAGAAAACAACUCCGAAGGAAAACAAGGAGGUAACUCUUGAGAUAUUACUUUCCGAUUGUUCUAAUUAUGCUUCAUGGUCUACUAGGAAUGCCUUGCUUAAGGACCAAGUAGAAAUGCUAAAAAUUGAAAAUCUAGCCUUUUAAGAAAAACAUGAUAUGCUUCUAUGCUCUCAUAAAAAUCUUAUGGAUGAUCAUAUCAUGUUAAACAUUGUUCAUGAGGCUGUGAUAGAAAACUUAAAAUCCAAACAGCCUCAUUCAUGCGCAUGUAUUCAAAUUGAAACUAUAUUACCAUGUGCUAAUGCUUGUUGCUCGUCAACAAGUAAUUCCUCCUUUGAGCUAGAAUUUCCAGGAACAAAAGAUGAUGCAUGUCAAAAGCUCAAGAAAGAAAAUGAGAGGCUAAGAACGAGCCUGACACAACUAAAAGGGAAGUGCACUACCCAACCUUCUUAAGAUAACCGUGAUUACAUGGUGAAAAAGCUUGAGACGGGAACAACCGUGGCAUGGACAAAAUCCUUUGAAGAAAAAGUCAAGGACUUGAGGAUUGUCAAGAGGAAGGAACAAAAGAAGAAAAUCAAUACCUCUGCCAAAAGCCUCAACCAUGCCUCCAUGCAAGGUAACAUCCAAGGUAAUGAUCAAGCCACACUUCACACUAAGAAAAGUAAUAAGUGUAGUGAAUGCUUUGAAAAUGGGCACUUGAUUAGGUCAUGUCCCUAUAUUAAAGAGAAUGGCUUGAUUAUUAAUAAGGAUGAUAAAGAUUGUUUUAGAUACUCUAAGAAGGGACAUUUAGUUAAUUCAUGUCCCUAUGUAAAACAAAAAGGCAUAGUUUUAGAAAAGAAAAUAUUUACUAACCAUGUAGCAAGCAAGAAACAAGGAAAGAAGAAAUCUUCAAGGCAUGAAGAUCGUCUUUGCUACAAUGCCGAAAGAAAGGACAUCAAUGUAAGGAGUGUCCUAUUGGUAACUAUCUCGCCCCCAACUUGUCAAUUGAUUCAUAUGUAACUAGGCAACCCAAAAUUGCAACUUGUGCUAGCACAAAGGACAUCUAGGUUCCUAGAUCUUUGUUGACUAACCUUGAUGGACCCAUCAAGAGAUGGGGACCAAAAUAUGCAUGACAAGCUUUACAGGGAAAGGAGAUGAUAUAAAGCUUUGGAUGUGCUUGAGAGGAUCAAUUCAAUUCAUAUUAACUCAAGCUAUCAAUCUUACAAAUGAUCUAUAUAUCUAAGAUUGAUCCAAAGUUAUUUUGAGUUAUUAUAUCUACUCAUAUCAUCUCGAGCAGGAUAUUGAAGUUGUAGGAAUUAAAGGAUUAUCCUGUGUGGAAAAACAAAAGCCUGCAAUAUGGAGGAAAGCCAAAGGAUGGUAACAUUUAUGUCUUUAAGUGCAAGUAUCUUCAAUUACCAUUUCUCUCGUGUCUUGUGUAGUCACAUAGAAAAAGGAAGCACUUAAUAAUAUUAUCAAAUUACGUCACCAUUCUUUGGAGAAAGUUCCUCUCAUAUGGUAGAUUGCAUAUUCAUCAUUUCUAUAUUAUGGCAAUCUACAUGAUUUAAAAUUAUUGUAAGUGUUGGGGGCCUUCGGCUUCCGAAGGUCCUUAAAAAACAUGAUUUAACAAUGUUUCUGGAGUAUGAUACAUGAACAGAUACCUUCGGACUUAGGCCAAAACCACAGUGUGAAGAAGCACAAAGGAUACGAAGGGUGGCGCUGAGCCGAAGCUAUGCGCAGGGGAGCAUUGGCAGGAUAACAGAAAAGGAAACCGACUUAAAGGGGAAAAGGCUAUUUAGACCUCGAUGAAUUACUAUAGAGUUAUUAGCAAAUGUAAAGGGCAUGGGUGUAGUUUUACAUGGGCUGCGUCCCGUGCCUAUAAAUAGAUGAACACUGCUCCUGUACUGUUCACGCUGAUUUGGCAUUUGCUUUUGCGUCACGCAUGUACUUUUGCCUUCUUUCAAGCCGAAGGUACAUUUGUAAUUUGUUAUCAUUUCUAUUUUUCCAUAGUAAUAAAAUAAAAAUGAGUUAAUGAUAAUAUUUGAGUGUUUACGUUAUUAUUCAUACUCUGUAUGAAUCCUUCUUCAUUAUUUGUUGUACUGAUGAAGGUAUGUCCUUCAUAACCUUCGUCCAAGACUCAUUAUAUCCUGAGGGAAGUAAUGCUUCGAAGGACGAAGGACUUUAACGUUUAACAAUUUCUGUGUUGCCUUGUUCUUAAUUCAUAGCAUUUAAGGACAAGUCCCCAACAGUAAGUGUCACACCCGGUUUUAGAAGGCAAACCGAAUGCGAACCAUGUACGUGCCAGGAUCAGCAAUUCAUGUACACAGCAGUUACAUAACAUGGACAUUAUCACACAGUGCUCAAAUAGUAUUAAAAAGGGAAAUAAUAGUCGAUUACAUCAUAUGUCUGAGACCUCCACAUAAUCUUUACAAUAAUCAAAGUGCGGAAAAGAAACGUAGAUAAACGCGGCCUUCACAGGCAGCCGACUGGGGGGUUGCCGCUAACCCACGCCUAGAACUUGUCGUAGUCUCGGAACUCCUGGAAGUCUCCUUCCACGGCUUCAUCUUCUCCUAAGCAGUGGUUGCAAUGCUAGCAACCUGGGGAGAGGGGUUUGGUGUGUAGAGCAAGGGUGAGUACACAUCAACAUACUCAGCAAGUAUCCUGUUUGGCCAUAGUGGACUAGCUUUAUGUGGGAGUAAGUCAAGCAGUUGCUUUUAGUUGGUCAGAUUCUUAUUACUAGUAGAGAAGGCCAGGUUUUAAAAUUAACCCACGUUAUUAACCCAAACGUACUCCUUUCCAAACGGAAAUAGUACCACUUACCAUUACCAGAGUCAAUACCAAGAACUAUCAAUCUCAUUACCACCUGUAAUCCGAACAUCUCUGAUCAAGUACCACUAAUCAUUGGAGCUCCCUUGGCCGCUCAUAACCACGAGCACGGCUGAUAUAUCAGUUUUCAAACACUCUGCAGAGGUUGUGCACUUUACCCACAAGCCGUGAUUCCCUUUCUGCCCGGAGAUCAUGACUCUCCAUUGGUCACUACCAAGGUGACCCAGCAGGGCAUCACUACGUAGCCUUUACAAAGAUUCCCCGGGGUUGUAGCCGCCCAUUAGGUUUCCUAAAUGCAUCGCACUCCUCCCCAAGGGCGAACCAACUUGGCAGAGCGAGCCGCAUACACCGAGCCCCAUUGGCGGCACGACGGCUAAGCAAACUACACCCCAGUUCCUCUAAUUAUUCAGCUAAGGGCAUCCCAUUCCACCCUCAUGGUUGCACUGUUUUCCCGGGCGGUCAUCCAACAAACAGGUCCUUACGGAGAGGCACUCGAGAAACCGCUCGAGCCCCCUUGAAUGCCACAAGUAUAACAUCAUAAUAAAGUAAGGGAAAACAGCGUAUCUUUGAUAAUUCUCAUCAUGUUCAUUGAUUAGAGUUGAGCAAUAGCAUAAAGCUAAACAAUAAUAAUCCAACCCAAAUAGGUAAACAAGGACAUGGAUAACAAAAGCUAGUCAAUCCUUAGGUAUAAAUGUGUAAUGCGGGAGGUGAAUUAAAGAAUGUAUAGGACAGAGAUAGGUCAAGGGACACUUGCCUCCACCAACCGACUGCUGCUCAGGGGCUUCUCCUGCGAGUUCUUCGGGCUCCUCAACCAGAUCGUUCUCUAUGCGAGCACAAACAUACAUACAUCUAUCCAUUCGAAUUAGGAAAUAAAUAGUACACCAUACAAGAGAACAGAUAGAUUGAAUAUGCAUAGAGUAUGACAUACGAUAUGGCAUUCGCCAUGGCUAGAAAAAGAAGAAAGAAGGUCUCGCAGUGGUUAAAGCUAUACUCGAAGCGUAUUAUGGGUAGAUGCAUAACUAAUCGUUACGUGAUCUAAUUCCAUCGAUUUACACUAACAAGUAUUAGCCACAUGCACUAAUAUAAUUAUAACUAUUUUCAAUUGAUUAACAUUAAACGAGGUCCAAUAUUAGCAACAUGAAAUAAUUAACGUAAUGAAGUUCUAAAUUGAGUUCCGUUUAUUGAUAUAAAUAAAGCGAUCACUAUGCAUGAAGUACACGAGGGGGGUAGACGGGCACGCCGAGCCGUGCCAAAGCACCGUGCACACCACGCGAGCACAUGCGCGCGCGAAGCCACGCUAACGUGCCGCGAACGAGCCACGCACACAUCGGGGCCGAGCUGCGCACACACCGCGAGCGGCAACGGGGCCAUGCCGAUGCCGACCGUGUGGGGCCGCGCGCUAGCCGAGCUCAAGGCCGCGCGCCAUAGGCAUGCCGGGCCGAGCUCAAGGCCACGUUGGGCCGACACGCCGUGGCCGCGUCGGGCAGGGGCGGGGCACGCCGAGGCGGGCGGGCUGCCAGGGCCGCGCCAUGGCCGCGCACCAUGGCCGGCGAGGUCGGACCGCCAUGGUCGGGGCAGGGGGACGGGGCUAGGUCGCGCCGGCGAGCGCGCUAGGGACGGGGCAGGGGAGUGUGCCGGGAGGGGCAGGGCACGCCGCGCUGCGGGAGGGCGCCGCGCCGGGGCGGGGGAGCGCGUCGAGCGGGGGCGGGGCACGCUGCGCCGCCGCGGGGAGGGGCUGGGGCGCUCGCGCACGUCGGGGACGGCGGCCGAGCGGCCGGGGCGGGGCCGCGUGGGCACGCCGCCACGCCGAGCAGGGGAGGAAGGGGGGCCGGGACGGGGAAGGGGGAGCCCACCGGGGCCGCGCCGAGGGGCACCGGGGCCGGGCCGGGUGGCGCCAUGGUCGGCCAUGCCGAGGUCGGAGCCACCGCGCCGGCGAGCCGCCAAGGCCGGACCGCGCGGGCGCGAGGCCGCGCGCCGAGGGCGGGCAGGAGGCUGCGCGGGCGGCGGAAGGAGGGAGGGAGGAGGGCCACGCCGAGCCAGGGCGGGACGCCGGGCCAUGCCGCGUGGGGAGGGGCGGGGGCGUCGAGCCGGGGCGGGACGCCGGGCCGCGGGCAAGCCGCCAUGGCCGGGGCGUGCCCAAGCCGGGGAGGGGAUGGGAAAGACGGGGAAGAGAGGGGGAGGAGCUUACCACGCGGGGAGGGGCGAGGGCGGCGCCGGUCGGGCAGGGGGCUGCGCAGGCGGGGGUGGGGAUCGUGCGCGAGGGACAGAGAGAGGUUUUGGGGAGGGGAGAGGGAUGACAGGCGAGGCCCAUGGGGGGGGAAGGCGGCGGCGGUUCCAACCACCGCGCGUUCCACGCGCGGGGAGCGAGGGGGAAGCUGGGCCGUCGAGGGGAGGGGGUGAGCUGGGCCCACAGCUGGGCCGCGCGGGGGAGGGGGCGAGCUGGGCCGCCGAGCCAGCCCACGAAGGGGAAAAGGUGGGGCGGCUGACGCGGCUGGGUCGCGCGCCUGGCCGGGCCGCAAGGAGAGGGGGAAAAAAGAAAAAGAAAAGGUUUUCCUUUUUAAAAUCUAUUUUCUAGAUGAAUGCUUUCACAGUUUCACUCAAUCAAAACAAAUGCAUGGUUCGGCAUGGUGCAACAAACAAAAGAAAGUAUUUUCUAGGGUUUACUUUACACGAGAUCUCAAGCCGAAUCUCGCUAUAACUUUGGAAAAGAUCAAGGCUUAGCGAGGAGAAAAGAAAAAAGGAAAAGGUAACGCCCGAAUUUGGUGAGUGAAGAAAAGAAAAAAUUCAACUCCAAAAUUUGGGGCGUUACAAACCUAUCCCCCUUAAAAGAAUCUCGCCCUCGAGAUUCAAGGUUGGCUAGCAAAGAGCUCAGGAUAUUUAGCCAUCAGAUCAUCUUCACGCUCCCAAGUUGCUUCUUCCUCAGAGUGAUGAUUCCAUCUAACUUUGCACAUUCUGAUGGUCUUCCUUCGGGUGACUCUGUCUGCAGUCUCAAGGAUUUGCGUUGGCUUCUCAAUGUAGGUCAAGUCCUCCUGGACCUCCAGACCUUCCACUGGCAACUGCUCUUCUGGCACACGCAGACAUUUCUUCAACUGAGACACAUGAAAGACAUCAUGCACUGCAGACAAGCAUUCUGGCAAACUGAGCUGAUAGGCCACUUCUCCACGCCUUGCGAGAAUCUGAUACAGAUCAAUGUAGCGGGGUGCUAGCUUGCCUUUGACUCCGAAUCUUCUGACUCCUCUGAUCGGUGACACUUUCAGAUAGACAAAAUCUCCAACUUCAAAACUUAGCUCUCUUCUCCUUGUGUCUGCAUAGCUUCGCUGCCUUGAUUGCGCUAUCUUCAGAUUCUCCCGAACCAUCUUGAUGUUCUCUUCAGCUUCAAGCAGAAUGUCUGGCCCAAACACUUGCUUCUCUCCAGGCUGAUCCCAUUGCAACGGAGUUCUACAACUCCUUCCAUAGAGCGCCUGAAAUGGUGACAUCUUCAAGCUGGCCUGGUAACUUUUGUUAUAGGAGAACUCUGCAUAAGGCAACCUCUUGUCCCAUCCGGACUGAUCUUGCAACCCACAAGCUCUCAACAUGUCUUCAAGGAUUUGAUUAGUUCUUUCGGUCUGACCAUCUGUCUGCGGAUGAUAAGCUGAACUGAAACUCAGAUGUGUGCCCAAGGCUUCAUGCAACUGCUGCUAGAAAUGAGAGGUGAAUUGCGUUCCUCUGUCUGACACUAUCUUCUUUGGCACACCAUGAAGACAAACAAUCUGAGACAUGUACAAUUUUGCCAAUACUGCACUGCUGUAGUUGGUCUUAACAGGUAUGAAGUGGGCUGACUUGGUUAAGCGGUCCACCACUACCCAAAUGGAAUCGUAGCCGGCUCGAGUGCGAGGCAAUCCGACUAUAAAGUCCAUACCGAUUUCAUCACAUUUCCACUGAGGAAUUUGCAACGGCUGCAACAAUCCAGCUAUCCUCUGAUGCUCUGCCUUGAUCCGUCGACAGUUAUCGCACAUAGCCACAUGCUCUGUGAUUUCCCUCUUCAUUCCGUAUCACCAGAAUUUCUUCUUCAGAUCCUGAUACAUCUUCUCACUACCAGGGUGGAUCGAAUAAGCUGUCUCAUGAGCUUCCUUUAGAAUCAAUUCUCGAGUAGAUUCGACAUUGGGAACACACAAGCGAUCUUUGAACCAUACCACACCUUCUGCAUCUUCCCGAAAAUCUUUGCCUCUGCCCUCUAGAAUCAGUCGCCGGAUCUCACCGAUCUUCUCAUCAUUCUUCUGCGCUUCUUUGAUUUCCCGCUCUAGGGUAGGUUCCAAUUCAAUUGUGACUCCUCGCGUAUUAUUCAGAAAUCUGAGAUUCAACCUGUCAAACUCUUUGGCCAACUCAUAAGGCAUCGGACGAGCGACCAUCAGAUUGACUUGACUCUUUCUGCUCAAAGCAUCUGCCACUACGUUUACUUUGCCUGGAUGGUAAUGGAUCUCCAACUCAUAGUCUUUGAUCAGCUCUAACCAUCUUCUUUGCCUCAUAUUCAGCUCCGACUAAGUGAAUAUGUACUUCAGACUCUUGUGGUCCGUGUAAACAUCACAUUUCUGCCCAUACAGAUAGUGCCUCCAUGUCUUCAAUGCGUGAACCACUGCUGCCAACUCUAGGUCAUGGAUUGGGCAAUUCUUCUCAUGAACCUUCAUGUGUUGGGAUGAGUAAGCCACAACUCUUCCCUCUUGCAUCAACACGCAUCCCAAACCGGCGUAACAAGCAUCGCAAUACACCGAGAAGGGCUUGUGCACAUCAGGCAAGACUAAGACAGGCGCUGUAGUCAACUUCUCUUUCAGCGCUUCAAAGGCUUCUUGGCAUUUCUAGGUCCACUUGAAUUCAACCUUGUUGCCUAGCAAAGCUGUCAUUGGUUUUGCAAUCUUUGAAAACCCUUCAAUGAAUCGUCGAUAAUAUCCAGCCAUUCCAAUGAAGCUCUUGAUUCCUCGAGCAUCUGUUGGCGCUUUCCAGUUCAGAAUGUCUGCCACUUUCUUUGGAUCCACAGUCAAUCCUUCUUUGUUAAUUAUGUGACCCAGGAACAGGACUUCACUGAUUUAGAACUCUAUGGCGGAACUGCCCGAAUUAUUCCAACUUAAGUGCAUAAGUCCCGCCUUAGAGGCUAGACCACACUUAAAUGGGAAUAACCCGUCAAUCCCUCGGAUCUAGUCCAACGAGGCCACUGACAGGAUCAAGUACCACAGUCUCACUCGAUGGUGAGUCACAGAGCAAAUACAAUAAAGCAUAAAACCAUACAUUAAGGAGUAUUAAACUUAUUACAUCAUCAUCGGAGUUUUAUCAAAAGUAGUCAUCAUUGUUCAAAGUGCAGCGGAAUAAAACUAACGGUAAAUAAACAGAGAGAUGGGGAAGCAUGUCCCAUCACUCCUCAUGCUCCUCCUCAGCCAAGGUAGGGUCCCACUCGAAUGUCCAACCCGGUGGCAAGAUGGACGGCCAAGUCACUCCAGCAACCAUGUCUUCCAGAGAACCUGUAAAAAUUAUGCCACAAGCAAGGCUGAGUAUAUUAAUACUCAGCUAGACUUACCCGGUGUGAGGAGUCUACUCCUCUACCUCUAAACAUGCAGCUGUUUGGCUGAGGGGUUUGGUUGCCAAAAGCACUAGCUGAGUUUAUAAAUCCAGUUUUAGCUUUGUCAAGUUUUAGUGUGACUCUCUUAAGACUAAAUGUAUACCUAUCUAAUCAUACAUGGUAUCAAACAUUUAGCAAUCAACAACUUUUGCCAAGUCAUCUCAUUUGCACUUGUUACUCAAUGUAGCAGCAUGGAUCAAGCAGUCUCAUUAGCUGCGAGAAGCAGACGAUUCGAAUCGAGUUUUUAUCCUUGCAAGGUAAACCUAAACACACGAUGUGGCGAGGCACUCCGUCCCCACACACAUCAACCGUCCCCAUCGAUUCCCCGUCAGCAGAUCAGGGCUCACCGCCUUAGCGUACAAUGCCUCACUGACCCCGACUGCCGUCGUGCAGUGACCGCACUUGUACCCACCAUAACCGGAAUGGGAGACCACGUCUCAGGUCGCGUGAGCGGAUAUGUCCACUGCCAGGUUCACUCAGGUACUAGGCUUACCGAUUUACCAUAUUUCUCGGCAUGUGCUUAGUACAUUCAAACGCUUGACACACAGUACCUGUUGGGGGCUUGUUCUCAAAUGCUAUGAGUUAAGAACAAGGCAACAUAGAAAAUGUUAAUCGUUAAAGUCCUUCGUCCCCGAAGCAUUAUUUCCCUUAGGAUGUAAUGGCUUGCGGACGAAGGUUAUGAAGGACAUACCUUCAUACAUUCAUUAAGUAAUAGCGAGGAAUGAAAUAUAAAGAAUAUUAAGGACAAUAUAAGUAAUCAUAUAUUAUGACAGGGCAUAAACAGAAACAUUGUCGAAUUACAGGUGUACCUUCAAUCGGAAGGGAAUGACAGUACAAGCUUGGCGCAAAAAACGAAUGCCAAGUCAGCGUGAACAGUACGGGGAUACUGUUCACCUAUUUAUAGACAAGGGACACAGCCCUUACAAAAUUACAUUCAUGCCCUUUACAUUUGAUAAUAACUCUAUAGUAAUCUAUCGGGGUCUGGAUAGCCUUUUCAUCUUUAAGUCGGUUCCACUCUUUGCUGUUACGCCGAAGCUUUCCUGCUCAGCACCUUCGGCUCUGAAUCAAGCUUCGUAUUAUUCCGGUCUGCUGCAAUGCCGACUUUAGUUUGAGGGUACCUGUUCACACAUUGUACUACAGAAAUACUGUUAAAUCCUGUUUUUGAGGACCUUCGGACGCCGAAGGUCCCCAACAGUACCACACCUUAAUCCUUAUUCCAAUUCCCGUCUCGUAGACAACGCAUCCCCAUGGAUCGUUGUCCAUAGACCAUCAUCAUUACGAUAUCAAAAAUGGAUACAACCAAUUCUUGACCUCGCGCGAGUGCUAGAAAAAUCACUCGACUUCUACCGAGAUCAUGCAACUAGGGUUUCAAACAACUCCUACACUUAAGUGCACAUUCAAUCCUACAAUCAUUAAGUGUAGUAAAAUAGUAUAGUAACAGGUUAUGCAUAAAACCGAGGCUUGCCUUCCAAAGCUGGGGCAGGCAGAUCCUUUGGGGCAGGCUCUGGUGCUGGAUCCGGGGCUACCACCUGAGCAACUCCUUGCUUCGGCACGAGGACGUACUCUCCGUCAGCGAGGUUGCAAUCUAUCGAAUGCAAUGAAUAAGAUUAUGUAUGCUAUGAUUAUGCAGGAUUUAAUAAUCAUUAUGCUAAGUGAAGAAAAACUAAGUUAGUUAGUAACUUAGGGUUUCCUGGUUAUACGUGACUCUUAGUGGUUUAUGCUUAUCAACUUUAGGUUUGGGUUUUGCCUAGAGAUAAGCAUAGUGGAUUGAAUCUUAGAUGUUUUAGUAGGCAUUUGAGGGGUUUUGCUGGUUGGGUUAGGGUGACAUUAAUCUCCACUAUUAAUUCCUCUUUCUCAUUUUCUACUUAUGAAUUCUAGUGUGGGUUUGAACUACAACAGUGAUUUAAUUUUUUCUAAAAAUUCUGCAAAAAUUACAGUAGGUCACUAGUUGUCACUGUAAUCUGUCCUACAAGUUUGAGGUGGAUACUGAUUCAGAUACUACUUGUGCAAAAUUAACAAAGAUAAGUUUUUAAAAAGGCAUUUUACACUAUAGCUGUAAUUUAAUUGAGGUUUCUGCACCAAAUUUUAUUUUUGUCCAGAUACAUAGGUGAUAUUAGGCCUCUGUGUUAAAAAUCACAGAAAAGGGCCUACUGGAUAUUUAGUUGUGAAUUUCUAAAGUUUUAUGCCAAAAAGGUGCUUAUAACUAACUUGUUAUUUGAAAAAUAUCAAACAACAGAUUUCAUAUUUUUCCUAUGUUCAUAAUAACAAAACAUUAGUUAUCCCAAGGUUUGGGGUGUUUUCUCCUUGGGGUUAUUUUUCUAGGGUUUUUCUAAGGUUUCCUUGUUUUUCUAAUUUAAAAGGUAUCUCCUUUCUUUUGCACUAAACAAGGGUAUAAUAAAUUUUUCUAGUGAACUACACUGAAUAAGUAAACUAACAAAAAUGUGGGUGUUUGCUGGUUCUUAUUUUAAACUACCUUUAAUAUUUUCUCUAACUUUAAGCAAAAAGUGUUUUAAAUGGCAAAUUCUAUCUUAAUGGGGUGUGCAGAGGGGUUUAUUAUUUUUAAAUAGGUUAGGAAAUGAUUAAGUACCUCUCUAAAUUUUCUUGACCCCAGUCAAAUAGUGUAGUUAUUUUUCCUUAUUUCUUUUAGCUUUUGACCAGUUAAUCAUUUAAAUCAAAACUUUAAAGUUUUCUUUAACACUUAGGAAUUUUAUAUUUUUCCUAAGUAGUUUACAUUAUUUAGGAUCUGGCAAAAUUGGUUUGACUCGAUUUGGGUAACCCAAACUGAAGUUAUGAAUUUUUCAAGUUCUGUUUGGAUUUAAAUCAGAAUAUUUUAAAAGGUUUCCUGGAAAACUACUUUGCACCGAAGACCCUGGGUUCUUUCUAAAUCAAUCCACUCAUUUCUACCCCUGCGCCACUAUUCCCUUGAGUCACUAACAGCGCACAAAACCCCCUGCCCUUUUCUUCUUCUCCCCCGAGGUCCCUCCCCUUAUGUAAACAGUAACCGUGGAAAGGAAAAGGGCGGCGCGGCUUACCGGCGGCGAGAGAGGUCCGGCGAGGGGCGGGUUGGCUUCGAGAGGUCCGGCGAGGGGCGGGUUGGCUUCGAGAGGUCCUGGCGGUCACAGCGAGGUACGGCUUGACGGCGGUGGUGGCCGAAAUCGACCGGUCCACGUGCGCAGGCGGGUGAACUCGUUGGCGGCGAGUGUUCUGGCCUAACCACGGCGAUCUAGUCCAAUUAAACGGCACGAUGAACUCCACGGGAUGACGUAGAGGCUAGGUGUGCAGGGAAUCGAAAAAUGGUGCAGAGACUUACCCGGUCUACGUUCACCGGCGGUCGGGUGAAGUCCGGCGACCGUGGACUGGCUUCUUCGACGAGGCAAAGUCCGAUUCCUUGCUCGGGGAGCUUCACCGAAGCAUGCAUAGUCUCUUCCGAGGGUCGGGCGUGGCUGGGAAUGGCUCUGCAGGCCGGUCUACGGUGGCGAGGGAUCGGAUGGCCGCAGGCAUGUGGUUUGCAGGGCAAACGCCGGUGAUCUCUGGCUCCGGUGAGGUCGAGCGUGCGCGGAGGAGUACGGUCGACGUCUAUGGGGGCUUUAUAGGCGCGGGAAAUGGCGCCGGCUCGGCUUUGGCGCGAUGCGGGGCACGCAGGGGCGCGCGCGGGCGUGCUCUGGCGAGGUCAGAGCGCGUCGAACACGUGGCUCUUUGCUUCUGUUCGUGUUGUACCCUCUGCUGAGCGGCCAAAAUGUGCGAAUCUUGCCCUAAGACCUAUGAGAGAUCUCUUCCCUGCACCUAGGGCUACCUAGUUCAUGUGAGUUCCAAGGGGAGAUGUGGUCGGGUUAGAGAGAUAUGGGGGGGAAGUUGUCUCUGCCCUAGCUGUCCAAACCGAGACAAAACUUGUGCCAAGUCGUGUCAAACGACUUUGGGUUUGGUUCAAACUUCUCCAGGGUGUUCUAGAGGUAUUUUGGCGCCACUUUGACAAUUGGGCCAAUUAGUUUUAAGUUUGGGAUCAAGGUGAACAUGUUUGAUCUUUGGAAAGGGGGUGGUUUUGGACUUAGAAGAAUUCUGAUUUUUCUUUUGUGCUCACCCCUUUGGUGAAUCUUUUGGGGUUUUCUGAAUACUUUUUGGGGUCACUUUCUUACUAUCAUUUGUAAGGUAUUAAGUGUACUACAUCUUUUAUAAUUGGCCCAAGUCAUGAUCAUGUGGUUUUCAUACCCUUUUAUUCAUGCUUAUUUCUAGUGCUCCACUUGUCCAAAGGGGUUUGAAUUAGGGUUUGGGCAAUUCUCCCCAUUAUAUGUGCAUAACAAGCCAAGGUAUGACUUCUAAGGUGGGUUGCACUUACUUAGGAUCUUGAGUUCCAACUUUGGUGUACUUUUCCCAACUUAAGUCACAUGUGAUGAUGGGCUUACUUGUGUAGUCUUGAGUGAAAACCCUAAGUAACACCUGGGGUGUUACAGCCCUCCCCCCUUAAAGGAAUCUCGUCCCGAGAUUUUAGGUAGAGUCCUUUAGAGGAGUGCCAUGAAGGUGUGUUGGUGUGUGGUUUCUUCCUUUAUCCAAGUUUCUCUAGUUAACUGCUCUUCGAAUGUCAUUCUCUUUGCGACUUCAGAAGGAAGUCCUUUUUAAGUCAUUUCUACAGCUUACUACACCUUUAGCAUCCAAGUUUUUCUUAUAUUUGAAUUCAAAGGACAUGUGGGGUGGGGUUUUGGGUUACGUACCGACUCCUUUGGGCAGAAAGUCGGGGAAGCGAGAGCGUAGAAAAUCCUCAGUCUCCCAUGUAGCUUCUUCUACUGAAUGGUGACUCCACUGAACCUUAUACAUUCUGAUCGACCUUGCCCGCGUUGAUCUCUCCUUCUGAUCCAAUACCUUGACAGGGUGCUCUUGAUGAGACAAGUCUGGUUCUAUCUCAAUUUCUGGUUCAGGUAGCACUUCAGCGGGUAAGCGGACGCAUUUCCGUAGCUGAGAUACAUGGAACACAUCAUGAACUGCUGACAUGUGGGGUGGCAACUUCAAUUGAUAUGCUAUGGGUCCACAAGUUUCCUUGAUCUCAUAGGGUCCAAUGUAGCGAGGAGCUAACUUGCCCUUGAUUCCAAAUCUCUGGACACCCUUGGUGGGUGACACCUUAAGAUAAACAUGAUCUCCCACUUCAAACUGCAGAGGCUUCCUUCUCUUGUCAUGAUAGCUCUUUUGCCUGGCCUGGGCAGCUUCUAGGUUAAUCUUAAUAACUCUGACCUUUUCCUCUGCUUCAAGUACCAAGUCUGGCCCAAAUAUUUCCCUUUCUCCUGCUUGAGACCAAUUCAGCGGGGUCCUACACCUUCUUCCAUACAAGGCUUCAAAAGGUGCCAUCUUCAAACUGGACUGGUAGCUGUUAUUAUAGGAGAAUUCUGCCAAGGAAAGACACUUGUCCCAAUCCUUUCCAUAGUGUAGCACACAGGCUCUCAACAUGUCUUCCAAAAUCUGAUUUACCCUUUCUGUCUAGCCAUCUGUUUGAGGAUGGUAUGCUGAGCUUCUUAUUACAUGGGUCCCAAGUGAUUCUUGUAAUUGCUCCCAAAAUCGUGCCACGAAUGGUGCUCCUCUGUCCGAUACUAUAGUCCUUGGUAUUCCAUGCAAGCGAACUAUCUGGUCAAUGUAGAUUUCUGCAUACUUCUCCGUCCUGUGGGUGGUGUGUACCGGCAAGAAAUGAGUUGUCUUGGUCAAUCUGUCCACAAUGACCCAAAUGGAAUCAUGGUGCCGGGAGGUAUUUGGCAAUCCCACAAUAAAAUCCAUGCAAAUGUCCUCCAAUUUCCAAGAUGGUAUGGGAAGGGGUUGCAAAGUGCCUGCUACCUUCAAAUGACUGGCCUUGACUCUCUGGCAGGUGUCACAUUCAGAUAUGUACUUGGCAAUUUCCCUUUUCAUUCUGGUCCACCAGUAUAAAGAUCUGAGAUCAUGAUACAUCCUGUUACUGCUGGGGUGCAUGGAGAAUUUUGAAAGGUGAGCUUCAUCCAAUAUCUUCUUUCUGAGCUCAGGGUUCUUGGGAACAACCAAUCGGUCUCCAACCCAUAGGAUUCCUUUGCUGUCCUAACGAAAGCAUUUGUAUUUUUCAGCUUUCUGCUUGAUCAUUUCCGUAAUGACCUGAACACCCUUGUCUUCAAUCUGUGCUCUAACUAUUUGCUCUUGUAAUGUGGGCUCCACUGAAACAUAAUUUAAAGCACCUGAGGAAAUAACUUCUAGGUUUAGUUUGCACAACUCAUCACACAGGGUGGUGACUCUUGCAUCCAUGUUCAUACAAUUGCACUGGGCCUUCCUGCUUAAGGCAUCUGCCACAACAUUGGCCUUGCCAGGGUGGUAAUGCACCUCCAAAUCAUAGUCCUUGAUUAGCUCUAACCAUCUCCUCUGCCUCAUAUUAAGAUCCGCUUGAGUGAAAAUGUAUUUGAGACUCUUAUGAUCAGUGUAAACGUUACAGUGAGCUCCCAUUAGGUAAUGUCUCCAUAUCUUGAGAGCAUGAACCACAGCUGCUAAUUCCAGAUCAUGUGUGGGGUAGUUCUGCUCAUGGGGUCUAAGUGCUCGGGAGGCAUAAGCAAUUACUUUGUUGUCUUGCAUUAAGACACAUCCCAAUCCAGUACCGGAAGCAUCACAAUAAACCUCAAAGGGCUUGGUGUUGUCAGGUUGAGCUAGCACUGGUGCUGUUGUUAAGUGCUGCCUUAGUGUAUGAAAGGCAUCCUCACACUUCUGGCUCCAAUCAUACUUGACUCCCUUCUUCAACAGUUCAGUCAUUGGUUUGGCAAUUCUAGAGAAAUCCGGAAUGAAUUGUCGAUAAUACCCUGCCAAUCCCAGAAAACUCCGAAUCUGUCUCACUGUGGUAGGAGGUUUCCAAUCCAUUACUGUUGGAACUUGCUCUCUGGUGCAAGGGGAUCCAACGGGGGUGUGUAGUGACGUAAAUAGGGUUCUCGCAUGGGAUGGCAAUAGCUCUGUUAAUCUAGCCUCUCAAGGGCACUGUGCGGGGGUAUUUAUAGGUAUCUGAGUGCCCAGCGUCCUGUGUUAAGGACGCAUGUGCCCUCAGACACCUAGGUUAUCCCCGGAAUAUUCCCAUAAAGCGGGGUUACAGACCGUAAUUACAGGGAUGCCUUUACAAAUUAGGCCUGUAACGCGCAGCGGCCACGCAGGGCCUGUUACAAUGGGUCGGAUCACACGUGGGCCUCCAUGCUGGACGAGGUCGCGAGGUGGGACGACCUCGUCACAGGUCUUCAUCCGAUGACGUAUGGGGCGAAGGGUGAGCCUGCCCGUUGUCUAGUCUCCAUUGGGCCAACGACUACGGCGAAGGCAUCGAGCGAAGGGUGACGUCUUCGCCUUCGCCCCAACAUUUGCCCUCCGAGGGACCAGUUCGACUAAGUCAUCUGGUGCCGAAGACGUCGCUAGAUGGCGGAGACGCUGCCCUCGCUCGAAGUGGUUCCGCGGGGGUUUUUUACAUGACCGUUGAUUGACACCGUACUAUUGGACUGCGGGUUUCCCGAAGCACCGCGCCCUGUGUAUAAAAGGGGGCGGGGGGCGGCGCGUUUUGAACUUUAUCUUUCCGUGCUCCGUGAAAACCCUAGCCGCCUUUUCCACCCUCUUGCUGCUCGUCUGCCCUCCUUGCUCUUGUUCGCCGGAGAUCUGGCCCGAGUGAAGAAGACCGCCCGCUGCCGCCGACGGUAUGUAGCGAUGCCGACCUCUUCUUCUUCUGCUGCCGCUAUGCCGCCGGCCGACGCAUCGUCUGAGGAGACGCUGAGCACUGUGGCGGCGGAGGAGUUGCGCGCCGGUGAUACGGUGGAUUUCGGUGUGUCGCGGAUGUCCUCGGUCCGCGUGCAAGAUAUGCAGCAACUUAGUUACUUUGGCGGCGGAGUCGCUCGUGUCCCGUGGACGGAGGAGGUCCCCGAGCCGGAAGGCGAAUUGGUUGUGUUCGAGGCGUUCUUUGCCGCUGGUCUUCGCCUGCCUGCGCACCGAUUUGUGGGAGAAGUCCUGCGCAGAUUUAACGUUCAGAUCCAUCAGCUGACUCCGAAUGUCGUGGUGGCUCUGUCGAAGUAUGUCUGGGCGACGACUUCGUACGACGGACAGCCAUCAGUCGAAGUCUUCGCGAAGUACUAUUCCAUGCACUGGCAGAAGAGGAUGAUCGGAAAUGAAGUUGCCCAGUUUGGGUCCUGUACAUUUACGUCGAAGACCGGCAAGACCUCGAUGGAGGUAGUUGAGUUGGUUCCUUGCGCCCGCAACAAGUGGGGCAACUGCAUGAGUUUUGGUUCUACGUCGCGGAGGGCACAGUCGAAGUCCAUCCGGGGCUCCCCGUGGCCGAGAUGUGCUCGCAUUAUUACUCGGCAUACCCGCCGUUUGAAGUGGCGGAGGAGGAUGCGGACGAAGGGGCCCUUCGGUGCGCCGCCGGCCUGAGCAGCGGGCGCGAUUUGGUUGAGGAGUUUGUGGCGUACGGGGUAUGGCCUUUGGCGCAUGGCUGGGCGUUGGGCGAAGUAUGCCCUCGCCAGAUGCCUUCCCAUGGUGGGAAGAUGGUGCGAAGUCCCGCCUUCGCGCUGGAUCUGCAUAGCCGCGAUCCGGCCGCCUUUGUGCGUGAGGCGGAGGAUGGGUUGGUGCAGAUCGUCGGUCGGUACGUGCCGAGGACAGAGGGCCAGCGUAGCUGGGAUAUUCGCGGGUCUAAUGACCGCUUGAACAGGGUUUUUGAGUUGAACCGCCUGCCGUAUGGCGGUUAUCCCGGCCAAGACGAUGUGGAUCGUCGCGGGAAGAAACCGGUGGUAGAGACUGGAGACGAAUCCGCGCCGGCGGCCGCCCUGUCCUCUAAGAAGAGGAAACUAGGUAUUGCUAUGGGAGGACUGAGGGUUUCUAAUGGUUUUGCUGGGAAUUGAUGAGGACAUGUGCGGCCCCGGGGGGAAGGAUGUCUUCGCCCGAGCUCCGGGAGUCUUCGGCGCGGAUGCUGAGGGUUACCGGGGGUUGGUGGCCUAAGAAUGUUCCUAUCCCCCGCGCGACCGGUGAAGACUUUUUUACAUCUCGCAUGGUUCGUGAUUGGAAAGUGUUUCCUUACGGGCGGAAUAUUGCUGAUGUUGUGUUGGCAGUGAUGGACAAGGAUCGUCAGGGAGCUUCGCAGAAGCGCCAGGUGGUCGUCAGGCUUCAUGAGGCCAGGCCGAAGAGGCCAUGGGGGGCUGCGAAGGCUGCUGCCCCCGGCGGAAGCCAGCCACCGCUGGCGGCGAAGUCGGUCGUCCCUGCAUCCAGUAGGGCACCGGAGGCUGCGAAGGCGGCUGCCGCCGGUGGUUCCAAGUCUGUGAAGGCCGCCCAUGUGUCCAGCAGGGUGCCAGAGGCUGCGAAGGCGGCCCGAGAGUUGCCGCCGCCGGGCAAGCGCGUCGCCGACUUCGCCACCGACAUUAGUGUGGAAGAUUAUCUUGUUGGUAAGUCGUUGGCUCGAGUUUUUUUUAAUCUGUUGAUACGUCGCAGGGUCGGACGAAGGCCAACUUGUUGUUGUUCUGCCUGCCGUGGCGACCGCGGCGGCUGCCGUGGUGCCCAGGGCGAAGGGCAGUGCUCUUAGUGCCGGCGGCGAGAUACCGGCACUCACUGCCGUCAGGAACAAGGCGGGUGCUGUGUCCCGCCGGCUGAAGGAGAUGAAGGAGGCACUAAGUCAGGUACGUUGAGCUAGACUUCGGUUUUUACCGGCUUCGCUGGGGCUGUGGUCUUAUGUGUGUCUUGUAGGCGGCUGACUUCGCAGACUGCGUGGCGUCGGGGGCCCUGAUGGCAGUUGUGUCUGCCGAAGUCGAGAGACUUCGGGCGCAACAUGCCGACGCCGUCCGGGAAAAAUUGGCUGCCGACAGCAAGUGCCGCAAGCUGGCUGUUGGGGACCUUCGGCGUCCGAAGGUCCUCAAAAACAGGAUUUAACAGUAUUUCUGUAGUACAAUGUGUGAACAGGUACCCUCAAACUAAAGUCGGCAUUGCAGCAAACCGGAAUAAUACGAAGCUUGAUUCAGAGCCGAAGGUGCUGAGCAGGAAAGCUUCGGCGUAACAGCAAAGAGUGGAACCGACUUAAAGAUGAAAAGGCUAUCCAGACCCCGAUAGAUUACUAUAGAGUUAUUAUCAAAUGUAAAGGGCAUGAAUGUAAUUUUGUAAGGGCUGUGUCCCUUGUCUAUAAAUAGGUGAACAGUAUCCCCGUACUGUUCACGCUGACUUGGCAUUCGUUUUUUGCGCCAAGCUUGUACUGUCAUUCCCUUCCGAUUGAAGGUACACCUGUAAUUCGACAAUGUUUCUGUUUAUGCCCUGUCAUAAUAUAUGAUUACUUAUAUUGUCUUUAAUAUUCUUUAUAUUUCAUUCCUCGCUAUUACUUAAUGAAUGUAUGAAGGUAUGUCCUUCAUAACCUUCGUCCGCAAGCCAUUACAUCCUAAGGGAAAUAAUGCUUCGGGGACGAAGGACUUUAACGAUUAACAUUUUCUAUGUUGCCUUGUUCUUAACUCAUAGCAUUUGAGAACAAGCCCCCAACAUUGGCGCCCACCUCCAGUGAACUCACUUCCAUUUCUUGAGUUUUUUCAACACCUUCGGCAAGCAUCACCUUCGUCAUGCCGCCGAAGAAGACUUCAGCACCAGGGGCUGGCACGCUGCAGCCGUUGGACCCCAAUCAAGACGUCCUUUCUCUUAGAGAGGCACGAAGCCAGAAGAGGAAGGCUACCAGUCCAACACCUCCGGAGGAUGAUCUAGAUCAGGAGAUUCAAAAUCUGGAAAUCCUUCAGCAACAGGUUCAACGCAAGAAGGAGAAGAUGGCCAGGCUAGCUGAACUGCAGAGGCAAAUAGACGAAGCCUCUGAAGAAGUUCGCCAUCUUGCUCAGGAUGAGCAACACCGAAGGCCUCAGCAUCAAGAUCUUCAUCAGGAGGGUUUUGCCAACGAAGAUGACUGGUAUGACAAUUUCCAUCAUGGGAAUUUUGUUUUUGAUGAUGCUUCUCCCCUGUCCGCUGAGCUGCAGGCUACACCUUGGCCCCCGUCCUACAAGCCGCCUCAGCUCCCCGUAUUUGAUGGCCACUCAGACCCGAAGCAGUUUUUGAUGAGCUACGAAGCAACAGUGUCUUCGUAUGGUGGCAAUGCUUCGGUCAUGGCCAAGUCUUUCGUUAUGGCUGUCAGAAGCGUUGCUCAAACCUGGUAUUCCUCCCUUCGACCAGGAACGAUCACCUCAUGGCAGAAGCUGAAGGACUUGCUGUUAACUAGCUUUCAAGGGUUUCAGACGAAGCCGGUCACUGCUCAGGCUCUCUUCCAAUGCACUCAGGACCAUGAAGAGUACCUUCAGGCAUAUGUCCGAAGGUUUCUGCGAUUGAGGGCACAGGCGCCAACAGUGCCCAAUGAGAUUGUCAUUGAGGCUAUGAUCAAGGGGCUUCGGCCAGGGCCGUCAGCACAGUAUUUUGCCAGGAAGCCACCACAAACGCUGGAAAAGCUGCUCCAGAAGAUGGACGAAUACAUUCGAGCUGACAAUGAUUUUCGUCAAAGAAGGGAGGAGGCUUUCAGGUUUUCUGAAAUGACCAGGGGCUUCGGAGGAAGGUUUUACCCGAGACAUGUCAGGUCAAUUCACAAUUCCACUCAGAAUGAUGAUAAAGGGAGUCAGCACCAAAGGCCACAAUACUCCUCACAGGCUUCAGGGCAACAACAAAGUUCCUUCCGACCUCCAGCUCCAAGAGGCAGAGGCGCCAGGGGCUUCGGAGGAAGAUUCGGCGAUCAACCAAGAAGAAUCUUUUGCUUAUUCUGCGGUGAGAACAAAGGCCAUACUACCAGGAUGUGCCAUGUCACUAUUCAGAAGCAAAAGGAAAUAGCUGAAGCAGCAGCACAACAAGCUCAGCCGAAGCAGGUUAUGCAUACAGCUUCGUAUCAUUCGCCCUACAUCCCAGAAUAUGUAGGCAACCAUCCUGCAGUCUCUGUUGCUUCGGCGAGUCAGCCUCAAGCUUCCUGGCAACAGCCUCCGCCUCCACCUCCGUUGCAGCAAGGCCAGCAGCCAGAAGGGAGCCAAUACGCUCCGCAACAAAGGGACUUCAGAGAACAGUCCGAAGCUCGCACGGUCAACAGCACUGUGCCAGAAUCAAAGCACAUCUAUUGAUAAAUAUCCUACCUUAAUAGCAAUCUUUUUCAUUCAGUUUUAUUUUCUGUAAUAAAGGACAUUGAUUAGGUUUCAUGUAAUUAGUUUCGUUGAUUCCUACAAAAAAAUAUGUUUUCUUCACAGGCUUGUGAUAAUAAAAAGGACCUUCGAACUAUCGACAAUUCUUCGAAGCAACAAAAAAGUCGUUCUAAGGAACGCAGAGUAAGUUUGAUGAAGUCACAAAAAGUCGUUCCGAAGGGAACGCAGUGUAAGUUUUCUGCUCCAAAGUCGUUCCAAAAGGAAUGCAGAGCAUACAGCGAAAAGUCAACGCUGAUACCGCCUAAGUAAAAGGCGAAGAAGCUCCAAAGACGUUCCUAAGGGAAUGCAGAGCUUACAGCGAAAAGUCAACGCUGAUUCCGCUGAAGUAAAAGGCGAAGAAGCUCCUAAGGGAGGCUUAUAGCAAAAAGUUAAUGCUGGUUCGCAAAAAAGAUUGAGUUUUAUCGCGCAGAUAUGCGUGUACCUUCGGAAUACCACUUUACAUAGCAUAACAUCAUCACAUCAUUUUGCAUAACAUAAGCAUCAUACAUCAUACUGCAUGUGGCAUAAGAAAGAGAUAUGAUAUCAAUCUUCGGGAAAACGCUUUGAAAAAGGAGCAAUUCAUGCCAAGUCACAAGGAGAAAUAAUAUUGAUCUCUGAAGCAUAGCCUUGAGGAAUGAUUCUACGAAGCUUCAACACUUUUCGGGAUACUUCGGAUAUUGUUGUGAUAAAUGGUAAUACUUCUUCACGAAGCAUGAAAAGAAGGGAAGGUGUUUUUUCGCCAGACUCAAAAACGGUACGUAUGUAAAGUUUCAUGCAUCGUAAAGAAUUGAACCAUUAAGAAAAAUAAGACAAAUAUAUUACAUACAGGAUUACAAGAUAUUACACAUGUUACAUUUAAAAUGUUUUUACAAUAGCAUUUAGUCCUCCCUAAGUACCACUUCUGCGGCUUCGUUCAACAGUCGAUCAACAACUUCGUCCAUGAUAUCUUCGGCCAUCUUUUUAAUUUCGUCGUCCCCCUUCGGCUGAGGGUCCGAAGGCGCUUUAGUCGGAUCUGAAGCAGGACACGGCUACAUUGCUAUUACAAAUCGCAAACAGAUCUUAAAAGCCUAAAGAUUGCAACACGAUAAAAACUAUUAUUUAGUACCUAAUUGACCUUCGGCUUCUGCGCUCUUGGCAGCAGCCUCAGCUACUUCUCUGGCAUCAUGAAUGCCCUUUUCACUUCUUCGAAUAAUUUCUCCGGCCAUUUCUCGGCCACCAUUGUCCCAGAUAUCGGUAAAAAACUUUCCACCAAUUAUGCUAGCUUCGGCCGAAGGAUCUUUUGUAUCUUCAAAGGACAAAGCAGCUUCGGACUGUGCUAAAAUUUUUACAUGUUCGCAGCCCUUCUUCUCUAAAAUGGUGGCAAUCCCUCUGGCGCCAGAGAAGGCACAUAUAUCUCCUCGGCUAUUUAAAAUUUCUUCGAAGGCUUCAGCUUCGUGGUCAAUCCAUUCAAUGACACCUUCGGGAUUGCCUCUCGAAAAGUUUUCCUCACUUGAGAAUGCGCCGACCUUGGCGAAGCUAGCCUUUAAUUUUUUAACACAAUCUAUAGAUUUAUUGUAGCAUCUCUUUUUGGAUGAACGAAGCUCUUCAACAGUCACUUCUAGGUGAUCUGCCCAUUGAUCGCUGAGUUCACGUUUUGUUUCUUCAAGUAUACGUUCUUCUUUGGCUCUGGCCAGUUGUUUCCGAAGGUCUUCAAUUUCGCGUUUCUGAGCUUCAGCUUGACUUUUAAAAGCAGCUUCGUCCUCCUUUAUUUUAUCUAUCAAUGAGUAUAAAAUUUUGUCUUUUUCGAGACCUUCGUUCCUCAGCUCAAUUACUUCGGAACGAAGGUUGCUCAGGGCUAUAGUACACCCUUCGUCUUCAGCAUCUUUCUGUGCCCUGAGGGCAUUGCUGAGUAUUAGGCCCUGCAGAACAUGUCUGUGUCAAUAGUUUUAAACAAACGAAAAAUUUUGAACUCGACAAAAAUACAAGAAUUCCAUUUGUCGCACCUUUAAACUGUUGUAAGCUAGGCUGUCAGCUAGAUCGUUCUUUGACAGCACCGAAAGUCCGUCUUCUAAAAUUGGGAAUCCGAAGCUUCUGCUCAUUUCCCGACAGACAGAAAUUUCCUUGCUGUCGGGGAGACAAUACAAGAAAUCUUCUUCUCCACUACCAUUAAAUAUCAACGCCCCCUUCGGAUAUUUCAACUUUUGGGCAUAGUGCUGGGCCUCUUGUUCUUCUUUUUCUGAUAAUUUUUUCCCCGAAGCAUGACGAAAAAUAUAAUCACGAAUUUUGGGGGAUGCUUCGGGGGUAACAACACCAGUUUCUUCAACAAAGGUUGGCUUUGUUAUUUUUUCUGCCUCACUUUCCAAGGCUUUUGCCUUUGCGGGCUCUGAGGGCCCAGCUUCGGCUUCAAUUUCCUGCUCUGGAGCCGUAGAACCAGAAAUUUCAGUUGUUGUUUCAGAAGCAACAGCAGCCUUCUUCGGAGGUGUGCUUGAAGAUUUGAUUGUUUCCAGUACAUCUAGCACAUUGGCCAUUCUCUUUCUUUUCGGGGUCAUGGCUGGCAUUUUUUGGUUCUUUACUGUCUCAAUGUUUGCUGCAGGACUCAAAACUCCGGAUGUUUUGGAGCCCUCAGCUGCUUCUUUUAUUUCUUCAAUUUUUUCUGUGGACGGCGCUUCGGCUUUCUCUUCUGUUUCUGAUAACAAAAUGUUUGAUUGUUCCGAUUCUAUUUUUGGUGGCACUUCGGCCGUUUCUGCGACCUCUGGCAACAAGGCUGGCUCGGUUGGUUUUUCAGCUUCGGUGGCCGAAGAAGUUUUUCCGGUAAACUCGGGCACCGAAGCUGGUUCAAUAUAACGCGGCCGAUGCGUAAGAACCUUUAUCUUUUUCCUUUUCGGUUCUGGCUCGCUAGGAGCAGCUGCAGCUUCUUCUUUUGCAGAGGUUGUGUUUUUUCUCUUCUGCUUUCGAGUGGGAUAGCAAUAGUCAGGGUAGACAAACCCGAUGGCAUCAAAUACCCGAUUCAGUCUCUUCUUCUUUCGGCCUCCGAAGGUUGCUGACAUUGCAUUAUCUUCGGCCUUCGAGUAGGUCCCAAGCAGCUCAUCACUUAAAUUGUCAAUGCUUUUCAACCACUCAUCAUCUGGCUCAAUAAAUUUAUCUCCAAAUUUAAAAGUGUACUUAAACCUGAUAAGUCCACCUUCGUCGGCCUCUUUAAUGGUUUCUUGAGGCAUUUCCCAUUUCUCCGCAAGCGGCCACACCCUGAAGGCAAUAUGCUCUUGUACUAAGUCCCUUGUUCCUAUAAAAGAGCAGACAACGCCGAAGGCUCUUUGACACUCUUCGGCGGCUUCAUUCAUUUCAACCUUCGGCCUCCGAAGGCCGAAGCUUUGCCAAAUAGGACGCAUGAUUAUACCUUUGAUAUCUUCCCGUGCUUUCAGAUCAUUUUUUACAUAGAACCAUUCUGUCAUCCAGCCGCUAGGCCACCUCUUCCGAAAAGUUGGCACGGGGCAGCUUGACCCAGAUCGAGAAACAAAACUGUAGCAGCCAAAGUUAUUGUGAUACUGCUCUUUACCCCAAGGUAUUGUCUCGUAUGAUAAUUCGUGCAUAUUGCAAAAACUUUUUGCAUCAGGCUUCAGACCUUGGCUUCGCACGGCCCACACGAAGAUGUUCAGCCUUAUGAUUGCCUCGGGGGUAAGUUGGUGAAGAUAAACCUCAAAAAUCUUCAGCACCUCCACGACGAAGCUGCUCAAGGGCAAUCGCAGCCCAGCCUUCAGAAAGCUUCGGAACACUACGACUUCAUUCUCUUCAGGGUGUGGGCAAGUCUUCUCCCCUUCGUCGGCCCUCACAACGGACAAAUCCCGGAAAUAUCUUCCUCUCAUGUUAACAAGAUGAUUCUCUUUGAUAGUUGAUUUACCAUAAACUGAGUGGCUUGGUCGCCAGGGGCGAUCUUCGGAGUCUUCGCCACCACUGUCCACAUCAUAACUUUCACUGUCACCAGUAUCUUCAGACAGCCCUUCCAGAAUCUCAUUGGUGAUUUUUUCUGUGUUGGUCUUCGACAUCGCUAUAAGAAAUCCUAAGUUCUUCUCCUCAUCAAGACUCAGCUUCAUCUCAGCAGCAGCCUUCUUAGCAGCUUCAGACAUCUUCGGAAACACUAAAAAACUGUUUUUAAAGCCGAAGCUUCAAAGCUAAAAGCUUAGCAAAUCACAGUGCACAGGAGCUAAAAAUUGAGUGAGCGGGAGUGGUUGGCCAGAAAGCGUGCAAAAUGAGUUUGCGGUAUGGCCGUAUUUAUACGCUCGGUGCGUUGAAAGUUGAAAGACCCCACUUGUCAUUGAAUGUUGCUAUUCUAGCAAAGGGAAGGUGUUUUUUUCGGACCUUCGGCGUAAAGCCUUCGUCCAUAUCGCAAUCUAAAUUUAUUAUUUCAAACAAAUUGAUAUUGCGAGGGGCUACUGUUGGGGACCUUCGGCGUCCGAAGGUCCUCAAAAACAGGAUUUAAUAGUAUUUCUGUAGUACAAUGUGUGAACAGGUACCCUCAAACUAAAGUCGGCAUUGCAGCAGACCGGAAUAAUACGAAGCUUGAUUCAGAGCCGAAGGUGCUGAGCACGAAAGCUUCGGCGUAACAGCAAAGAGUGGAACCGACUUAAAGAUGAAAAGGCUAUCCAGACCCCGAUAGAUUACUAUAGAGUUAUUAUCAAAUGUAAAGGGCAUGAAUGUAAUUUUGUAAGGGCUGUGUCCCUUGUCUAUAAAUAGGUGAACAGUAUCCCCGUACUGUUCACGCUGACUUGGCAUUCGUUUUUUGCGCCAAGCUUGUACUGUCAUUCCCUUCCGAUUGAAGGUACACCUGUAAUUCGACAAUGUUUCUGUUUAUGCCCUGUCAUAAUAUAUGAUUACUUAUAUUGUCUUUAAUAUUCUUUAUAUUUCAUUCCUCGCUAUUACUUAAUGAAUGUAUGAAGGUAUGUCCUUCAUAACCUUCGUCCGCAAGCCAUUACAUCCUAAGGGAAAUAAUGCUUCGGGGACGAAGGACUUUAAUGAUUAACAUUUUCUAUGUUGCCUUGUUCUUAACUCAUAGCAUUUGAGAACAAGCCCCCAACACUGGCGGAUAAGGUGGCCGCGCUGGAGGGUGAGAGGACUGACCUCCGGCGCCAACUGGCGGAGGAAAGGAAGGAGGCUAAUGAGGCCCUCGCCAAGGCGCAGUCUGCGUAGGCGGAGGCCAAUUUGGCGCGGGCGGAGGGCACUCUUGCCAGGCAGCGCGCCGAGCAGUUGGAGGAGCGGCUCAGCGCUCUGCAAACCCGUGUGGAGAGGGUUGAGGCCUCGACGCGCUCGGAGGCUGAGCGGACACGCAAACAGCUUAUGGAUUCAUACCAUGAGCUGGGCGCGCGGACCGCUGACUUCGAAGUGUCGGACCGAGAGCCCGGACUUCGCUGCCUCGAGUGGAUACAGGAGGAGUUGUUGGCGCUUCCCGCCAUCGUGAAGGGGUUUAUGUCCUAUACCUCUCUGGUCACCUGCGAGGGGGCGAUGAACGCGCUCUCUCGCGAAGGGUGCCGGCACUAUGAGGUCUUCGACCAAGCUGAUGAGGAUUUCGAGUGCGAUAUCUACACGGUUGAGGACCCUGUGGUGAAGGAAUCCGCGGGAGCCCUCUACGACCGGAUGUGGGGCCCUCACGGUCGGGAGGUGGUCAGGGAGCGGGCCGAGACGGCAAGGGGUCAGGUAAUGUUUGGCUUUUGUUUGGUGUUUGUUGAAUGUGGGCUAUAUGUGGGUUUGCUGAAUCUGUGUGCUGUGUCUCAGGCGGCGCGUGGCGAGAGGGUGGAUGACUUUGGGGCUUUGAACAGCCCCGCUGCCUGACCCGGAGCCGAACCCGGCGGCUGUGUCCGAGGCCGCCCUGGAGCCGCCCCCGGAAACCGCCGAAGGCGUUCCUGAUGCCCCUGCAGCCACUACGGCCGGCGGAGGCCCGUCGCCAACUGUCGCGCCGAGGGUUGAGGAUCCUGUGAAGGUGGCGGCGGAGCCGACAGCGGAGGAUCCCGCGACGGCUGGGUCUUCGCAGGUGGCUUAGUGGGUGUGGGUAGUUAGGGAAUUUUGGAUAUGUUGCUGAAUCUUGGUUGCUGCGCAGGUUCAAGAUUUUGGGCCUGCGCACGCAACCGCUACUACUAAUUUUUUGGCGGCUUCGACUGUGGAUGAUGGUAAUAAAUCGGAUGGGUCUGCAUCUAAGUUUUCUGAUUUUGGUGACUUUGGGAGCUCGGUUGAGUGGACUGAGGAGUCGUCGGAUGAGGACUUGGACUACUUUGCGACCUUGGAUGUGGCAGCGGCGGAGGCUUCGCCGCAUGCUACGGAUGCUGAAGUUGUGCCUGGUCCGAGUACUGGACGUAGGCGGCGAAGGGCGGUUGCGAAGCGUAGAGUGAGUGGGGCAGACGACGGUCGGCUUCGUGUGAGUAGGGCUGGCAGGCAGGAACUGUUGUCCUUGCCGGCCGCUGUGAGUGCAGGUGAGGGGGAGCUGCGAAGUCUUUUGCGGGUGAGGAGCUUAGGAUAAUGUUAUUUAACUAUAGGGAGAUGGGAAUUAUUCCGAAGGUUGAGCCGAUGUAGAGUGUGAUGCCCUCGCUUGUACAUGUGUAAUGGCUUGUAUGAUGAGGUUGUGUGCCUUCGCACAUUCUGCUAUGCUCGCGAAGGCGUUACGUACUUGGUCUGGUGUAUUUGUUAUGUUGGUCUGGUGCGAAUGUAGUCGGUCUUUUGCGCGGACAGUUUGGUGUAGUCGUUUUCGCACUUGUUAAGCUUCGUCCGGCUGCACCCUUAGGCAACUGUUGCACAGAUAGUCUUCGCGGAAGACUUCGAUUUUUCGCACUUGUUGUGCUAGCCCGGCUGCACCCUUAGGCGACUUCUGCACGGAUAGUCUGCGCGGAAGACUACGAUUUUUCGCACUUGUUGUGCUAGUCCGGCUGCACCCUUAGGCGACUUUUGCACGGAUAGUCUUCGCGAAAGACUUCGAUUUUUUCGCACUUGUUGUGCUAGUCCGGCUGCACCCUUAGGCGACUUUUGCGCGGAUAGUCUUCGCGAAAGACUUCGAUUUUUCGCACUUGUUGUGCUAGUCCGGCUGCACCCUUAGGCGACUUUUGCGCGGAUAGUCUUCGCGAAAGACUUCGAUUUUUUGCACUUGUUGUGCUAGUCCGGCUGCACCCUUAGGCGACUUUUGCGCGGAUAGUCUUCGCGAAAGACUUCGAUUUUUCGCACUUGUUGUGCUAGUCCGGCUGCACCCUUAGGCGACUUUUGCGCGGAAUCGUCGCACGCGAGGGUAGCUAGCGCUAGGCCUCGCGGUGACUUUUGUAUUGGUCGAAUGUCGAAGACCGUCGGCGCGGUCUUUUUCGACGUAGAUUUUUGCGGGGGAUUUUUCACUUGUAUAUUACAUGACUCCGCCUUGUUAAAAACCUCACACACGAGAGGAAAAGAGUGCGGGCCGGAAUAAAAUUGUUUUUGCGAAUUACAAGGGUGAAUCGGCCCUGAUGAGUCAAACAAAAAAUUUGCGGAGAUUGUCGAUGUUCCAGGAGUGCUCCAGGUCCUCGCCGUUUGGCGUUGCGAGCCUGUAAGCGCUGGGGGAAGCCUUCGUCUUGACAAUGAAAGGGCCCUCCCACUUGGGCUCCAGCUUGCCCCUGGACUCUGUCCGAGCUGUUCGGACGAGUACGAGGUCCCCUUCGCUGAAUUCCCUCGGGAUGACUGCGUGGUCGCGCCAUGCUUUUGUCUAGGCUUGGUAUUUAUUUAGGGCCUGUAGGGCGAAGACUCGGUCUCCAUCGAUGAGAUCCUUCGAAGUGGGCUCGUCCACGUCGGGGACGGCUGACGGAGCUGUUCGCGGGGACCCAUGUUUUAUUUCUUGUGGGGUCAUGGCCUCCGAUCCAUAUAGAAGGCGGAAAGGGGUGAACCCGGUCGCCCUGUACUCAGUCGUGUUCAGCGCCCAGACCGCCUCGGGUAACAAAUUGGCCCACCUGCCCUUUUUUCGUCGAGGAGCAUCUUUUUGACAGAUGUGAAAAUUUUUCCAUUGGCGCGUUCCACAACUCCGUUGGACUGCGGGUGAUAUACUGAGGCGAAGGCAAGCUUGGUGCCAAUGGACAAGCAAAAAUCCUUGAAGUCUUGGCUGUCAAACUGCUUGCCGUUGUCAACUGUUAGUUCGGACGGUACUCCGAAGCGGCAAACAAUGUUUUGCCAAAAGAAUUUCUGUGCAGUCUUUGAUGUUAUUGUGGAAACAGCCCUCGCCUCGAUCCAUUUGGUAAAGUAUUCGACAGCGACGAAGGUGAACUUGAGGUUCCCCUGAGCCGUGGGCAGGGGCCCGACGAUGUCCAGGCCCCAGCGCUGGAGAGGCCAUGCGUGGGCGAUCAGUUUUGUGAAUUGCGAGGGGCUGCCUGAUCGAGGAGAAAACUUCUGGCAGGCUUCGCAGGACCUUGCGACCCGAUUUGCGGCACAGAUCAUUGCGGGCCAGUAGAAACCUUGGCGGAUCACCUUUGCGGCUAGGGCCCUUGGCCCUGCGUGAGAGCCGCAAGUACCACUGUGGACUUCGCGCAGGAUUUGGAUGCCUUCGGUCUCGGUGACGCAUUUAAGCAUUGGCCGACUGACCCCUUUCUUGUAGAGUUGGCCCUCAAUCAGUGCGAAGUCCCGGCUUCGAUGUUUGAGGCGCUUGGCCUCGUUGGAUGUUUGAGGCGCUUGGCCUCGUUGAUGUCGGUUGGGUGGUAGUACCCCUGUAGGAACAGGGUUAUUGGUGCCCGCCAGUCUUCGGUCAUAAUAAGGUUGACUAUGCGGUGGCACUCGCUGUCAUUGGUUAUUUGGAGCCCUUCGGGGCUCCGGACGGCUGGUGUGCCGAUGACAUGGUAGAACACGUCGGAGGGCAGGGACUCGCCUCUAGCGGCAGCCUUGGCCAAUGUUUCGGCCUCUUCAUUCUUGGCCCGGUCCACAUGCUGCAAGGUGAAUCCCUUGAAUUGUCUCUCGAGACUUCGGAUGGCCGCGAGGUAUUGCAUAAGUGCGGGGUCCUUUGCUGCAUAGUCUUUUUCGACUUGGCCGGCAACUACCUUGGAGUCUGUUCUGAUAAUGCAAGUGGUGACACCAAGGGCCCGCAGCUUGCGGAGGCCGAGGAUGACUGCUUCGUAUUCUGCUAUGUUGUUUGUGCAUCUGUCAGAUUCCAGAGCGAAGCUGAGGCGUGCCGCGUAUCUAUGCUUGACUCCGGUGGGUGAGGUGAUGACUGCAGCGGCGCCUGCCCCUGCGUGGCACCAUACGCCGUCGCAGUGAAUCAUCUAGACCUUUUCUGCGGACGGGUCCGGCUGUGUUAUUGGCCCAGUCCAGUCGACGACGAAGUCUGCCAGGACUUGUGACUUGAUGGCUGUCCUGGGCUCGAAGUUGAUGUGGUAGCCGGAUAGCUCGGCUGCCCACUUGGCAAUCCUGACCGAUGCCUCCGGGUUUUGGAACAAUUCACCUAGUCCCCUGUCUGAGGUGACUCGGACCUUGAAUGCUUCAAAAUAAUGGCGCAAUUUGCGCGAAGACAUAACCACUGCAUAGGCAAUCUUCUUCAGUUCUGUCAUGUUACAUUUGGAUGGUGUUAGCACUUCGGAGACGUAAUAGACUGGGCACUGCCUGAUCACGCCCUCAACUGUCUGCUCCUGCACCAGUGCCACGCUGACCGCAUGUGGCGAAGCCGCAACAUAGAGCAACAGGGGUAGCGAAGAGUCGGGGCUUGUAAGGACUGCCAACUCCGACAGGUACUGUUUUAAUGAGGCGAAGGCCGCUGCCUGCUCUGGUCCCCAAGCGAAGUCUUUUGCGCCAUGGAGAGUUUUGAGGAAAGGCAGACUUCGCUCAGCAGAUUUGGAGAUGAAUCUGUUGAGGGCGGCCAACCUGCCCGUUAGACGCUGGACGUCUCUGGCAGACUGCGGAGGCAUCAUGUUGAUGAUGGCCUGAAUUUUGGUUGGGUUGGCCUCAAUGUCGCGGUGUGAUACCAGGUAGCCCAAUAUUUUCCCUUGGCGAACGCCGAAGACGCACUUUUCUGGGUUUAGGCGAAGUCGGGCGUCUCGCAUGUUCGCGAAUGUCUCGGCGAGGUCAGCGAGAUGGUCCUCCUUGCUCCUGCUGGCGACGACGAUGUCGUCCACAUAUGUGAAUAUAUUUCUGCCAACUUGCCCCUCGAGCACUGUUUUGGUAAGCCGGGAGAAAGUGGACCCGGCGUUCUUGAGUCCCUCCGGCAUUCUGAUGAAGCAAUAUGUGUCGAAGGGUGUUAUAAAGCUGGUGCUAGCCUUGUCUUCCUCCUUCAUGUAUAUUUGGUGGUAACCGGAGAAGCAGUCGAGGAGUGACAUGACUUCGCAUCCGGCCGCGCUAUCGAUUAUUUUGUCGAUGCGCGGCAACGAGAAGUUGUCCUUUGGGCAGGCCUUGUUGAGACUGGUGAAGUCGAUGCACAUUCGCCACUUGCCGCUCUUUUUCUACACCAUCACAACGUUGGAGAGCCACGUGGGGUAAACCACUGGCUCGAUAAAUUUGGCUUCCAGGAGGCGGUGUACCUCUGCCUUGGCGGCCUCUGUCUUCUCGUCGGACAUUUUGUGAAGCCACUGUUUUUUCGGUCUCACCGAAGGGUCGAUUCCCAAGCUGUGCUCAAUUAUGGAUCGGCUGACCCUGAUCAGGUCGAGGGCUGACCAGGCGAAGACGUCUUUGUUCUUGGACAAGCAGCAGAGGAGUUUCUCCUCUUCAUGCGAAGUGAGGUCUUCGCUGAUAGUGACUGUCUGCUUGGGCGUGGCCUGGUCGAGGGGAACAGUCUUGGUCCCGUCGUUGCUCUGCAGCUGUGCCUUGUCGUGCUCUUUGUCGGUUGGGCUGACGGACGCAGGGACCUCGCGCUGGGCCGUGAGGCAGUGCACAUUUCUUUGUCCGGGGACGAAGUCCCGCUUUAUGUUGCGCGUUGUUUUUUGAUUGCCGUAGACCGCAAUGGCGCCUAGCGGACCUGGUAUCUUCAUGCACAGGUACAGUCCGUGAAUGGCUGCCUCAAACUUGUUGAUAGAGCCCCGGCCCAUGAUGGCAUUGUACGGAUACACCAUAUCGACGAUAUCAAAGAUUAUUUGCUCACUUCGGGCAUUGGGUGCUACACCGAAGGAGAGAGGCAGUUCUAUUUUGCCGACAGGAAAAGUGCCCUUGCCGCCGAAACCAUACAAUGGGUUGUCCGAAGGCUUGAGCAGGCUGUGGCUUAUGCCCAUGCGGUCGAAGGCAUGGAGGAAAAUGAUGUCUGCUUGACUACCAUUGUCGACUAGGACUUUGUGCAGGUCCCAGCCUGCCACGCUGCAGUUGAUAACCAUGGCGUCGAUGUGGGGGCGCUGCGCAGGUCAACGUCUCGUGCGUCGAAGUUUAGCGGUACGUGGGACCACUUUGUCUGCACGACUGGGCCGAUGAUGGCGACGUGGUUGAUGCUGCGGUAGUGGUCCCGCUUCUGCCGCUUUGUGUCGAAGUCGGUGCUGGACCCCCCGGUGAUCAUAUGAAUGACUCCGCGAUACGGCUGAUCGACGAAGUCUUCUUGUUUUGGGGCGUGGGGGUGGGGGAUAUUCUGAUGUUGCUGGUGUGCAGGUGGGGGUGGGGGAGGUACGAUUUGUACUUCCUGGUGGUGUUGGUAUGCGUGGUGCGGUGGAUGCGGGGCGGGGGCGUGGAUGUAUGGUGGAGGGGGUUGCUGAUAAGUGUGCACGACAACUCUGGGGUUGUCGGCUGGCUGCGCCCGUGCCAUCCUGUCUUUGGUGGCCUUCAUUUCUGGGCAGUCUUUGGUUUGGUGGGUGCAGUCUUCACCAUGAAAAAGACAGUAGAACCGGCGCGGCGGCUGCGCACGCCCCCGACCCCUACCGCGAGUUCCGUUUCCGCGGCCCUGUGGGGAUACUCCUGGCGGCGAGGGGCGUCAACAGCGGGGUUCUGGUUGGCGAUGUUGUGCACUUGCUGCUGAUUGCGGCCGUCUCGACCAGAUUCUGGCUGCGGAGUCCUCGUCCACGUGCGGCUGGACUGUGGAGCAUCUUUGGGUUUCCUUUGAGACUCAACCUUGCGCUGGUGGAGCUCUUCGGAUUUGGCAUAUUUUUCGAAGAGCUGAUAUAAUUCCUGGAGGUUCUUGGGCGGGUCCCUGAUGCAGUGGCUGUAAAGGACGCCGGCGCGAAGGCCACUAAUGGCGUAGUGGAUGGCGAUCUGGUCAUCAACUGAGGGCAGUUGUGACUUGAGUGUUAGAAACUUCCGGUAAUACUCCCGCAGAGUCGCUUUUUCCAGCUGCUUGCAGAGUGAGAGUUCGGCCAAGGCGUCGGUGUCGGGGCGGUACCCUUGGAAGUUGAGCAGGAAUUUGUCCCGGAGGCUUCUCCAGGAGUCAAUGGACAGCGGGGGCAACCUGGUGAACCAGGUGAGAGCUGGGCCUUCGAGGGCGAUGAUGAAAGACUUGGCCAUCGUGGCGUCGUCCCCUCCGAAAGAUGCAACGGCGACCUGAUAACUCAUGAUGUACUGUGCUGGGUCCGUGCUGCCGUUGUACUUGGGAUAGGUCCCUGCCCAGAAGUUGGCAGGCCAGGGUGUCACUUGCAGGUGUGGCGCCAGGGGACUUCGCUCGUCGAGCUAGUUGACCCCUUGGAAUGGCGCGGCGUGUGGGAAGGCGUGGUCGCGCUGGGGGAAGUGCAGGUCUUCCAUUUGCGCGCGCUGCUGCAGGGGUGGCCCGUGCUGCAGGCCGAGGUGGCCUUCACGUAUGUCUUCCAGUUGUGCGCGCUAUUGCAGGGGUGGCCCGUGCUGCAGGCCGAGGUGGCCUUCGCGCUGCAUCAGCGCGAUCUCCCGCUCGAGGUCCUGGGCCUUCUGCUCUUCGUCGCGUAUCAUUUGCCGCACCUUGGCUAGUGCGGACACGCGCUGGCGCUUGGCCUCCAGUAUCUCUUUUUGCCUCUGGAGAUUGCGGUUCUUGAGGCGCAGGGGACUUCGCCGUCCUCGGUGAGGUCUGCGCCCUCCGGUGGGGCGAAGCCUGGGGGAGGUUGCGGAUCUCCUUCAAGGCAGCAGGUGCGGAGAGCAUCGUCUUCGCAGGUGCGGAGAACGUCGUCUUCGCAGGUGCAGAGAACGUCGUCUUCAGUAGCCUCUUGGUGGGUGGAAUGGGUGAGUGCGAGGGCCUUGCCCUUUUUUGCGGCCAGCAGUGCUGCCUUCACAGCCUCGUCAGCCUUCGAGCUAGCUUUCUUGGGUGCCAUCGCGGGUGGUUUUUUCGUAGCACGAACGGUGGGCGCCAAAUGUUGGAACUUGCUCUCUGGUGCAAGGGGAUCCAACGGGGGUGUGUAGUGACGUAAACAGGGUUCUCGCAUGGGAUGGCAAUAGCUCUGUUAAUCUAGCCUCUCAAGGGCACUGUGCGGGGGUAUUUAUAGGUAUCUGAGUGCCCAGCGUCCUGUGUUAAGGACGCAUGUGCCCUCAGACACCUAGGUUAUCCCCGUAAUAUUCCCAUAAAGCGGGGUUACAGACCGUAAUUACAGGGAUGCCUUUACAAAUUAGGCCUGUAACGCGCAGCGGCCACGCAGGGCCUGUUACAAUGGGCCGGAUCACACGUGGGCCUCCAUGCUGGACGAGGUCGCGAGGUGGGACGACCUCGUCACAGGUCUUCGUCCGAUGACGUAUGGGGCGAAGGGUGAGCCUGCCCGUUGUCUAGUCUCCGUUGGGCCAACGACUACGGCGAAGGCAUCGAGCGAAGGGUGGCGUCUUCGCCUUCGCCCCAACAAUUACUUAUUGUACCUUCUCAGGAUCAACUGAUAUCCCAUCAUGAGAAAUUGUGUGACCCAAGAAUUUAAUUUCCCUUAGCUAGAAAUCACACUUAGACAGCUUAGCAUAAAGACGAUGAUCGCGCAGUCAUUGAAGCACGAUGUGUAGAUGCUCAGUAUGCUCGUCUUCAUUCUUGGAAUAGACUAGAAUAUCAUCAAUGAAAACGACCACGAAUUUGUCCAGCUCUAGCAUGAAUACUGAGUUCAUCAGGUACAUGAAAUAAGUCGGGGCAUUGGUCAGCCCAAAAGACAUCACCAAAAACUCAUAGAGCCCAUAUCUAGUAGAGAAAGCCGUCUUGGGAAUAUCACUGGCACGGAUCUUGAUCUGAUGGUAGCCCGAGCGAAGGUCUAUUUUGGAGAACACUUUGGCUCCCACCAACUGAUCAAACAAGACAUCAAUGCGGGGCAGUGGGUAUUUGUUCUUGAUGGUCACCGCAUUGAGAGGGCGGUAAUCAACACACAUUCUCAGACUCUCAUCCUUUUUCUUCACAAAUAGGGCGGGACAUCCCCAUGGUGAAGUACUUGGGCGAAUAAACCCCUUGUCCAACAACUCUUGCAGUUGCUUUUUCAAUUCUACUAAUUCCGCUGGAGGCAUCCUAUAAGGCCUCUUGGAUAUGGGAGCAGUCCCAGGCUGCAAUUCAAUCGCGAACUCUAUAUCUCUAUCAGGUGGCAUCCCUGGCAAUUCAUCCGGAAAAACAUCUGGGUAGUCAUAGACCACUGGGAUCCUCUCAACUGGGGACUCUAUCAUAACGAAGGCACAAGAACGGGUAGAACCCUGGUCGGACAAAUAUAACGUGGAUUCACCACAAGUGGGCGAGUGCACCUCAAUGGCCCUUGCCGCAAUAUCAAUCACUGCCUGAUGUUUGGUUAACCAGUCAGUUCCCAAUAUGAUAUCCACACUAUCCAAACCCAAAAUGAGGAGGUUGGUUUUGAUUAUCAAACUACCAAACUUUAUUGGCACAUUCUUGUUGAUUUGGUAGGUGGCAACCCUGCCUCCUGGUGUUGAAAUUGUAAUACCCCCAUUAGUGUGAUGGAAAGGUAGCUGACAUUUGGCACUAAAUUUUGCACUGAUAGAACUAUGUGAUGCACCAGAAUCAAAAACAAUAAUUGUAGGAUAAUUCAAAACUGAAAAGAUACCAGUCAUGACGGGUGCUCCCUCUGGAAUGUCAGCCAUGGUGGUGAAGUUCAGCCUGCCUUGCCUCACUUGCACCUUCUGCCUCUUGCCUUGGUUCUGGUUGGCAUUCUGUCCCUGCCGCUGCUGGUUUCUAGGGCAAUUCUUGGCAUAAUGUCCGGUGUUACCACAAGUGAAACACCUGUUGUCAUUGGCCUGACGAUAUUGCUGCUGCUGUGGCUGAUUAUUCCUCUAAACUGGAAACUGGGUACAGUUGGGUGCCUGCUGCUGCUGCUGCUAUGGUCGGAUCACCCAACGUCCUUGCUGCUGCUGAGGUCCUCUGUUCUGAGUGUCAGAUACAAUCCUGAAGCGUUGUGGCUGAGCUGAAGGUCCUGCCACAGGGGUCUUCCUCUUCUUUUUUGCCUGACGAGUUGUGAUACAGUCCUCCUGAGAAAUGGCCAUGUUGACUAACUCAUUAUAGCUAUUGGCCCUGACUGUGUUGAGACAGUCACGGAGCUUAGUGCUGAGCCCCCUCCUGAACCUGUCCCUCUUCUUCUCGUCGGUGUCUGCAUGAUAUCCGGCAUACUGGCACAGGUCAUUGAAGGCCUGAGCAUACUGUAACACUGUCUGGUUCCCUUGAGUGAGUGCCAGAAACUCGUUGAGCUUGCGGUCCAUAAUGCCUGUUGGUAUAUGGUGCCCCCUGAAAGCUGCCUUGAACUCUCUCCAUUCCACCUCACGGUCAGCUGGCUGCAUAGCAAGAAAGUGGUCCCACCAUGUCCGCACAGGGCCGCGAAGCUGCUGAGUGGCGAACCUGACCUUAGUCACCUCUGAACAAACUCCAUGGAGUAGCAGGAAUUUGGAUUCCACUACUCUCAGCCAUACAUCAGCAUCAAGGGGGUCCUCUACCCUGGUGAACAAUGGUGGCUGGGUACUGAGGAACUCCUGAUAAGUGGCUGCUGCGGGGUGACGCUGAUGAUCACCACCACCAUAGUGUUGAGGUGGUGGCUGACGCUGAGCUAGCUGUCGCAAGAUCUCGUUCUAUUGAGCCAUCAACUCUUGCUGAGUAUGAGGCGGUGGCGGCGGUGGAGGAACGCGCUCAUUCUGACCAUGACGCGCUCUUCCUGCCAUCUGAAAAAAUCAUGUAUAUUCUCAAUACAACAUUUCUGAGGUUCAAGGUUCAAUCGUGGUGAAAGAGUCAAAAGGGUAAAACCAAUAUAUUUUUGCAUAAUUAUAAAAGAUCCCACAUGGCAUAAACUUUUCUUCUUAAAUUUAAAACUGGCAUCAUUCAUCAUCCAUGCUUCCAAAAGAGUUUGUCAUGAUUACAUUAGUAACUCAAAAGACUCAACUCUAUCUAGCCUAGUACCCCAAGGGUGCAAAAGCAAAGCUAGCUUCGAGGAGUUCUACCGUCACCGACUUCUAGCUCUAUCCCUGCGACCUAGUGGGCAAACGAGGCAACGCUCGACUCAGGGGAAGGUGGUCUCCCUGAGCCAGCAGUGUCCAAACUGGAGGCAGGCUCCUCUCCUCCCUCGAUGUCGACAUCCUCAUUGGCCUCCAUGUCCUGGAUCUCCUGGUGGUGCAUAUCUAGGUGCUGGUUAGCCUCUGCAAGCUGCUGCUGGGUGUUGAUCAACUGAUCCUCAAGAACCUCAAUGGUGUUCUCCCUCGUUCCCACUAGCUCCUCAAGCUCUUGGAUCUCAUUUGACAGUUGCUCCACUUGUAAGUCCUUUUCCACCAUCUCAGUGGACAAGUCUACCACAAGUUCCUCUCUGUUAUCCAAGGUGAUCUUGGUUGCCUCCAACAAUGCCAUUAGAUGGGACAUUGCCUCUCCACGCAUCACUUGCAGACGAUACAGGGCAUUCAUGCACCGCACCGUCAAGUGAGCAGUCUGCCCUGGAUAGAUAGCCCAUAUAUCCUUGGCAUGCUCCACUCGAUCCUUCCACAUUGGGUCGUCCUCCUUUUCUACGAGGAACAAGCCCAUGGGGUGAGUGGACAGCUCCAAGGGGUGGAAUCCGCAGAAGGUGGUCAGUCCGUGAAGAGCAAUGGCCUCCAUAGUGUCCUUAGCCCUGUAUCCAAAAGACUCAGAGUCCAGCGAACGCCAGCCUGGCUGUAGGGGAUGAGGCUCCAGGGUCAUCCUCACCCUACAGCGGGGCACUCGGUGCUUCUCGAACAGCUGCACCGCGUACUAGGGAGGCGUCGUGUAACCCGCUCCCUGAAGUACCUCCCACAAAAUACGGGGAAAACCCUCUCGUGCAAGCUCGUCAGUGUGGGAUUGUGCAUUCCCUUCGUCCGAGGAUCCGUGAGAAGUCAUCUGUGUACGGUUAAGCGUAAUAAGUAAAAGAAAAAGAAUUAUAAAAGAAAAGGGAUCACAACUCAGCCUCUCUAUAACUACGACAAUGGUACUAGGUACUUAGUUUGUCAUCAUUUUGUAUUGAAGUUCUUACCCAAUUAUCCAUUAGUUUAAAUAAGGAUGCAUGCAUGCUCGUCCUGAACGACCUCACAUCAACGUAGAGGGAAUAGGGAAGAACUCCCAUCCCUUAUAGUAGCCGGUAGGGCUCACUCAAAUAGCCACCUUAGCUACCCCUCUAUUAUCCUAAGGCUUCACGUCCUAGGUCUAUCCUUAUCGUCCUGACGAUCUAUCCAACAAUUGCUUCUAACCAGUUUUACUUUGAAAAAAAGGUGGUAUUUAUAGUUUAUUGAUUACUCUGUGGUGGUACAAGCUCUGAUACCAGCUGUGGCGGAACUGCCCGAAUUAUUCCAACUUAAGUGCCUAAGUCCCGCCUUAGAGGCUAGACCAAACUUAAAUGGGAAUAACCCGUCAAUCCCUCGGAUCUAGUCCGAUGAGGCCACUGGCAGGAUCAAGUACCACAGUCUCACUCGAUGGUGAGUCACAGAGCAAAUACAAUAAAGCAUAAAACCAUACAUUAAGGAGUAUUAAACUUAUUACAUCAUCAUCGGAGUUUUAUCAAAAGUAGUCAUCAUUGUUCGAAGUGCAGCGGAAUAAAACUAACGGUAAAUAAACAAAGAGAUGGGGAAGCCUGUCCCAUCACUCCUCAUGCUCCUCCUCAGCCGAGGUAGGGUCCCACUUGACUGUCCAACCCGGUGGCAAGAUGGACGGCCAAGUCACUCCAGCAACCAUGUCUUCCAGAGAACCUGUAAAAAUUAUGCCACAAGCAAGGCUGAGUAUAUUAAUACUUAGCUAGACUUACCCGGUGUGAGGAGUCUACUCCUCUUCCUCUAGACAUGCAGCUGUUUGGCUGAGGGGUUUGGUUGCCAAAAGCACUAGCUGGGUUUAUAAAUACAGUUUUAGCUUUGUCAAGUUUUAGUGUGACUCUCUUAAGACUAAAUGUAUACCUAUCUAAUCAUACAUGGUAUCAAACAUUUAGCAAUCAACAACUUUUGCCAAGUCAUCUCAUUUCCACUUGUUACUCAAUGUAGCAACAUGGAUCAAGCAGUCUCAUUAGCUGCGAGAAGCAAACAAUUCGAAUCGAGUUUUUAUCCUUGCAAGGUAAACCUAAACACACGACGUGGCGAGGCACUCCGUCCUCACACACAUCAACCGUCCCCAUCGAUUCCCCGUCAGCAGAUCAGGGCUCACCGCCUUGGCGUAUAAUGCCUCACUGACCCCGACUGCCGUCGUGCAGUGACCGCACUUGUACCCACCAUAACCGGAAUGGGAGACCACGUCUUAGGUCGUGUGAGGGGAUAUGUCCACUACUAGGUUCACUCAGGUACUAGACUUACCGAUUUACCAUAUUUCUCGGCAUGUGUUUAGUACAUUCAAACGCUUGACACACGGUACCACACCUUAAUCCUUAUUCCAAUUCCCGUCUCGUAGACAAUGCAUCCCCAUGGACCGUUGUCCACAGACCAUCAUCAUUACGAUAUCAAAAAUGGAUACAACCAAUUCCUGACCUCGCGCGAGUGCUAGAAAAAUCACUCGACUUCUACCGAGAUCCCUAAUUAGUAAAGCAGCUACUCGACCUAGCAUACUAGUAUUCAUCUCAAUAGGAUUCCUGAGAUCAUGCAACUAGGGUUUCAAACAACUCCUACACUUAAGUGCACAUUCAAUCCUACAAUCAUUAAGUGUAGUAAAAUAGCAUAGUAACAGGUUAUGCAUAAAACCGGGGCUUGCCUUCCAAAGCUGGGGCAGGCAGAUCCUCUGGGGCAGGCUCUGGUGCUGGAUCCGGGGCUACCUCCUGAGCAACUCCUUGCUCCGGCACGAGGACGUACUCUCCGUCAGCGAGGUUGCAAUCUAUCGAAUGCAAUGAAUAAGAUUAUGUAUGCUAUGAUUAUGCAGGAUUUAAUAAUCAUUAUGCUAAGUGAAGAAAAACUAAGUUAGUUAGUAACUUAGGGUUUCCUGGUUAUACGUGGCUCUUAGUGGUUUAUGCUUAUCAACUUUAGGUUUGGGUUUUGCCUAGGGAUAAGCAUAGUGGAUUGAAACUUAGAUGUUUUAGUAGGCAUUUAAGGGGUUUUGCUGGUUGGGUUAGGGUGACAUUAGUCUCCACUAUUAAUUCCCCUUUCUCAUUUUCUACUUAUGAAUUCUAGUGUGGGUUUGAACUACAACAGUGAUUUAACUUUUUCUAAAAAUUCUGCAAAAAUUACAGUGGGUCACUAGUUGUCACUGUAAUCUGUCCUACAAGUUUGAGGUGGAUACUAAUUCAGAUACUACUUAUGCAAAAUUAACAAAGAUAAGUUUUUAAAAGGGCAUUUUACACUAUAGCUGUAAUUUAAAUGAGGUUUCUGCACCAAAUUUUAUUUUUGUCCAGAUACAUAGGUGAUAUUAGGCCUCUGUGUUAAAAAUCAUAGAAAAGGGCCCAGUGGAUAUUUAGUUGUGAAUUUCUAAAGUUUUAUGCCAAAAAGGUGCUUAUAACUAACUUUUUAUUUGAAAAAUAUCAAACAACAGAUUUCAUAUUUUUCCUAUGUUCAUAAUAACAAAACAUUAGUUAUCCCAAGGUUUGGGGUGUUUUCUUUUUGGGGUUAUUUUUCUAGAGUUUUUCUAAGGUUUCCUUGUUUUUCUAAUUUAAAAAGUAUCUCCUUUCUUUUGCACUAAACAAGGGUAUAAUAAAUUUUUCUAGUGAACUACACUGAAUAAGUAAACUAACAAAAAUGUGGGUGUUCCCUGGUUCUUAUUUUAAACUACCUUUAAUAUUUUCUCUAGCUUUAAGCAAAAAGUGUUUUAAAUGGAAAAUUCUAUCUUAAUGGGGUGUGCAGAGGGGUUUAUUAUUUUUAAACAGGUUAGGAAAUGAUUAAGUACCUCUCUAAAUUUUCUUGACCCCAGUCAAAUAGUGUAGCUAUUUUUCCUUAUUUCUUUUAGCUUUUGACCAGUUAAUCAUUUAAAUCAAAACUUUAAAGUUUUCUAUAACACUUAGGGGUUUUAUAUUAUUUCUAAGUAGUUUACAUUAUUUAGGAUCUGGCAAAAUUGGUUUGACUCGAUUUGGGUAACCCAAAUUGAAGUUAUGAAUUUUUCAAGUUCUGUUUGGAUUUAAAUCAGAAUAUUUUAAAAGGUUUCCUGGAAAACUACUUUGCACCGAAGACCCUGGGUUCUUUCUAAAUCAAUCCACUCAUUUCUACCCCUGCGCCACUAUUCCCUUGAGUCACUGACAGCGCACAAAACCCCCUGCCCUUUUCUUCUUCUCCCCCGAGGUCCCUCUCCUUAUGUAAAUAGUAACCGUGGAAAGGAAAAGGGCGGCGCGGGUUACCGGCGGCGAGAGAGGUCCGGCGAGGGGCGGGGUUGGCUUCGGGAGGUCCUGGCGGUCACAGCGAGGUACGGCUUGACGGCGGUGGUGGCCGGAAUCGACCGGUCCACGUGCGCAGGCGGGUGAACUCGUCGGCGGCGAGUGUUCCGGCCUAACCACGGCGAUCUAGUCUAAUUAAAUGGCACGAUGAACUCCACGAGAUGACGUAGAGGCUAGGUGUGCAGGGAAUCGGAAAAUGGUGCAGAGACUUACCCGGUCUACGUUCACCGGCGGUCGGGUGAAGUCCGGCGACCGUGGACUGGUUUCUCCGGCGAGGCAAAGUCCGAUUCCUUGCUCGGGGAGCUUCACCGAGGCAUGCACGGUCUCUUCCGAGGGUCGGGCGUGGCUGGGAAGGGCUCUGCAGGCCGGUCUACGUUGGCGGGGGAUCGGGUGGCCACGGGCACGUCGUUUGCAGGGCAAACGCCGGUGAUCUCUGGCUCCGGUGAGGUCGAGCGUGCGCGGAGGAGUACGGUCGACGUCUAUGGGGGAUUUAUAGGCGCGGGCGCGGGCAACGGCGCCGGCUCGGCUUUGGCGCGACGCGGGGCACGCGGGGGCGCGUGCGGGCGAGCUCUGGCGAGCUCAGAGCGCGUCGAACACGUGGCUCUUUGCUUCUGUUCGUGUUCUACCCUCUGCUGAGCGGCCAAAACGUGCGAAUCUUGCCCUAAGACCUGUGAGAGAUCUCUUCUCUGCACCUAGGGCUACCUAGUUCAUGUGAGUUCCAAGGGGAGAUGUGGUCGGGUUAGAGAGAUAUGGGGGGAAGUUGUCUCUGCCCUAGCUGUCCAAACCGAGACAAAACUUGUGCCAAGUCAUGUCAAACGACUUUGGGUUUGGUUCAAACUUCUCUAGGGUGUUCUAGAGGUAUUUUGGCGCCACUUUGACUAUGGAGCCAAUUGGUUUUAAGUUUGGGAUCAAGGUGAACAUGUUUGAUCUUUGGAAAGGGGGUGGUUUUGGACUUAGAAGAAUUCUGAUUUUUCUUUUGUGCUCACCCCUUUGGUGAAUCUUUUGGGGUUUUUCUGGAUACUUUUUGGGGUCACUUUCUUACUAUCAUUUGUAGGGUAUUAAGUGUACUACAUCUUUUAUAAUUGGCCCAAGUCAUGAUCAUGUGGUUUUCAUACCCUUUUAUUCAUGCUUAUUUCUAGUGCUCCACUUGUCCAAAGGGGUUUGAAUUAGGGUUUGGGCAAUUCUUCCCAUUAUAUGUGCAUAACAAGCCAAGGUAUGACUUCUAAGGUGGGUUGCACUUACUUAGGAUCUUGAGUUCCAACUUUGGUGUACUUUUCCCAACUUAAGUCACAUGUGAUGAUGGGCUUACUUGUGUAGUCUUGAGUGAAAACCCUAAGUAACACCUGGGGUGUUACAAACUCGCACUUGCUCAACUUUGCAUACAACUGGUGCUCUCGCAAUCUCUGCAAUACCAUCCUCAAAUGAUCUGCAUGCUCUUCUUCGUUUUGAGAAUAUAUCAGAAUGUCAUCAAUAAAUACCACCACAAACUUAUCAAGAUAAUCCAUGAAUACACUGUUCAUCAGAUUCAUGAAGAAGGCCGGUGCAUUGGUUAGGCUGAAAGACAUCACAGUGAACUCAUACAACCCAUAAUUGGUAAUGAAUGCCGUCUUCGGAAUAUCUGAAGGUCGAAUCCUGAGCUGGUGAUAACCUGACCUCAGAUCUAUCUUGGAGAACACACUGGCUCCUCUCAACUGGUCGAACAGAUCUUCUAUUCUGGGCAAGGGGUACUUGUUCUUGAUGGUGACCUCAUUCAGAGCUCGAUAAUCGAUACACAUCCUUUUGGUGCCAUUUUUCUUUUCCACGAAUAAGACAGGGGCGGCCCAAGGCGAGGUGCUUGGCUGGAUGUAUCCUUUCUCUGACAACUCAUCAAUCUGCUUCUUAAGCACAACCAAUUCUGGUCCGGAUAUUCUAUAAGCUCUCUUAAAGAUAGGGGCGGUUCCAAGAAGAAGCUCUAUGGCAAAUUCAACUUUUCGCUCAGGUGGCAUACCUGGUAAGUCCUUUGGAAACACAUCUGGGAACUCAGACACAACCUUGAUACUCUCAAUUGGGUCUGCUUCACUGCUAUCAACAGCCAUCUGAUAACAACUUCCUUUCUUCAGCUCAGGCGAGACUAACUCGGUCACCACUUCCUCUCCUAGUGGGGACAUCAACUUGAUGGUCCUCUUAUCACAACUGAUAACUGCCUGAUACUUAUCUAGCCAAUUCAUCCCUAGGAUGACAUCUAUUCCCUGAGUACCCAUUACUAUGAGAUUAGCGGGAAACGUUGUCCCCCUUAUUUCCACACAUACAUUCAAACAAAUGCUAUCGGCUCGAAUUCUACCACCGGCUGAGUCAAUUUGAAUGGGGGUUGACCUGGUAGUUAUUGGAAGAUUAUGUGCUUCUACCCAUGAUGCAGUAAUGAAUGAAUGUGUUGCUCUAGUAUCAAAUAACACUUUUGCAAUAUGGGAGUCGACUAGAAACAUACCUACUAUCAUGCCGGGGGUCUCCUGAACUGCUUCAGCCUCCAAGUGAUUCAGUCUCCCCUGAUUAUAGCGCGGCUAAGGGCGGUUGCCUGAUCCUGGCUGAGGCACAUUCUGCUUUGCUAGGGCAUUGGGGUCUGACUGCUGCUGGGCUGCCUUCUUCGGAUAUUGCAUCACCCAAUAGCCUUGCUCUCCACAGUGGAAACAUGCUAUGUUUCCACCCUGAACUGGUGCUGCUUGAUUGUUCUGUUGAGUUGCUGGGGCAGGAAGACGAGGUGCUGCUGAUUCUGCCUCUGGAACUGGUCUCCUCCUGACUGAUUGUUCUGGCGAUUCUGAUGCUGAUGCUAAGGAUACUGCCUUUGAAACUGCUGAUGCUGGGGUGGACGCUGGUUCUGCCUAAACUGCUGAGGUUGAUUGCCUGAGAAACGAGGGCGAUUGCUGCUUCUAGGCUGGGGUCCACUGAUCUUGCGCUUGCGAUCCUCCAUCUCCUUACGCUUCCUCUCUGUCAUGAUUGCUCUGUCAAUCAGGUGCUGGAAUGUCGGAAAGGUAUGAUUCAUCAGCUGAUACUGCAGAGGGUCAACCAAGCCUCUUAGGAAACGAUACUGUCUCUUGGCGUCGGUGUUGACAUCUUCAGGAGCAUAGCGAGACAACUGCACGAACCUGUCCCAGUACUCACUGACAGAUGAUGACCCUUGCUUAAGUGACAGGAACUCCUCCUUUUUCACUGUCAUCAGACCUGCAGGAACAUGGUACUGACGAAAGCUACCUCUAAACUCUUCCCAGAUGAUGGUGUCGGGGUUGGCAUGGGUGGCAAGAUAAGACUCCCACCAUGACUGGGCUACUCCUCUCAACAGACGAGGACCAUACAAGACUUUCUCCCUGUCAUCACACUGAGCGGUAUGCAACUCCCGCUCUAUGGUGUGCAGCCAGUCUUCAGCAUCCAUGGGGUCAGAAGAGUGAGCAAACGUUGGGGGAUGACCUCUCAUGAAUUCAGCACGCUUGUCCCUAGGCAUCUGAGGCAUUUGAGGCUGGGGUGGUGGCUGCUGCUGUUGCUGCAUGGCGGUCAGAGUCUGACCGAUGGCUUGAACUGCCUGAGUCUGCAUUAGGAACAUCUGCUCGAUGGACAUCGAGGGCGAGGGCGGCAGUUGCUGUUGCUGGUUACCUCAUCCUGUUGAGCUGCUUGCUCCUGCUGAGCACGCCUUCCUCCUCUGCGCCUGUUUUCUGACAUCUGCAGAAUGCAACCACACAUCAGAACUGAUCUAGCAAAUCUUGCAGCAUAAGAAAAGAGUAUAGAAUUCUCCACAACACUGAACAGAUGAGCAUCUUCACUGAUCCCCAACACAGACCAACACAGCUUCUCAGAUAAAUAGGAAAGUGGAAUGAAAGGCUUCCCAACUAGAUAACUAACUUCAUUAACAUAUAACAGAUAAACCAAAAUGCAGGGGAUACCCACACUCUGGUGACAGUCAUUACAAAGAUCCAAAUCAAACAUAGUUCAUCAUGACAAACAUAAAUGCACAGGAUAAGCAAACUACCCUGUCUAACUAAGACUAACUAAAAGCAAGACUAACGCUAAGACUAUAGCUUCUAUGUAUAUAUAUUUUCGUAUUAAUUACAACAUCCGACUCUGACGAUCUAUGGUUCUAAAUCUAUCUUGGUCUUGCAGUCGGGGUUGCCAUAAGACGGGUGUCUACGCCGAGGUGAGCGGUACGGGUGCUGAGUCCCUACGGGAGCGGGGGAACCAUCAUCCAGGUGACGAUGCUCCGCGCGCUCAGCCCGCAACUGGGCGAUCUCAGCACGAGCCCUACUCAACUCGUCUAAUGCAUGGUCCAGCUCCGUGUUUAGCACAGCGGCUAGGUUGACUGUGCUGCUCAACCUAGGAUUGUCCUCACCAACGGGUGAGACAAUCACGCCUCCUGUGCUGCUAGAUGGACGGUGGGGGUAAUACUUCAGGUUGAGACCGUCAGCUACCUCGCUGAGAACCGAGCAGUAGUGUGAAAGCGCACGCCGUGCGGCAUCUUGCAUGGCCGCCUCAGCUGAGUGCCGCUUAGAGAUAGAAUGGUGCUCUGAGCAGACCUCAGCACCUAGAGACUGUUCUCCGGACGGCGCACCAAGCAGGUCGCCUCCCAGCGGUCCGGGUAGACCCCACGACUGUGCUGGAAGACCACAUAGCGAUACUCGAUAGACCAAGUACGCCGGUCAAGUGCCCGACGUAGCAGGGUGUCGAGCACAUCGUGGAAGUGGCACCCGCGAGCAGCGUCGCGAGUGAUGGGUCGAGCAACCCAUCCUUCUGGCUCCUGGUCAGCAGAAAAGUCGGUGUCAUGGCUCGAGCUACUGUUGCCACCUCCAUCGUAUGGGUCUCCUCCAGCAGCUACUCCAGCGGCUGGGGCGCUCAGUGGUGGUGCAGGGGGCGCCUCCAGGGGGAGCACAGGGGAGCAGCUCCUCACAGACUCUAUCUCCUGCUGGAGCGAGAAAGAAGAGCCAUGCUUCUCCUGUCGUCGACACUCCUGCUCCUCAUGCAUGCGGUGGUGCAGCCUCUCCAAGUGGCUGGACUGACCGGUCACGGGACGGCGAAGCGGACGCUCCGCAAGACGGGAGGGUAAGAAGGGGAUGACAGACUUCCAUGCAGUGUGUCUAAGACGAGCCAUCUACAAAAGACACCGCAAGCAUAAGAGUGAGAACAGAACUAGUAUGACCAUCAAGUAAUGAACCAUAAAUAAAUGAAGGAUUAGAAUAAAACACAAUUUUCAGCAAGGUAUAAUAUAUAGUAGAACAUAGGUUUGGUCGAUACGACCAACUUUUGAAGGGAUACCGAAGUCAAGGCAGGGACAGAGGUCUAUAAUCCAUAGAACGACCAUUCUACUCUAGGUUAGCGGUCCUACAGUCAACAUGGCUUUGAUACCACUUAUGUCACACCUGGUUUUAGAAGGCAAACCGAAUGUGAACCAUGUACGUGCCAGGAUUAGCAAUUCACGUACACAGAAGUUACAUAACAUGGACAUCAUCACACAGUGCUCAAAUAGUAUUAAAAAGGGAAAUAAUAGUCGAUUACAUCAUAUGUCUGAGACAUUCACAUAGUCUUGACAAUAAUCAAAGUGCGGAAAAGAAACGUAGAUAAACGUGGCCUUCACAGGCAGCCGACUGGGGGGUUGCCAUUAACCCACGCCUAGAACUCGUCGUAGUCUCGGAACUCCUGGAAGUCUCCUUCCACGGCUUCAUCUUCUCCUGAGCAGUGGUUGCAAUGCUGACAACCUAGGGAGGGGGGGUUUGGUGUGUAGAGCAAGGGUGAGUACACAUCAACAUACUCAGCAAGUAUCCUGUUUGGCCGUAGUGGACUAGCUUUAUGUGGGGGUAAGUCAAGCAGUUGCUUUUAGUUGGUCAUAUUCUUAUUACUAGUAGAGAAGGCCAGGUUUUAGAAUUAACCCACGUUAUUAACCCAAACGUACUCCUUUCCAAACGGAAAGAGUACCACUUACCAUUACCAGAGUCAAUACCAAGAACCAUCAAUCUCAUUGCCACCUGUAAUCCGAACGUCUCUGAUCAAGUACCACUAAUCAUUGGAGCUCCCUUGGCCGCUCAUAACCGCGAGCACGGCUGAUAUAUCAGUUUUCAAACACUCUGUAUAGGUUGUGCACUUUACCCACAAGCCGUGAUUCCCUUUCUGCCCGGAGAUCAUGACUCUCCAUUGGUCACUACCAAGGUGACCCAGCAGGGCAUCACUACGUAGCCUUUACAAAGAUUCCCCUUGGCUGUAGCCGCCCAUUAGGUUUCCUAAAUGCACCGCACUCCUCCCCAAGGGGUGAACCAACUUGGCAGAGCGAGCCGCAUACACCGAGCCCCAUUGACGGCACGACGGCUAAGCAAACUACACCCUGGUUCCUCUAAUUAUUCAGCUAAGGGCAUCCCAUUCCACCCUCAUGGUUGCACUGUUUUCCCGGGCGGUCAUCCAACAAACAGGUCCUUACGGAGAGGCACUCGAGAAACCGCUCGAGCCCCCUUGAAUGCCACAAGUAUAACAUCAUAAUAAAGGAAGGGAAAAUAGUGUAUCAUUGAUAAUUCUCAUCAUGUUCAUUGAUUAGAGUUGAGCAAUAGCAUAAAGCUAAACAAUAAUAAUCCAACCCAAAUAGGUACACAAGGACAUGGAUAACAAAAGCUAGUCAAUCCUUAGGUAUAAAUGUGUAAUGUGGGAGGUGAAUUUAAGAAUGUAUAGGACAGAGAUAGGUCAAGGGACACUUGCCUCCACCAACCGACUGCUGCUCAGGGGCUUCUCCUGCGAGUUCUUCGGGCUCCUCAACCAGAUCGUUCUCUAUGCGAACGCAAACAUACAUACAUCCAUCCAUUCGAAUUAGGAAAUAAACAGUACACCAUACAAGAGAACAGAUAGAUUGAAUAUGCAUAGAGUAUGACAUACGAUAUUGCAUUCGCCAUGGCUAGAAAAAGAAGAAAGAAGGUCUCGCAGUGGUUAAAGCUAUACUCGAAGCGUAUUAUGGGUAGAUGCAUAACUAAUCAUUACGUGAUCUAAUUCCAUUGAGUUACACUAACAAGUAUUAGCCACAUGCACUAAUAUAAUUAUAACUAUUUUCAAUUGAUCAACAUUAAACGAGGUCCAAGAUUAGCUACAUGAAAUAAUUAAUGUAACAAAUUUCUAAAUUGAGUUCCGUUUAUUGAUAUAAAUAAAGCGAUCACUACGCAUGAAGUACACGAGGGGGCUAGACAGGCACACCGAGGGCACGGCGAGCCGUGCCAAAGCACCGUGCGCACCACGCGAGCACGUGCGCGCGCAAAGACACGCUAACGUGCCGCGAACGAGCCACGCACACGUCGGGGCCGAGCUGCGCACGCGCCUCGAGCGGCAACGAGGCCAUGUCGAGGCCGACCGCGUGGGGCCGCGCGCUAGCCGAGCUCAAGGCCGCGCCAGGCCGACACACCGUGGCCGCGCCGGGCAGGGGCGAGGCACGCCGAGGCGGGCAGGCUGCCGGGGCCGCGCCUUGGACACGCACCAUGGCCGGCGUGGUCGGGCCACCAUGGCCGGGGCAGGGGGACGGGGCUGGGCCGCGCCGGCGAGCGCGCCAGGGACGGGGCAGGGGAGCGCGCCGGAUGGGGCGGGGCACGCCGCGCCGCGGGAGGGCGCCACGCCGGGGCAGGGGAGCGCACCAAGCACGGCGGGGCACGCCGCGCCGCAGGAGAGCACCGUGCCGGGGCGGGGGAGCGCGUCGAGCGAGGGCGGGGCACGUCGCGCCGCCGCAGGGAGGGGCUGGGGCGCUCGCGCACGUCGGGGACGGCGGCCGAGCGGCCAGGGCGGGGCCGCGCGGGCGCGCCGCCGCGCCGGGCAGGGGAGGGAGGGGGCCGUGACGGGGAAGGGGAGCGCGCCGGGGCCGCGCCGAGGGGCACCAGGGCCGGGCCGGGUGGCGCCAUGGCCGGCCACGCCGAGGUUGGAGCCGCCGCGCCGGCGAGCCGCCAAGGCCGGACCGCGCGGGCGCGAGGCCGCGCGCCGAGGGCGGGUAGGGGGCUGCGCGGGCAGGAGAAGGAGGGAGGGAGGAGGGCCGCGCCGAGCCGGGGCGGGACGUUGGGCCACGCCGCGCGGGGAGGGGCGGGGGCGUCGAGCCGGGGCGGGACACCGGGCCGCGGGCAAGCCGCCAUGGUCGGGGCGCGCCCAAGCCGGGGAGGGGAGGGGGAAGACGUGGAUGAGAGGGGGAGGGGCUUACCACGCGGGGAGGGGCGGCGCCGGUCGGGCAGGGGGCUGCGUAGGCGGGGGUGGGGAUCGUGCGCGAGGGAGAGAGAGAGAGUUUUUGGGGAGGGGAGAGGGAUGACAGGCGGGGCCCACGGGGGGAAGGCGGCGGUGGUUCCAACCGCCACGCGUUCCACGUGCGGGGGAGCAAGGGGGAAGCUGGGCCGCCGAGGGGAGGGGGCGAGCUGGGCCCACGGCUGGACCGCGCGGGGGAGGGGGCGAGCUGGGCCGCUGAGCCAGCCCACGAAGGGGAAAAGGGGGGCGGCUGACACGGCUGGGCCACGCGCCUGGCUGGGCCGCGCGCCUGGCUAGGCCGCGCGCCUGGCUAGGCCGCGCGCCUGGCUAGGCCGCGCGCCUGGCUGGGCCGCGCGCCUGGCUAGGCCGCGCGCCUGGCCGAGCCGCAAGGGGAGGAGGGGAAAAAAAGAAAAAGAAAAGGUUUUCCUUUUUAAAAUCUAUUUUCUAGAUGAAUGCUUUCACAGUUUCACUCAAUCAAAACAAAUGCAUGGUUCGGCAUGGUGCAACAAACAAAAGAAAGUAUUUUCUAGGGUUUACUUUACAUGAGAUCUCAAGCCGAAUCUCGCUAUAACUUUGGAAAAGAUCAAGGCUUAGCGAGGAGAAAAGGAAAAAGGAAAAGGUAACGCCCGAAUUUGGUGAGUGAAGAAAAGAAAAAAUUCAACUCCAAAAUUCGAGGCGUUACAGUAAGUAUCUCAUGGCAUGUUUUACAUUAACUAUCCUAUUGUUGCCAUGUUCUAGACAUAGAGACAUAUUCCAUGCUCUUAAAAGAAUAAGGUGUCAUAUAGGAAAUUCAAAUCCUUAGGACACUUAUAAAGGGAAUAUCUCUUUAUGACUAGAAUUGUGAGACUCUUGUUUUUGUCUAUUUGACCUAAGUAGUCUCACAUAUAGAGAAUAAGUUUCUCUAUGGAAAUGCGUAAUCUAACAUGAAAAUAAAAAUCAAUCCAAUGAUUUAUGAUGUAUUUCUUCUUGGUUAAAUUGGAUAUGAUUCUUCUACAUUCAUCGCUCUCCAUGUUAUGAAUUAGAUUUGUUCUAUAAUCUUAAGAAAUUGUUUAUGCUUGUUUUAUGAGUUAAAAUUGAGCAUAACAUCAUAUAUGGGAUAAUCUAGUUCAUGUUAUGAAGUUUCCAUGCUUUGGUAAUCCACUUUUCAUUCCUUCUCGAAAAUGAUUACAAAAAGGGAAACUAGUGCUUGUGUUACUAAUGACAUAUCUCUUGAGCAUAUUUGUGAAAAUAUACAAGAGAGUAAGUGCAUGUUCAAUUUAUUAAAAGACAUAAGCCUCAAGGGUUGCCCUUCACCUAAAGGAAGAAAGGUAAAAGCAAAGGUAUGGGAACUCAUCUUCUCAAUCAAUAAUAGUUCCCAUUCAAUUGAUAUUUAUUAUAAAUUAUCUUAAUCUACCAGUGUAAAGAUUAGAUUCAUUAGUUAACUCAAGAUGGCUAAAAGUGCAUACAAUCUUGCUUUCAUAUGUGCACUAGUCUAUUAGAAUCUAACUCAUAUCUUUGCUAUAUAUGUUCUCAUAUUGAUAUGCUCCUAAGUUAUGUUAAUAAAUUCAAUAUGAAGAAGUAAAUUUCCUAUGAUUGAUUAGAAAUGUUAAAAGGUGCAUAUUCCUCCUUUCUAAUGAUGUGCACUAAUAUUAAGGAUUUUACUUCAUAUUUGUGUGAUUUGUGGAUGAUGAAUUGUUUAUAUUUCUUAUCUAAAAGAAAUCAUCAUUCAUCAUAUGCUCCACUGUGCUGCUAAUAUCUUUCUUGAGUAUUUUCAAUAAGUUUGAAAAGAAAAAGAGACAACUACAAAGGGAGGACACUCAAAAGGAAGAUAUCAAGAACAACAACACCUACUUGGACAGUAAGAUCUUCAAAUGGUCAAUGGUGUGGUUGUAAGUAUUCUAAACCUUUUGAUUGUUGAGAAUACCAGGCAUAAGUUGAUUAUUGGAAAUAUUACAUGCCUUGAUCAAGAUGUUCAUAGAAUUCCCCUAUUUUUCGUUAAAAGAGAAGUGCAUUCAAAUUCUUGAUGCAUACCUUUAGGGGAGCUCCAUUUCUAUAUCUUGAUCAUAUUGAGACUAACAUUUUCUCUUAGUAAUCUCAUAAAGUCUUAUGUAUGAGAAUAAGUUUCUCAUGAAGUAUGCUGCUUCAAUUUAAUCCAAUUUGGUAAAGUAAUAUCACUUUUAUCAAGGAUUGUAGCUUUUAUUGUUAAAGUAGCAUAUUUACUGGAUUCUCCUAUUUUAAGCUUAUUUGAUAUUCUUAUGUUAUUAUUUUGAUCGCAUUUCUUAUUCAUUGAAUAACUUCAAUUGACACUUAUGUUGCUUAGUGCCUCAUAUACUAUCAAUCAAUAUCUCUCUUGAUAUGCACUAAGUUAAAAGGAGAAUUCGGGAUAAAUUUAUGCAAUUUGUGAUCUACUUGAUAUAUGAUAGCUAUAACUUAGAAAAGCAUCACUAGUUGUAGAACUCUCUCUUGUGCAAAAUAUUUCCAUACAUUGUCUUGAAUAUAGGUCUUAAGUAACCAAGACUAAGGACAAAACACAAUGAAGAGAGCAUCUCUAUAUGAAGGUACAUAAGGGUAAACUACUUCCUCUCAUUUACACAUGUACCUAAAUCUUCCUAUACAUUCUUUGCAUAUCUUGUAUAAAAGGAAGAGAAAGCAUGUCUAUGCAUUAUCCCUGCUUCAUACCUAGUUUAACCUCUCAAAAAUUUCAUUCCUGCAUUAAUGCAUUUUUUGUUAAAACUAGGUGAAGGAAUUUUAUUGUCAAAGAGCUUAAAGCUUAACCUUGUAAUGAGGAUAAGCUACCUUUGUUCCAAAGGUGGAGGUUCCUUAAGCCUCUUUGAAAUCCUUAAGGGUAAAUACUUAAGAUGUUUAUAACAUGCUUUCAUAAGUGCAUAGUCUGUCGUGAUCAUCACACUUAUAUUAUGACACAUUGCACUUCACAUUUUCUAUGAUAUAGAUGUUCUCAUUAACCUAAUUAUGUGCACUUGGCAUUUAAGGCCAAAAUAUGUAUUCUUCUCAAGGCACAUAUUUAGGGGGGGCAAUCUAUAUUUUAUAGAACUAUGAUAAAGCCAAAUUGACAUAUCUUUUAAUCAUAUCUCUUUCAUUUGGUACAUUUGCAUAUUUCUUAUUUCUCUUGUGCCAAGGCUAAGACUAAUAUGUUUCCAUGAGUAUCUCAUGUAUUAAGUCUUAGAUUGAAAGGGGAAUGGAGUAUUCGGCAAAGACAUCGCUUCCACUCUACACCUUCGUGUAUUAUCUAUCCUUUGCCGGUAUUCCGCCAUCUCUCAAAAUUGGUAUAAUCUUUCACUCAUAUUUACUUGUACCAAUGGGGGAGAAAGUAAUUAGGGCUCUCCAAAGUCUCCAUUUUUGGCGAUUAAUGCUAAAGGGGAAUAAAGUAAUAAGCCCAAAGCAAAAGGAUCGCACCACCACCAAUGUCAAAAUUUUCAAGAAUUUUUCAAAUUGGUAUCUAAAUGUAUUUGAUCUUUUUCAAUUGGUAUUUACAAAAAUUAGUAAAACUCUCUUGAACACUAAGAGGAGAAUUUCAUUCAGGAGGAGUUUUGUUUAGUCAAAGGAAAAGCAUUUGAAACAGGGGGAGAAAAUUUCACAUCUUGAAAAUGCUUCUUGCAAUCUUACUCAUAUGCUUUUGACUAUUUGCAAAAAGACUUUGAAAAGAUUUUGCAAAAGAAUUUGCAAAACAAAACAAGUAGUGCAAACGUGGUCCAAAAUAUUAAAUAAAAGAAAGCAAUCCAUGCAUAUCUAGUAAGAUUAUAAAUUGGUUUAAUUCCAAGUAACCUAUGCACUUACCUUAUGCAAACUAGUUUAAUUUCUGCACUUAUAUAUUUGCUUUGGUUUGUGUUGGCAUCAAUCACCAAAAGGGGGAGAUUAAAAGGGAAAUAGGGUUAGACCUUUUCCACAAUUAAUUUUGGUGGUUGAAUGCCCAACACAAAUAAUUGGACUAACUAGUUUGCUCUAGAAUAUAUGUUCUACAGGUGCAUAAAGGUUCAACACAAACCAAUAAAAGAUCAAAGUUAGGGUUCAAAAUCAAAGAAGCAAAGAAACCGAGUGUGCUCUGGUCUGGCGCAGCGGACUGUCCGGUGUGCCACCGGACAGUGUCCGGUGCACCAGGACCGUAUAGAGUCCAACAAGCCACUCUCGGGUUUCAGCAGGCGCACUCCGCUAAAAAUCACCGGACUGUCCGGUGUGCCACCGGAGCAACGGCUACUUCGCGCAACCGUCGACUGCAAAAGUACCUGAUGCGAGGAACAGUGCGCGGCACAGUCAGAGCGCAGUGUCAGAGGCACACCGGACAGUGAACAGUACAUGUCCGGUGCGGCACCGGACUGUCCGGUGCCACAUGAGGAUAAAGCCUCCAACGGUCGACCAGCUCCUAACCCUAACGGUUGGGUGACGUGGCGGCGCACCGGACAGUGUUCGGUGGCGCACCGGACUGUCCGGUGCGCCAAUCGCCAGCAGCCUUCCCCAAUGGCUACAAGAUGGUUGGUGGCUAUAAAUACCACCCCAACCGGCCACUUCAGGGCUUGUUCGGUUAUUUUCAAUCCAUAUGGAUUGGAGGGCAUUGAGAGGGAUUUUGACUUAUUAGGGAUUGAAACCCCCUCAAUCCCCCUCAAUCCAUAUGGAUUGGGGUAGAACCGAACAAGCCCUCAAGGUGUGGGAGCCCAAGCAACAUUCCAAGUCAUAUAGUUGACAUAUCCAAGCCCUCCCAACCACUUCCAUUCAUUGAUCUAUCUCAUACACAAGAUUUAGGCCACCACAAGCAACACAAGUGCCACAAAAGGGAGAUCAAGCAAAAGAGAGCUACUCGUGUGAGUUUAGCCCUAGUGCCAUGUGAGAAUCAUUGAGAGAAAGCGUGUGCUAUAUCUUGUGAUCAUUUGAGCGUGGAGUUUUGACUCACAUUCAUUUUCCUCCAAAGUUUUGGAGGCUUGUAAAGCUAGCAAGAGACACCUAAGAGUGUGGUGGUACUUGUGGGGUCUUAGUGAUCCUUAAGGUAAAGAAGAAGAGCUCGCCGAUCUUGGUGAUCGGUGGAGAGAGGGAAAGGGUUGAAAAAGACCCGUCCCUUAGUGGACUCCUCAACGGGGAUUAGGUUUUCGAGAAUCGAACCUCGGUAAAACAAAUCACUCGUGUCUCUUGUGUUUAUUGCUUGUGAUUCGUUUGUUUUCUCUCUCUAAGUUCUCUUGCACUAUUCUUUGCUAAUAUUAUUUUGUGUUGCUUUAAGUUAAAUUCUCAUUUAGAGAAGCAACGCCUUGCAAGAAAGAAAUUGCAUUAUUCCUCCUUUUAUCUAAGCCCUCUUGCUCUAUACUCCAUAAACUAAUUAGUUGUAUUGAUUUGCUAAUUCCAUAUUCUUUGAAAGCAACACUCUUUACAAGCAAGGGACUUAGUUUUACACUCCGAUAAUUGUGCAUCUUGUUCCAAUCACUAAUCAAGUGAUCUAGUUUGUGUUUAGAGUUAUAAUUUUCAGGUUUCGCCUAUUCACCCCCCCCCCCUCUAGGCGACUUUCAGACUACGACGAGACUUACAGUCCAGUGGUUAAGUCUGCCACCGUCCGGACUAUCCUGACUCUCGCUCUGUCCCAUGACUGGCCGGUCCACCAGCUCGACGUGAAGAACGCCUUCUUGCACGGCACCCUGACGGAGACGAUCUACUACACUCAGCCCGUUGGGUUUGUUGACCCUGCUCACCCCGACAUAGUCUGCAAGCUCAACAAGUCCCUCUACGGCCUCAAGCAGGCACCACGAGCUUGGUACAGUCGCUUCGCCACCUUCUUGUGUUCGCAGGGUUUUGUCGAAGCCAAGUCAGACAUGUCUCUGUUUCUCCUCCGUCGCGGCCCCGACACUGCCUACCUUCUCCUCUACGUCGAUGAUAUAGUGCUCACCGCCUCCUCUCCUGGGCUCCUGCGUCGCGUCAUCUCCUGCCUACAGCAGGAGUUUGCGAUGAAGGACCUAGGGGCGCUCCACCACUUCCUAGGGGUCACCGUCGAGCGCCGUCCCCAGGCAUGUUCCUUCACCAGCGGCAGUACACCGUCGACCUCCUUGAGCGCGCUAGCAUGUCCGAGUGUAAACCCUGUGCGACCCCGGUGGAUACGCAGGGCAAGGUCUCCGUGGCCGACCACUUGGUCUUCGAUCUGACUGGCUACCGAAGUACUGUCGGGGCACUUCAGUACCUCAUCUUCACCAGGCCUGACAUCGCCUACGCCAUCCAGCAGGUGUGCCUCCACAUGCACGACCCUCGGGAACCGCACCUCACCGCGAUGAAGCGGAUCAUGCGGUACUUGUGUGGCACCCUUGACUUCGAGCUUCUUCUGUGCCGGUCCUCGACCACAGAGCUUGGCGUCUACACCAAUGCUGACUAGGCGGGCUGUCCCAACACGCGCUGAUCCACCUCGGGCUAUGUCAUGUUCCUCGAGGACAGCCUCGUCUCCUGGUCGUUGAAGCGCCAGUCGAUCGUCUUCCGCUCCAGCGUCGAGGCUAAGUAUCGGGUCGUGACCAACGGCGUGGCUGAGGUGGCCUGGCUCUGUCAGCUGCUCCAAGAGCUCCACAGUCCACUGACCACGAGCACUCUGGUCUUCUACGACAAUGUCAACGCCGUCUACCUAUCCACCAACCUCGUCCAGCACCAGCGCUCGAAACAUGUCUAGAUCGAUCUUCACUUCGUCCGCAAACGGGUCGCUUGUGGAGCUAUUCGCGUUCUUCACGCCCGACCACCUCCCAAAUCAUCGACAUCUUCACCAAGGGGCUUCCGACGAUGGUGUUUACGGAGUUUCGAUCUAGUCUCAACACCUACAAUGGCUAGUGUUUCGACUGCGAUGGUGUUAGAGUGUAUAUAGGCCUGGCUCAUUAGGGGUUCCUAUUUCACCCGGUACUGUAGCAGCUAGGGUUCACUGUACACCAUUCCUAUCACAGUUGACAAACGCCGUAUAGUAUAUAUAAGCCAGAAAACCCAGCCCAUGUACAGGGCCAUUCAUACUUGCACGGAUGUUCUGGAUGCAAACAAGUACAAGCAAUUUAUAUAACUAUCAGCUCUUACAGGUAAAACCAAUCAAGCCAAGCAAGUUUAACAACUCAUCUCAUAAACCAGGUUAUAGGACACAGCAUGCUCACACAUGGAGCCACGAAAUACCAAAACGAUGCAAAUCUGCCACACAUAUCUCAGCAAAUGAAGGGGGCAUAACUUAAGACUAGGUAGCGAUGAUGAACAUGGCGAACCCUAAAAGCACUUGACGAACUUGGCAGAAACCUAGAAGCACUUCCUGUGAACAAUUGCCGGGCCAGACUCAUCGUACUCCUCCUUUGAUAUCCACAUCUGGUAAAUCAAUGGCAUCGCAUAACAGAAUUCAGACGUGACUUUGUUUCAGCCAUAUUGGGAGUUAAAAAGAAAUCAAGUGCAGCAGCUGAAAGCAAUAUAAACAACCCAUACCUGUUGGAAAGUGCUGAGCGAGGCUAGGAUCGACCCUCCUAUCCAGACACUGUACUUCCUCUCAGGUGGCGCGACGACCUUGAUCUUCAUGCUGCUUGGUGCAAGGGAAGUGAUCUCCUUGCUCAUCCGAUCAGCGAUACCGGGGAACAUAGUCGAACCUCCACUGAGCACAAUGUUGCCGUAGAGGUCCUUCCUGAUAUCCACAUCACACUUCAUGAUUGAAUUGUAUGUUGUCUCAUGGAUUCCAGCAGCCUCCAUACCAAUCAUGGAUGGCUGGAAGAGGACCUCGGGGCACCUGAAUCUCUCUGCGCCGAUGGUGAUUACUUGGCCAUCAGGCAGCUCAUAGCUCUUUUCAACUGAGGAGCUGUUCUUGGCAGUCUCCAACUCUUGCUCAUAGUCAAGAGCUAUAUAUGCAAGCUUCUCCUUGAUGUCCCUCACAAUUUCUCGCUCGGCAGAGGUUGUGAAGGAAUAACCCCUCUCAGUGAGAAUUUUCAUGAGGGAGUCUGUGAGGUCCCGACCAGCAAGAUCCAGACGAAGAAUGGCAUGGGGAAGGGCAUAUCCUUCAUAAAUGGGCACAGUGUGACUCACA